UCUCACCCCUUGUUUCCCACUUCUCGACCAUGGUCCGACCCGGCGCCUAUUGCGGAUUGGGGACGCUACAGGGCUAGCGACUGCUUCAACCCACAUAGCAUCCAAAUAAUAUUCCUUCCAUAUCUUCUUCAGCCAUACAUCUUCAAAAUAAACCAUCAGCACAUCUCUUGUAGAGAUAUGGUUCAUCCCAAAAAUAAUGUCUUACGUCUCGCAGAAACUUUUUUUCCUAUAUCCAAAAAAUGGUGGUGGUUUAACGUCUGCUGCUAAAUAAUUGGCUAUAUGCCUAAACCAUGGGGUGUUAAAAGCGUCUGACCGUCGCAUAAGUUUCUGCGGUGGUACUGUAUCAGAGUUUACGCGAACCGUAUCCAUUGCAUAGAUGUUUUCUUCAACCAAACUAUCAUUUAGGGGCAAUUUUUCUUCAACAAGAAUUCGUGAAAGAUGAUCUGCAACUCCAUUAUCUGCUCCUUUCCGAUCUUGAAUUUCGAUAUCGAACUCUUGCAGUAGGAGGAUCCAUCUUAUCAACCUCGGUUUGGCGUCUUUCUUAGACAUUAGGUACUUGAUUGCUGCAUGAUUGAUAUGAACUAUGACCUUAGAUCCUACGAGAUAAGAACAAAAAUUUUCAAAGGCAAAACGACAGCUAGAAGUUCUUUCUCCGUUGUUGCAUAAUUGCAUUGAGAUUCGUCUAGAGUCCUACUUGCAUAAUAAAUUAUGUGCAGCAUCUUAUAUUUUCUUUGGCCAAGAACAGUUCCGACUGCAUAGUUACUUGCAUCGCACAUGAUUUCGAACGAUUGUUCCCAAUCAGGUGGUUGCAUGACUGGAGCAGACACAAGGGCUUCUUUUAUUUUCUGAAAAGCGACUAAGCACUCAUACUUUCUUUUAUAAUAUGGAGCUGACACAAGGGCUUCUUCAACCAUGGUUCUUUCUCUCUGUUUUUAUAUUUCCUCGGGAUCCUUUGUAAAUUCCGGCUCUUUGUAAGCUAAACCGCUCCUAAGUGUGAUGGCUUUCACAUGGUCAGAGGGGUUGGUUUCGCUUGAGCUUUUGAAAGAACAUUUAUUUGGCUCCUUCUUGGAAUCAUCAGUGUUCUUAGACUUAUCUUUGAUCAUUAAACUAAUAAUGGUGGAAAGUUUAUCAUUGAAAUCUUCAUGCAACCUUUCAAUUUUGGAAUUAAGAUCAUUGAUGUCCAUAGUCUUAGAUUCCCAGAAGAGGGAAAACUUGAAUAGGGAAUGGAAUCAGAUUGAAUAGCCAGCAUUGGCAGGGAGGAGGCGCGGUCGUAGAGCUCGCGACCGUGGGUGAAAGAGACUUGGUCGCCGUCAGGAUUGACACGACCACGGUGGAAAUAGGCUUGGUCGUGGUCCACAAGAUUGGACCCGCGGUUGUCAGGGACAAAAGGAAAAUCUUGAAUUUGAUAGACUUCUUCAGUGUUGAUCAACUCCUGGUUGUAAAAACUAAUUUGGUUGUUCCAAUCGUCAAAGUUACCCCUAAUGUGUGCCUUGUUCGGUUGUUGCAAUUGAUGCGUGCUCAUGUCAACUACGUGAGGGAACAAGUUUUACCCUUAACAAAACAAAUGAAAGCCGCAAGUGCACAACUAAUCAGUUGUAGUAUUUAGGGAUCGAAUCCACAGAGAUUUGUGUGCCUGGUAUUCUUCUACGGUUUUUAACUUUAUGUCUAGACUAAAUUGGUUUUAAAGGUUGGUUGUUUUUUUUGCGAAUUAAACUAAAACAAAAGAAAGCAAAUAAAUCUAUCCUAAAAAGCAAGUAAAGAAAAUCGAAUGAAAUGUAAAUGGAAGAAGUAAAAUAUCGAACUAAACAAAAAUAAGGCAAGUAAAAUAUCGCAUGAAAGGUAAAUAAAGCAAGUAAAUAACGAACUAAGGAAAUUGAAAUGCAGGUCUAAGAAAGCAAGUAAAAAUCGAUGGAAUUUUAAACUAUGGCUAAAAACGCUGAGCUUUUGGGAACUCUAAGGGAUCAUAAUCGGUUUUAACACUAAGGUAGAUAGAUUGGGAUUGACGGAUAACAAUAUAUGGGUUCUAGAGCUAGAAUACGGCGGUAUGACUACGUCACUGUCGUGAUCAUAACCAACUGUUUCUUGCAACCCUGACCAGUAGGUUUCCACUCUGGCCCUGGAAGGGAGAGAACGCAAGAGCUCCACAAGACUCGUCAAUACUCACGAUCUCGCCGUAGGUAGGUUUCCACUCCUACGGAAAAAUCGCCUGUUUCAUUCUAGGGCUGAUACUUAAUGAAAAUUUUCGCAACACUAACUAUCUAGAUCAGACACUAGGUGAUCAAUCAAACAUACAUGCAAUAAGAACAAGAAUAAACAGAGAACAGGUCGAAAUCCCAGAUCUAUAAACCUAGAUGUCUUAAUCGAUUAUGAGAGCCCCUUUCGGGAACCCUAAGCCCAACUCGAGAUCUACUCAGACAUGGCUGAGUUCGACAUCAUCAUUGGUUUUAAUAAAAGUAAUGAAAAACAGUAAAGAAAAGAGAUAAAGAAGGCUUCUCUAUUGAAGAACUCGGACUUGAACAAUCUUCUACAAAAAUCUCAUAAAAAUGGCUAAAGGAAAAGGGUUUCUGUAAAGUAUGAAUGGCUCUCUCUAAAAACGACCUAAAUGACAUGUAUUUAUAGUCUCAAAUACUCCAUGGUCUCUAGGGUUCCGGAAUUGAGGCUGGGAAUGACUUUGGGCUUCAGAUAAGUGGGCUUUAAGUCGGAGCUUGAAUGCCGCGGUCGGGAGUGUUGUGACCGCGACAAUUGGCUUGUUGGCCGCGGUCGGGAAGCUUCUAACCGCGGCAAAUAGCUUGUUGGCCGCGGUCGCGUGAGUUGCUGGCCGACUCCGCGUGGCUCCGAGGCUAAUGAAAUAUCUUGAGAUCCAACCGUUGGAAUGUCUCCAAACCAAGUGCAUUUGAAAGCUGGUUGAUUCUUCUAUAAGUUGUCCAAUUUUGAGGGUGAUCAGACGGUGAGAAGGUAUUCGUCUCUCCAUGAGAGUUAUGACGGUCUGCAUUUAUCCAAAAGAGUCUUUUUGUUCUAUUUUGUGCCUCUUUAUCCCAAAUUACCUGAAAAGUCUUUUAAAAUCCGGAAACAUAGAAAUCCUUUGAAAACCUUUGAAAAUGGAGUAAAAACACCUGUAAAAGAUAUUAGAAUGAUCCUUAAAAAUGGCCAAAAUCCGGUGUUAUCAGCAAUCCAAGUUGAUUCAUUAUUUGAUGAGUAUUUUCUACCAAGGCAUCAACCAAAAAAGGCUUGGUUACGUAUACUUCAUGCAAGGUUGUUGACUUAAAUACAAGCAUCUUCUGCUGAUCUAGUGGAGAAGUCUCCAUUACUUGCGGUGUCAAAAGAAUGUUGUAAUUCGUGAUCGAUGUCUUGGUAGAAAAUACUCAUCAUUUAUUAUUCAUCGGAAAAUCCGUGGUGUGGACAAUCUCUUUUGUAUUCUCUAAAUCGAUCCUAAGCUCGUAGAGCAUCUCACCCUUCCUUUGCUCAAAAUUUCUUAUCUUGUUCUUUAGGAGGUUGGAACGAGUACUAGUAUAAAAACGAUUCAAGAAAGCAGCUUUACACUAUUCCAAUGUUUUUAUAGACGCAGCUUGCAAAGCUUGUAGACCCUUUUAUGGCUUUGUCUCUCGAAGAGAAUGGGAAAAGGCUACACUUAUGGUAAUCCCUAUUUGAUGUAAUGGUUGCAUAUAAUUCUUCAAACGACUCAAUGUGAUCCAUUGGGUGUUCGGUUAACCAUAGUAUCGAUUUUGUUGAACUAAAGUGAUGUAGGGUACCUUUAUUUCGGUUUUGCCAUCCUUUGGUAAGCUGGUUAAAUAGCUCUUUGAUCUCCCAUGAACUGUUCGAGUGAGUCAAAACCACCAAUUAGCUCAUCAUCAUCCUCGCUGUGUUUUGUUGGUCCGAUCAGCUCCUCCUCAUCAUUGAUCGGGUUGUUAAGCUCAUCAUCUCUCAGGUCAUCUUCCACGAGAGGUAGUGGAUCGCCAAGAGGCUCGGGAACAUGUUCCCAGUCUCCCAUUGAGGAGUAACCUGAAAAGUACAAAAGAAAAAGUAAAAGUAAACAAGUGUUCUAAUGGAUUUAAGCUGGAUUCGCAGCAAAACAAAUCAAAGUCUCCAGCAACGGCGCCAAAAACUUAAUGCAAUUUAGAACGGGGUUGGUUUUACUAAGCUUCAGGUUCUAAAUUUAUAACUCCUAAAUGUCUGCAAGUGCACAGAUGUGCGGUAUAAUACUUAGUUGUUUCAGUACAAAUCCACACUAAUGCUAAAAUCAGAUUAGAACUAAACGAUUUGGGUUUUAGUUUUCGGUGUCACGAAAUCUAAAUUAGAAAGCAUGAAACUAAGGCUGUAAUCUAUGAAAAAAAAAACGCUGGGUUUAAGGGUAUUCACAGAGAUUCAUGGACUAAAUCUAUGAUAAAAAUAAAUGAUAGAGGUAAUCGACUACGGUUUGUUCUAAAACUCGAGCAUGGAUGUAUGACUAUGUCACUCUCAUGAUCAUAACCAACUGUCACCCACGGUCCUGACUAGUAGUUUCCGACUCUGUCCCCAACCACAGGUGUACGUAAUCUUGCACUAGACUCAUCUACAUUCACAACUCACCCAUAGGUAGCUUUCGUCUCUUAUAGCAGAAUUACUUGUUACUCCUUAGAUCAGAUAGAUAAUGAAAUUUUUUUGCAACAUUAAGUAUCUAGAUCGAAUUCUAAGUGGCCAACAGAAAAACACGCAAUAAGAAUAAGAGUAAACAAAGAACACCUAGAAGAUUAUGAACCAUAAAUCUUACAAUUCAUAGAAAAAGACACAUGAAAUUCCUUUUAAAAAAUUCCUUUAAACCCAACUGGAAAACUACUCAAAGAUAUUAGUAUUUGAAUCUGUAGGAAAUUAAAUAGAACAAGGGAAAAGAACGAAAAACAGAGGUGAAGAUGGAGAAUCAAUGGUGCUCUCCUCGGUGGCUCCUCUUCAAAGAUGGCUUCUCCCUAGGGUUUUUUUUGUUAAAAAAAAAAGAAUCGAGCACACCCUCUUAGAAUGACCAAAAAGAGGUUUUUAUAGCUUCUGGAGUUGUCUUCAACGCUUCGAUUUUCAAAAAUAAUGAUGGGAUCGACCUGGGCUUGAUUUAGGUCUCUUGGGCCAUAGAUGAUGUCCAGCCGCGGUCGUGGUGUACGUACCCAAGGGGAACCAUAGUCUGCCGCGGUCGCGGCUCAUGUUCUGCUUCGAGACCGCAUCGGGAAUAUCUGAAGAUCUAACCGUUGGAUUGUCUCCAAAUCAAUUGCAUUAGAAAACUGGUUGCCUCCUAUGUAAUGUCUCAAAUUUUGGGGAUGAUCGGACGGUGAGAAGAUUUUCAUCGCUUGCCAUACUUCUGACGGUCUGCAUUUAUCUAAAAUUGUUCAUUUGUUCCAAAUUGCACAUCUUUAGUCCAAGUUUUCUGAAAAGUCUUUUGAAACUCUAAAAUAUUAAAAACAUUUUAAAACUAUGGAAAACAGAGUCAAAACAUACAGUAUGUAUAAGACAUCAAAACCAUCCAUAAAAAUGGUCAAAAUCUAGUGUUAUCAGUAAACGAUAAGAACAGCCACAACAUGCAAGGAGAGUGGUAUGAGCUUCUGAGUGCACGAAGUCGCUGCGAUUAGUGGCAGCAUGCUGCGACAAGUAAACAGAUGUUUCUUGUGACAAAUAUAACUAAAGAGGCCUGCUAGAGCGAUUGAGAAUGUAACGGGCCGAAGGCUCUAGCUGGGCCUAGUGGGCUUCAUUGGAUCAAAGGCAGACCCGGAUUCACUUGGGGGGUGUGGGGGGCUUCUUUUAUCGAGUGGGUUUAUCGAGUCGGGUUUUUGAGGGUAUAAAUACAGGCUUUAGGGAUUUUAAUUGAUUAUUCACACAUUCAGUUAAGAAACCCAAACGGGUGUUUACCUCAAUCGCAAUUUUCUUUCUCUUGUUUAUUGCUUUCUUCGGUUUGAUUCACGAAAAGUGGUAUCAUAGCUCAAGGUUUUUCCGCGAAACAUUGUCAUGACAAAGGGAAGUUCUCUUAUGUUUGAUGUUCCUAGGUUAGAUGGAAAAGGGAAUUUUGGUCUGUGGCAAAGUCGAGUCAAGGAUCUGCUGACGCAGCAAGGUGUGAAAUAGGCGCUAUUAGAGAAAAAGCCGAACAAGAUCAAGAAGGAUGAUUGGGACGAUAUGCAGGAUCAAGCUGUUUCGACGAUUCGACUUUGUCUCUCUGACGAUAUUACCAAUCAGGUGAUGAACAUCAUGACUUGCAAGGAGAUAUGGGAUAAGUUAGAGAAGGUCUACAUGUCGAAGUCGUUGUCCAGCAAGCUGUAUCUGAAACAGAUGUUGUAUGGGUUGAAGAUGGCAGAGAGUGGCGAUCUUAUUGCUCAUGUCAACAACUUCAACCAAAUCAUUGGAGAUCUGGAGCGUGUGGAUGUUAAAAUUGAGGACGAGGAUAAAGCCAUGAUCUUGUUGUGUUUUCUUCCUCUUCAGUUCGAGACUUUGGUGACAGCUAUUACAGUCGAAAAUGACUAUAUCGCUGGAAACGGUUUGUACUUCACUGCAAUCCCAUUGGGAAAGGCAACAGAACAUUACCAUGGUGGACAAGUCUUAAGGUGAUGAUUUAUACGUGAGUAUCAACCAGCAACGAGGAAGGCAAGAAAAGAAGCAGGAUGGAAGUAAAAGGGACAAGUCGAAGUCUAAGCCAGGGAAGAAUUCGAUAUGCUUUGGUUGUGGUUAGAAAGACAAUUAUCGAAGGGAUUAUUCUAACAGAAAGCAGAAUAGUGGAUCUGGUUCUGCAAACGUGGUCUAGAAGGAGGAUUCAGAUGACAGUGUAGGCGAUUUGUUGGCUGUGACAUCUGGUGAUCACACAGACUCUUGGAUACUGGAUACGGGUGCAUCAUUCCAGAUGACUCCUCACAGAGAAUGGUUUGAGACGUAUAGGGCUGGGAACAUGGGCUCUAUUCAGUUAGCAAACGACAUGUCAUGUGGUGUUGUUGGUACUGGAGAGGUCAAGUUUUGGAUGCAUGAUGGCAUCAUCAGAACAUUGACUAAUGUUAGGCAUGUUCCAGGGGUGAAGAAGAAUUUGGUCUCUUUGGGUACUCUUCACAAAAACGGAUUCAGACUCAGAGGUGAUGAAGAUGAAGACGUUUUGAAGGUUUGUAAGGGAUUUAUGGUGGUGAUUAAAGGGAAGAUGACAGCUGGGAACGUCUACAGGAUGUUAGUGAGUGUGGUUGUAGGUGGAGCUGCAGCUGCUGUGUCUGAAUCUGAUAGCACAACUCUUUGGCAUAUGCACAUACGACAUAUAGGAGAGCAUGGGUUUCUUGAACUCCAUAAAAUGGGUCUUCUGGAUGGGUUAAAGAACUGUAAAAUGGAUUUAUGCAAAUUCUGUGUGAUGGAAAAGCAGUCCAAAGUUUCGUUCAAGACAAGACAGCACACGAAAAAAGGUCUUUUAGACUAUGUUCAUUUCUGAUGUGUGGGGUCCGACUCGGGAACUGUCAUUGGGAGGGUCUAGGUACUUCAUCAUCUGACUUCUCCAGAAAAGUUUGGGUUUACUUCUUAAAGCAGAAAUCUGAAGUUUUUGUCAACUUCAAGGUUUGGAAGGCUGAAGUCAAAAAUCAGGUGGAGAAGAAGGUUAAGUAUCUAAGAUCAGAUACUGGCAUGGAGUAUACUGACGGGGAGUUUCAGAAGUUCUGUGAGGAACAUGGCAUUGAAAGACACUUCACUGUCAGGAAAACAACACAGCAAAAUGGUGUCAGUGAGAGGAUGAACUGAACUAUUGCAGAAAAGACAAGGUGUUUGACAUUGAAUGCAUGACUUCCUAAACAGUUCUGGGCAGAGGCAGUAAACAUGGCGGUGUAUCUUAUCAAUAGGUCGCCUAGGAGUUCUCUACAAGGGAAGGUGGCUGAAGAGAUUUGGAUUGAAAGAUAUUGAUCUGUCAAACUUGAAAAUAUUUGGAUGCCCAGCUUACAUGCUGGUUCCAAGUGACGAAAGAUCUAAACUGGAUUUGAAUUCCAAGAAGUGCAUAUUUCUGGGUUUUGUCAAAGGUGUGAAAGGCUUUAAGUUAUAUGAUCCUGUUGAUAAGAAGAGGGUAUUCAGUCGAGAUGUGGUCUUUGAUGAGCAGUAUAUGGUGCAGCAGGCGAGAACAGAUCGAGUUCUUGUGAUCAUUUAGACUGAAACAGAUUCCGGCACAUCACAGGAAGAGUCUAGUGAGACUAGACUAGCAACAGGACGUGAUAAGCAACCUGUUGAGGUGAAUCAGGACGUUCAGCAUAGUAAGGCAGAGGAGAGUUUGGCACUUGAAAGACCAAGACGCAUCAUAAAACCGCCUGAAAGAUUCGGGUUUGAAGACAUGGCUAGUUAUUGUCCGAUGGUUGGUUCAGGUGAUCCAGCAAAUUUUCGAGAGGUUAUCUCAAGUUUUGAGAAAGAUUUCUGUUAUUGGAGCUAUGACAGAAGAGAAUGAGAGCCUGGACAUAAAUCAAACAUGGGAUCUAACGCCUUUACCAAAAGGCAAGAGGGCGAUAGGAUGCAAGUGGGUUUUCAAGGUAAAACCUAAGAUAUCUGAGAAGGAACCAGUUAAGUACAAGGAAAAAUUGGUGGCAAAGGGUUACUCACAGAGGAAAGGGGUUGAUUAUGACAAAAUCUUCUCCCUUGUAGUUAGGCACACUUCUAUUAGAGCUGUGCUGGGUUUGGUAGCAAGCUGAGAUUUCUAUCUUGAACAGAUGGAUGUAAGGACAACAUUUCUUCAUGGAGAUCUGGACGAAGAGAUCUAUAUGGAGCAACCAGAGGGAUUUGUGAAACCAGGAGAGGAGAAGCUUGUGUGCAGACUUAAGAAGUUUCUGUAUGGAUUGAAGCAGGCUCCUAGGCAAUGGUACAAACGUUUUGACUCCUACAUGUUGAAGAUUGGCUACACAAGCUGUGAGUAUGACUGCUACAUCUAUGUAAGGUUUCUGGAUGGUCAUUCUCCCUUAUUCCUACUGAUCUAUGUUGAUGAUAUGCUCAUUGCUGCGAGAGAUAUGGAGGAUACUGAUAAGCUGAAAGAGUUAAUGUAGAAAGAGUUUGAUAUGAAGGAUCUUGGUGCUGCAAAGAAGAUCCUUGGGAUGGAAAUUCACAGAGAAAGAAGCUCAAGGAGAUUAUGGCUUUCUCAAAAGAGCUAUAUUCAGAAAAUUGUAGACAGGUUUGACAUGAGAGAUGCAAAAGCAGUGUCUACACCUUUGGCGAUGCACGUCUCAUUUUCAGCGAUGCAGUGUCCUAAGUCUAAUCAAGAGAUCAUAGCUAUGUCGAAAGUUCCUUAUGCAAGUACAGUUGGCUAUUUGAUGUAUACUAUGGUGUGCACUAGACCUGAUUUAGCACAAGCAGUUAGUCAAGUGAGCAAGUACAUGUCCAAUACUGGAAGAGAACACUGGAAAGCCGUCAAAUAGAUUUUCAGAUACUUAAAGGGUACAAGCGAUCUUGGACUUAUGUUUGGUGAUCAAGACUGUGGCUCAGUUGUGGGAUAUAUGGAUUCAGAUUAUGCUGCUGAUCUUGACAACAAAAGGUCUACUAUAGGGUAUAUCUUUACUCUUGCUGGAGGUCCUAUUUGUUGGAGAUCUGUGCUACAGUUUGUUUUGGCAAUGUCUACCACAGAACUGAGUAUAUGGGAAUGGGAGAAGCAGCUAAGGAAUCAAUUUGGGUCAAGGGACUUGUGACAGAACUGAGUGUUGAACAAGGUGGAGUUCAGCUAUACAGCAACAGUCAGAGUGCGUUGUUUCUAGCCAAGAACCCGGUUUAUCAUGCAAGGACGAAGCACAUUCAUGUCAGAUUUCAUAAGAUCAGAGAGUUGUCUGCAUCUGGAGAAGUCUUGUUGGAGAAGGUUCACACGUCAGAGAAUGCAGCUGAUAUGUUGACCAAACUCGUUACUGUGGAGAAGUUCAAGCAUUGCUUGGAUUUGCUCCAUGUCUUCAAGUGCUGAAGAAGGUGAAAUCCCCACCCCCUCCCCAAAGUGAUUGGAGUUUGAAGGUGAUUUUAUGAAGGUUUUUUGUCAGGGUGGAAAUUGUUGUUUCUAGUGACAAAGAUAACUAAAGAGACCUUGCUAGAGCGAGUUGAGGAAUGUAACAGGCCGAAGGCUAUAGUUGGUCUAGUGGACUUCAUUGAGUCAAAGGCGGAUGCGAAUUCACUUGGGAGGAUGUGGUGGGGCUUCGCCCCUCACGGUACGGUUUUCUUAAUAUGCUCAAUAAAAGAUUCACUACAAAAAAGAGAGGCUUUUCCGUCGAAUUAUUUACGAUGAUUUGUAGUCGUCGUAAAUUUACGACGACAUUACGUCGUAUUUACGACGAUCAAAAAUUUCGUCGUAAAUUCGACGUAAAAAAUAACCCUCGUAAAAUCGUCGUAAUGUUACGACGAUUUUACGACGAAUAAAGAACGAAUUUUAUUUCGUCGUAAUCUUAUCGUAAUAUUUACAUUGAUAAUAUGACGAAUUGUCCUCUAUCUAGUAAUUGACGUAAAAUCGAUGUAAAUGUGAUGUAAAUUUUAUUUCGACGUAUAUUUGAUGUAAAUAUGCAAUGGUAAUAUGUUGGUAACCAAACAAAAAAUUCUAUAUAUACCCUUCCUUCUCUCAUUAUUCCAUCAUCCCAAAAAAACAUAUAAAGACACAAAUUUUUUGAGUCUUUGAAUGUUUAAGUAAAAUUUUUGGUAGUUGAAAUUUCUAUCAAAUUUCAGAAACAAAAAGUCAAAUAUUUGUUUUUGAAAUAUCUAUAUACGAUCUACGAAAGUGGAUGUAUACGCCCAAAAAUGGUGAUGGGUCGUUGACUGAAGACUUCAAAAACGGAUUGGAAAUAUUCAUGUACCAAGCCGGCCUUCUGGAAACUGUAAUUGAAAGCGGCAAAGUGUAUUGUCCUUGUGUGAAAUGCAAAAAUAGGAAACAUAUUCUUAUUGACACUGUCUGGCAGCAUUUAUUGAAUAGAGGGUUCAUGCCCCAAUACUUUAUUUGGUAUCAGCAUGGAGAGGGAUAUGGUCAAAGUAGUGGUCAGAUGGCUGCACGGAGUAGUAGUAAUCAUCAAGAACAUGUGGAUUUUGAAGCGUCCAAUGAUUAUCAAAGUAGUCAAGUUCAGGGUGAAGAUCAUGAUAGGAUGCAUGAAAUGAUUACUGAUGCAUUUCAUGAAACACAUGCUGAUACUGUUGAGGAGCCCAAUGCAGAUGCGAAACGCUUUUAUGAUAUGUUAAACGCAGCAAAACAGCCUCUGUACGAGAGAUGUAGGGAAGGUUUAUCAAAAUUAUCAUUGGCAGCUCGGAUGAUGACAAUAAAAACAGAUCACAAUCUAUCUGAAGUUUGCAUGAACGAUUGGGCAGAUCUUAUUAAAGAGUAUUUGCCAGAUGAUAAUUUGGCUGCUGAAACGUAUUAUGAAAUUCAGAAGCUGGUUUUUAGUCUUGGAUUGCCUUCUGAGAUGAUUGAUGUUUGUGUUGAUAAUUGUAUGCUUUUUUGGAGAGAUGAUGAGAAGCUUGAAGAAUGUCGUUUCUGCCAAAAGCCAAGAUAUAGACCGCAAAUUGCUGGGCGUAAGAAGAUUCCUUACCAACGAAUGUGGUAUCUUCCUAUCACUGAUAGGUUAAAAAGACUAUAUCAAUCCGAACGGACAGCUGCGUCGAUGAGAUGGCAUGCGGAACAUUCACAAACAGAUGGCAAAAUGACUCACCCGUCUGACGGGAAAUCUUGGAAACAUUUUAACACCGUACAUCCAGACUUUACUAGGUCUAAGCGAAAUGUUUAUCUUGGUCUUUGCACUGACGGGUUUAGUCCAUUUGGUAUGUCUGGUAGGCAAUAUUCAUUAUGGCCUGUGAUUCUUACGCCAUAUAACCUUCCUCCAGAUAUGUGCAUGGAAAGAGAGUUUUUGUUUCUAAGUAUAUUAGUCCCUGGUCCAAAUCACCCGAAGCGGGCCCUUGAUGUUUUUUUGCAACCACUCAUACAUGAGUUAAACCAGUUGUGGCAUGUUGGAGUACGAACAUAUGACUGUUCGAGUGGUAAAAAUUUUACGAUGCGAGCGGUGCUUAUGUGGACAAUAAGCGAUUUCCCGGCAUACGGAAUGCUAUCAGGUUGGACAACGCAUGGGAGGUUAUCAUGUCCUUAUUGUCUUCAUAGGACUGAUGCAUUUCAGCUUAAACAUGGUAGGAAAACCUGUUGGUUUGAUUGCCACCGUCGGUUUUUACCACCAAACCAUCAAUAUAGAAGAAAUAGGCGUUUGUUUAUAAAGAACAAAUUGGUUCGUCUCCCUCCACCAGUGUACCUAACUGGAGUAGAGCUUGAAGCGCAAAUAGAUCAUUGUGGUGGACUUGAAACGGUCCCCUUGGAGGAAAUUGGCACACUCCUGCGAAUAUGCCUGACGGAUAUGGGGUUCAUCAUAAUUGGCACAAGAAAAGUAUAUUUUGGGAUCUGCCUUACUGGAAAGAUCAUUUGCUUAGACAUAAUCUUGAUGUUAUGCACAUUGAGAAGAAUUUUUCCGAUAACAUCAUGCAUACUGUUUUGAACGUCCAAGGAAGAACCAAAGACAGCGUUAAAUCACGGAUGGACUUACCCGAUAUAUGUAACAGAAUUGAGUUGCAUAUGGUGAGUAAUGGGAAAGCACCUGUUCCUGUAUUUCGGUUGGGUGCUGAACAAAAAACAGCAUUGUUUAAUUGGGUAUCAUCAGCCGUGAAAUUUCCUGAUGGAUAUGUAUCUAAUCUGGCUAAAUCUGUGGAUAAAGGACAAAAGUUUUCAGGGAUGAAAAGUCAUGAUUGUCAUGUGUUUAUGCAACGGUUACUUCCUUUUGCGUUUGCUGAACUCCUACCGGGACAUGUCCAUGAGGCACUAGGAGGCAUUGGAGCUUUUUUCCGUGAUCUAAGUACAAGGACAUUAUCAGAAGAUGUAGUUGCACAACUGUCUACAAAUAUUCCAAUAUUAUUGUGCAAUUUGGAGAAAAUAUUCCCACCUGCUUUCUUCGAUGUUAUGGAACAUUUACCUAUACACCUCCCUCAUGAAGCAGAGUUGGGAGGACCUGUUCAGUUUAGGUGGAUGUAUCCGUUUGAACGAUUUAUGAAGCAUUUGAAGGGUAAGGCCAAAAACUUAGCAAAAGUUGAAGGGUCUAUCGUGGCGGGAAGUCUGACAGAAGAGACUUCUCAUUUCACGUCUUAUUACUUUGCUCCAAAGGUUCGUACACGCAAACGGGCUCCAAGACGUUACGACGAUGGGGGUGUAGGACAAAGUUAUGCAGUAGAAGGUGUGCCUGAUAUAUUCUCACCAAUUGGACGUCUAAGUGGGAAACUAAAAGAAACUUGUUGGUCAAACGAACAAGACUACCACAGCGCACAUACAUAUAUACUUCUGAAUUGCGAGGAAUUGGCACCUUACGAGAGGUACAUAAUUAUAACCAUGUAUGAUUAAAAUUUGAUUGAACAUACGAAAUGUCCUUAACAAUGUUUCAAAAUUUCAGCACUUUCGUCAGUCAAGUCCGAGAAUGCAUUGACGGUGUUUCAGAAGAUGAAAUUAACAAGCGAAAAGACCAACAUUAUGCAUUGUGGUUAAAAGGUCAAGUCGAGCAUGAUGACAUGACAUAUGCAGUAUGGUUUCAUGAGUUGCUCUUAGGUCCUAUUUCGAAGAUAACUACUGCAGCUAUGUAUUUCACACGUGGCUAUGUUUUUCAUACUUAUAGUCAUGGCACUCAACGGGCAACUACAAACUAUGGAGUUUGUGUACGAGGUGAAGUAGACUUUUAUGGGAUCAUCAAAGAGAUAAUUGAAGUGGAAUACCCCGGAUUAGUCAGAAUGAAAACUGUUCUAUUCAAAUGUGGUUGGUUUGAUCCUACGGUAGGUCGUGGAGUGCGAAUUAACACAUUUGGAGUGGUAGAUGUAAACGCAUCUCGGCGAUACAAUAAGUUCGAGCCAUUUAUACUUGCAUCUCAAGCAGAACAAGUCACCUUUGUUCCAUAUCCUCGAGUUCGGAAUACGGGAAUUUCAUGGCUGGCGGUUGUCAAAGUUGCUCCAAGGGGUAUAAUUGAUGGUGUAGAUCUCCCGCCAAUGCAACAAGAUGAUUGUGUCGACAUUACAGAACCGGAUAUUGAAGAAAAUGUUCUUUUAAUUGAUCCACGUAAUCGACAAGUUGAAGAUCUACAUGGGGACGAAACUGAAGAAGGUGCUGAUUUCAAACAAGCAGUGAUGAUGAUGACAAUGAUGAUGACGACACCGAGGAAAAUGUUGAUGAAGACUAAUUAAAUAUUUUGACAUUUAAUUGCAUGCUUUGAACGUUUCAAUGUAACAUUUGUCAAAUUUAAAUUUUUGAAAAAUUAAAGCCAAUUAAUGAAGACUAAUUAAAUGUUGAUGAAAAUUUGUUUAAGUGUUGACUUGGACAUAUGUUGACUAUUACGACGAAUUUACGACGAUUAUUUAGAAAUCGUCGUAAAUUCGUCGUAAUAUGCAAACCCUAAACCCUAUAGGGUUUAGCUUUUCCAACUUACAGAAUGGUUUUUGGGUUCAUUUUCCUAAGUAAACUGAUGUAUUAUAUAAGAGUAUGUAGUAUAAGGUUCAGGAACUUGUAGAAAUGUGGUUUUUAUUACGACGAAUUUACGACGAAUGGGAGUGAUCGUCGUAAAUUCGUCGUAAUAUACCAUCAAAAAUACGACGAAAUGUAACCCCUAAAUCUUAUAAUCAAUCUUUUAUGGGGUUCAGAGGGGAUUUUGAUGAGGAGAAUGAAAUGGCUUACCAUCUCAUAAGGUAAAACAACUUUCUAAACAAAAAAAAAAAAAUUCAAAAUUUGACAUAUAUGUGUUUAUCAAGUAAUCUUAAGAUGUUAUAUACAUUUACACAAGAUGUAUGGAUUUAUCUUACAUCUUACUAAAUUCUUCAUUAAGUUAUGUAAACAUGCUAGAAAGUUAUACAGACCACAUUUAUCAUGAAUAGACAUGCUUGUAUGUCCUUAUGGAUGUUUCAAUUUUUGAAUUUCAUCAGUUUUCGUAUAGUUCGUCGUAAAUUCGUCGUAAUGUUACGACGAAUUUACGACGAUUAGUGGAUACACAGCCGUCUUAAUUUUUUUGAUUUAUACGAGUCGUCGUAAAAUCGUCGUAACAUUACGACGAUUUUACGCGAAUAGCACGGAUCGUCGUAAACUUGUCGCAAAGCCCAGAUACAGCCACGUGUGUUUGUCUUACUCGCUUUGUUGUACGGUGGGAUCUUUGCGACGAAUAUACGACGGAUUCGUCGUAAAUUCGUCAUAAUAUUUACGUCGAAUUUACGACGAAUAUAAAUUCUAUAUAUAGGACCUCACCUCUUCCUCAUUUCGUCGCUUAUCUCUCCUUCCUCUCUCUCUGCUUCCUCCUUCCCACCUCCUCCUUUUGACGAAAAAAAAAGGUAAAUAAUUUUUUUUAAUUACUUAAAAUUAUAAUAAUUUUAAAUAGUUUAGAAAUUCAAACGGUUUAGGUCGGGAAUUAGUUUAGGCUCAGAAUUUGUUAGAUUUAGGAUCGUAAUUAAAAAUUAAUUGUAAUUAAUUUGAAAAAUAAUUUUUUUUCGGUUUUGCAGACGAUGACUCGACGGAGGACGCAUUACAUCAAUUUCAUGACGGACGGACAUUCUUCCCGGGCGUCUGCCUCGGGAAACACCGAGACCGAUGUCCCUUCAUCUUCCGGAGCCUCCCAGGUUCCGAAUACCGCGGAGCCGUCUCCACCACCGCCUCCACCACCACCUCCACCGCCGGCUGUCGAACCGGUACCCGCCCCGGCUGCCGAACCGGUACCCGUCCCUCCUCAUCCGUAUGCCCAGUUUACGGUUGAGGAUUUACUAGCCUUACCGGGACGGGGGGCUUUACGACGUCUGGUUCCCGGAAAAGCGGAACCAGGCUUUUAUUGGUAAGUAAAUUUUUUGUUUUUUAUAGUUUUUAAAUUAACGCUUUAAUUUACUUAAAUAUUAAUGUAAUAAUUUUUUUUUUGGUUUCAUAGGUUUACUUUGGAUAAUUGUGUCGGACGGAGCGUUUCCGACACAAUUAAGAGUCAUUUCGUGGAGCCGCACGUCAAUUGGAGCAAGGUGUCGCAAGAGACGUGCGACACCUGGUACAAGUGCUUCGCGGUACGUAAUAUUUUUAAAAUCUUAUUUAUAUCAUUUUAAAUUGUUUUAAAUUUAAUUAAUCUUACUUUUAUAUUGUCAAUCUAAUUUUUUGUUUUCUUUUGCAGCAACGGUGGAACUGGGACAUCGGGAUCAAUGAGACGGUCCGCGAAGCUUUCGAGGAAAAGGCGAAGAAACGCCUAGUCAACACCGUUUCCGAUUGGAAGCGGAAAUGGGAGACCAACGGCGACGACGCAAAGCCGAGCUCCAUGUCCACUUGGUGUUGGAACGGGUUGAAGGCGUAUUGGGUGGACCCGCAUGCUCAAACCACCGCUGCUAAGUGUUCGGCCGUCCGAAACCGGGUCGAUCCGGUGACUGGUGAGAAGUUAGUGACCCCGCACACUUCUGGCCAAAUAUCUUUUGCAGGAAGACGUCUCAUGAUGGUAAGUAAUUAACUAUAAAUUAUUUCAUUAUUAUUUUAAUUUUAUUUAUUGCUAGAAUUAAUUAAAUAUUUUUGACUAAUAAUGUUUAUUAAUUGGUAGGCCGAGGAGAACGGAAGAGAACUACCUCCAAUGACGAAGCUCUUCGAGACCACUCACCGGAAGAAGGACGGGAGCUUUGUCGACGCUCGAGGAGAUCUACAAUGCCGCUAUGCAGCGGAUCGCCGAGCGGGAGACCCAGGCCACACCUGACGGUACUAUCCAAGUACCGUUGACCGUCGCUGAGCAAGACCAGAUUUUCGAAGAGGUAUGAUAUCUAUUUCAAUUUUUUAAAAAUUUAUUAUAUUUAUAAUUACUUAAUAAAUAAUUAACGUUUUUAUUUUCCAUUUGUAAGUUGCUCCGAAGAAGAAGGGUCGAACCUUAGGGAUGGGCUCUAUUAGAGACUGUCCUGCCGCCACGGCUUCCGGAUUCCGCUCGCAGGAUCCGCAGCUUCGUCAGGAGCUUGCUACGGCCAAUGCUGAGAUCACCAGUCUCAGGCAUGAGCAAGUGGCCCAGAAGCAGGAGCUCACCGAGAUACAUGAUCUCUUCGACAUCAUUGCGGAAGCGGUUCCGCAGUUGACCACUGCAAUCCGAGCGAGGCAACAGCGAGCACGGAGGGUUUUUGAGACCGGUGGUAGUUCCGGUACUGGACCAUCGGACCACCAGACGCAGGGCGGUCAGUCUUCGGCUCCGGUCUCAGCAGCGACAGGCGGUCAGACUUCGGCUCCGGUAGUGCAGACGGGAAAAGUCGGCCUAGCAGCGACGGGCGGCCAAGACGGAGAGCCUCCUCGUGACGUCGAUCUCAACCUCGACGAUUACAACAUCAUUGUAUAGAUUAGGUUUUUUUGUAAAAAACAAUUUGUAUAAUUUUUUUUUUAUUUAUAAAUUAUUUUUGAAUUUAAAUUGAAAUUUAAAUUCAAAUUUUUUCUAUUUUUAAUUUUUUGAUUAUUUUAAAAAUUCAUUAAUUAAAUUAAAAUCGAAUUAAAUAAUUAAUUUAUAAAUCGACGUAAAUUCGUCGUAAAUUUAUGUCGAUUUAACGUCGAAUAUUUAACGACGAAUUUACGACGAAUAAGUUUACGUCGAUUUAACAUCGACAAUUAAAAAUUUAGUUUCCCUUAAUUGAAAUUGUUCGUCUCCUAAACGUUGUAAAAUCGAUGUAAUUUUACAUCGAUUUUACGUCGUUUUUAUGAUGGAAUUUUUUCGUUGUACAUCCGUUGGAAAAUUUACGACGCAUUUUCGACGAAUAGUUCCCGACGAUUUUACGACGAUUUUCCGGAGUUGGUAAUUUUACGACAAUUUUACGACAAUUUCGGUUUUACGACGAUCGUUUUACGACGAUUUUUAAUUCGUCGUUAAUUCGACGUAAAUGCUCUUUUACGUCGAUUUUACGUCGAUAUCUGCCGACGUAAAAGCCAAUCUUUCUUGUAGUGAUUUUCUUUAUGGAGUGAAUUUGAAAGUCGUGUUUUUAGGAUAUAAAUACAAGCUUUAAGGAUUGUAAUUGAUUAUUCACAUAUUUAAUAAAAAAAAACCCUAAACGGAUAUUUAUACCUUAAUUGCAAUUUUCUUUCUUUUAUUAUUGCUUUAUUCGGUUUGAUUCACAACAUAAACAAGUAACAUUUGGUCGCAGCUUCGGUCGCAUUCACUAGCAAUUAUCAAAUGAAGAUGGCCUUUCUCUUAUAUAUUGAUAUAAUAAUGAAUCUGUUACAUAUUCUUCUUACUCAAGAUCACUAGUUAGUGAAGUGUUACGUGUCUGUUUAUAUUUUCUUUCCACAAAUAUAAAUUCCUUGGCAGCCUAUUUAUAACUAGUUUUUUAUUUUCUCCAACCUUAAGAGUGGAAUAAUGAAAUAACACUGUUAAGCAAAUGUCGCAAAACCGAAAGAGAAUAACAUAAUAAACUAAAGACGAUCUUAUUAUGGAAACAACGAAGCGAUUACAACACAGGCCAUUACGAUAUGAAACUUUAUUCCCAUACUUUUCAUUUCUUAAUCCAUCAUGCCCCUUAAGAACACUUGGGGCACUUACACAUACACAUAUAAGUGUAUAUAUAGAUCCAACCAUGCAUUAUAUAGUUUUAGUGACCGGGUUGAGUCUGAACAGCUUCUCCGGCAUAAGAACAACACCUUGAGCAGCCACGGUAACCUCUGUAGCAGCAACCGUGACGGCAAUAACCUCCUCCACGGCCUCCUCCGUUGUAUCCUCCUCCGCGGUGUCCUCCUCCGUUGUAACCUCCUCCUCCGUUGUAUCCUCCUCCGUUGUGUCCUCCUCCAUUGUAUCCUCCUCCUCCGUGGUGUCCUCCUCCGUUGUAACCUCCUCCUCCGUUGUAGCCACCACCAUAUCCAUCGGGUUUCACAUUUUCCUCACUUUCUGACUUCGCUGUAGCUGUCAAAAAUAAUACAUUUCAAAGAUAUUAUUAGCACGUUCAAAUUUGCAUUCCUCACCCAGAAUUUAGAACUAUUUUUCUAUUUGCAAAAAAUAUUAAGAGAUAUAAGUUUGCAUCUCUAGCUAGUUUGUUUCAAAACAUUUACAACAUAAGAUAUACGUUCUAAACAUUUUUGCUCUAAAUGUUUGAGAUGAUCCCGAUACAUAUAAUAAGAAUUCAACAUCAUACUUAAGUGUAUUUUGAUUUUCGUAAGUCUCCAGCCUUAUAACAAACUAAAUAGUUGAAUGAAUCUAUCACCCAAUGGAAGAAGUAGACAGAAACAUAAAAAAUAAUGUUACAUACCCGACUGCCUUUCGGAUGCCGCUGCCCUUUCUGAGACGACGAAAAGAAGUGCAAAGAGACCCAACAGAAUUAAAGCCCUCGAAGCCAUUUUCUUCAACUGUUCAACUCUUUGUUUUAGAACGUGUGAUGAAUAAAAAUGUCACCAUGUAUGCCUCUAUUUAAAGAAAACGAGGAGGAGGGAAUGAGAAGAGUAAAAAAAAACCUAAUCCCUAGUCCAAUAAAAAUAACUCAAAAGAAAAGUUAAGAAAUUUAAUAAUUUAUGACAAUAAAAAUAGUAAGAAGAAGAUAAGUAUCGAUUGCAUAGGGCCCAUUUAUGGUUGGUUGUUGGAAUCAUUGUAAAUAAUUUUGAAACUCCUUAAAUGGCAACUCUCCACUAGUCUUUUAGAUGUUUCUAUAAAACGUCUCAAACACAGCGCAUUCACACGUAUAUAGUCAUAGACAUAUUAAAAAAUAUUAUUGGAUUAUUUCGAGAAUAAUAUUCAUUAUUGGAGAGUUGGAGACUUGGACUAUUGUUUAUGAAUCGUCCUUUACAAUCUCAACCGACAGAUUUUACGCAGAAGGAUAUAGACAAAUCAUAUGGACUUAAAAUCAGUAAGUCAUAUAGGAGCGAUACGUAGUAGUUAAUAAGGACAGACGCAAAAUAUUAAGUCAUAUAGGAGCGUACGUAGUAGUUAAUAAGGGCAGACGCAAAAUAUUGCACGGCUAUAUUGUUGGGAUAUCAAUCCAAGUUUCACAUCUAAAAUUUAAACUAAUGUACUCAAAUAUAUAAGUAAAAUGUUUAAUAGUUUAGUAUAAAAUUUUUUGGAAGAAAUUUAAAAACAAAUCCGUGCAUGCUUUGUCAUUUGAAUCCAAAGUGGACAAUAUCAUACUAAUAGAGAAUUGGACAUGGAUUUGAAAAGUUCAACAAUUGGUAUCAGAACCAGGUUCUGGAAAAAAUGGAUCUGGACAAAUGGGUGUGGACUGUGUGUUCGGUGUGGGAGGGAGAGCCCUCAAAGUAACCUUGCGAUUAGGGUGCUGGUGCUUUGUAUCAAAAGUCUUCCGAUUGGGCUUUUCAAGCUCAUGUCCAACUCCCUAUUAGUAUGAUAUUGUCUGCUUUGGGCCCAAAUGACAAAGCCCGCACAGAUUUAUUUUUGGAUUCGGGUUUGAGUGGUCCUUAGCUAGAGGAGAGGAUUGUUGGGAUAUCAAUCCAAGUCCCACAUCCAAAGUUUAGACCAAUAUGGUCUAGUAUAUAAGCAAGAUGUCCAAUAGUUUAGUAUGAGACCUUUUGAGAAGGAAUCCAAAAACAAAUUCGUGCGGGCUUUGCCAUUUAGGCCAAAACGGACAAUAUCAUACUAAUAAGGAGUUGGACUGGGCUUGAAAAACCCAAUAUGAAGACUUUCGAUACAAGGCACCAGCACCCCAAUCGCAAGGUUACCUUGAGGGCUCUCCCUCCCACACCGAACACACAGUCCACACCCACUUCUCUAGUCUACCUUUUCCAGAACCUGACUCUGAUACCAAUUGUUAGAUUUUCAAGUCCUUGUCCAACUCUCUAUUAGUAUGAUAUUGUCUGCUUUGAGUCCAAGUAGAAAAGCCCGCACGUAUUUGUUUUUGAAUUCCUUUCCAAAAGGCCUCAUACUAAACUAUUGGAUAUCUUUAUGUACUAGACCAUGUUGGUCUUUACUUCGGAUGUGAGACUUGGAUUGAUAUCCCAACACUUUUUAACAGUUGCGAAAAGGUUAGGAGAAGAGUUUCGUUGGUGCGUACGGUGAUACAAGAUGGGUGCCAAGUUUCGCAGGAGGUUGGGAGGCCACGGGUUUGUGUGAUCCUUGGCUUAAGGGGAGAAUUAUUGGGAUAUCAAUCCAAACCUCAUAUCUGAAAUUUAGAGCAAUAUGGUCUAGAAUAUAAGCAAGAUGUCCAAUAGUUUAGUAUAGGGCAUUGUGGAUAAGAAUCCAAAACAAAUCCAUGCGGGGUUAGCCAUUUAGACUCAAAGCAGAUAAUAUCAUACUAAUAGAAAGUUAGACAUGGGCUUGAAAAGCCCAACAUAUAUUAAUCACAGCUAUUCUAAUGGAAAAUUUUUUUAAUGAAAUUAUCUAUUCAAGUCAUUUAAGCGUAAGGCUUGAUAUUCAGUAAAUGAGUUGAGAAUUAGUUAAUAAUAUUAAUAAAGGUCAUUGAGUGUGGACAUGUUAGUUACUUUCCUGCUACUUGCAUUUGACUUAAGAGUGAAAUUCAUAAGAUUGUACAAACAAAUUGUCUAACACAUGAGACUUGUGAUACCAAGAACAAUACAUGCACACAAUAAGCCAUGGUAGCUCAAUUAUUCGUUUGGAAUGUAAAACAUCACAUACAUGUCUAAUUCAAGUUUUACUUGAUAUAAAAAUUAAACGGAUGAUAUAAAGGAUCUAAGAACACCUCCAUUAGUGAGAUACAUCAAUAUAAUAUUAAUACUGCAUUUAAAAUAUACUUUAACUUUGCAAUUUUAAGUUUUCUAAAAAACAUUCAUGAAAAGAUAUAUGUUACAUUAGUCUCUCAUAUGGUUUACAAAUGAUAAUCCAUUCUCAUUCCCCAUUCUUUCUUUAAUAUGAGAAAUCCAGUGAAAUAUUCUCAAUAGAGAUGUUUUAAAGCCUCUAAUUAAUUAGCAUGAAUAUUUUACUUAUUAAAAAUGUAUAAUUUCAAGCUUGUGACUCAUCAAGGAGAACAUCCAAAACGACUUAAUCAUAAGUACGAGUUGGGAUUAAGCAAGAAUUGGGAACUGGACAGAGAGCAAAAAAUUAGAAAAUACGGAACACAAAUAGUAAUAGUUAAUGGUAAUAGUUAAAGGUAUCAACUUAAUCAUAAGGACGAGGGUGAUCUUUGUCUUACACAUAAUUCUUUUCCCCCUUAUUUCCUCUUAGUUUGGUUGUAAGGAUUAUCUAGAGGGUUGUAGCCUGUAGGAUAUAUGAUCUAGAGAUUGUGAAAGAUCUCUCGAAAAUUCUCAAGAAUUAGUCUACAAAAUAAAUUCCUAAGAAUCCUUCCCCAAUCCAAAGGAUCACGCUAGCAAUCCCCAAACCUCCGCUUUUGUCACUUAUCUUACCCUAGAUGGAUCUUCAAUACAGAUCGUUUUAUCCAUUUGAUCAAUACCAUACAAUUUAGGUGUCUUUGUAUAACAAGGCGUAGUAUAUCCCUUAUUUGGUAUUCACGCAACACAAUGAAACACAUGACUAUAUCUUUGUGUUUUUCCACUCAUUUUCGAAUUCUUUCUCUUUGUGUUAGAUUUAUUUUUGAGAGGCUGUCUCUUUUUUUUGGACAAAAGAAUAGAUACCUACAACUGUUUUAUAACAUAAACAAUAUCUUGCAGUCCGCCGCGUUGAAUGUAUGAAAUAGAGAAAGCUAAAACCUUCCUUACACAUGUUGAAUUCCUCCAUGCGGUAUAAACAUCAUCGUCACCAACUCGAAAUAGUCUGUAACAAAAGAUGUUGUCUUCUGAUAUUCGAUUAUACAGUGCAUGAUCCAAAUGAAUGCUUCUACUUCAACGUGCAAAGGAAAGAUUUUCUUGUAGACUUUUGCUCCCAUUAAUAUCAUUCAAUAUAUUCUUGGAAGCAAUGCCAUCCUAGUCUGGAAAAAUUGUCGGUUUAGUUUUCUUGUAAGAGCAGUCUAUGUAGCAUCAAAUAAUUUAACCAAAUUUCCUUGGGUCAACGAUCUAUUUUUUUAUGGGAAUUAUCUAUAGCAUGAGAUGUCUCCCGACCUAUAUAUGCCUUCUUUCUAUAUCUCCACGAAAUCGGGUUAAGACCUAUUUGAGAGAUUAAUAUUUUUAAGUUUGUUUUUGUGGGGAUAUACACAGAGAAAAUAAUUUAAUGUACGUUAACAUCUGAUGAUGGCUGAUGCUACAGUAAAAAUUCUAUAUAUUAAUAAUGUUGGAACUUUAAAAUUUUAUUAAUUUAGCAAAUUAUUAAUUUAUAAAGAAAUUAAUUUAACCAAAAUUUAAAUUUAAAACCAAAUAAUUAAUUGAGUUUAUUAAUUUAUCAAAUAUUAAUUUAUAGAAUUUCUGUUGUAUAUAUAUGAUAGUUCUCGUGAUUCUUUCUAUCCUUUCUAAGAAAGAGAAGUUAUCAAAUACAUUUAAUGGUGGAUACGUGGAGUCUCGGUCAGGAUUGUUGAUCACCACACGUGAUAGUGAAAUUGUAAUUUGGUAAUAAUAAGGGGAAAUGUUCAGCUAAAAAAAUUAAAUGAAACUCAGACCAUGCAAGUGUUGGAACCUUACUCAAUGAAUUGAUUGCUUGUUUCGAUCCAAAAUUCAAAAAGCAAUAACUAUAGCUGAUGCUGACUAUUGAGAAGAAAGUUCUAAAUUGGCAACUCAAACUAACCACAUGAUAGUAUGAUACAUAAUGACAUUCUUUCAAUUUUAUAGCCUUUUCUAUCAAAUUGAAAAUAUGGAAAACCAAAUUAUAUUUUUAAUAUUUAAAACAAGAUACUAGCUAUUCUAUAACUUUAGUAUACCCAGGUAAAGAAAAUAAGAUUUAGAUUCUAUAUUGAAUAAGAAUCAGUCUAAUUAUGACUCAUAUAGUUAGAUUUCAAUUAAAACUCUUAUUAGUUAUUCAGAAAUUAUGUUUUAUAAUUUGUAAGUAAGAAAAUUUAAAAUUAAUCUAUAUUAAUCAUAAAUAACCCUCUUAAAUAAAUAAGAGGUUAUAAGACAAUAAUUUACAUUUUUCAAUUUGUAGUUUCUAUUUAUUUCUGUAUUUUACUUUUUAUUUUAUUUUAUUAGUUUCUUUUUUUGAACCAAAAAUUAUUUUGUUUUAUAUUUAAUUUUUUAAUAUUUAAAUAUAAAUAACUAAAAUUUAAAAACUUAAAUUAUUAUAUUAACAUAUGUUACAAUCUAAACUAAUAAUGACACAUAUAAUAUCUGUAAAAAGUUAUAAUUAUUCUAUGUGUCAUGCUAACGUAGAUCUUACCAAGUAGGAUUGUAACACUAGAUAGAUUCAACUCUGCAUAAUACGUAAAAAAUAAUAAAAUAUUUAGAUGAUCUGGUCAUCGAUCUAGCAAACCACCACAAGGUGAUCUCAAUGCCCAUAGACGAUCCAACCGAGCCAUCCGAAGCUGAUUGGAGCCUUGUUGAAGCUGUAUCGGUGAAACCAAAUACCAAAUCAACUGAGGGAAGGCAUUUUUACCAACCAACCAACCCCAGUGAAGACUGAUCAAGCAAAAACACUUUUGACUCAAACCAGAACUGAAGAUAACCGAGACAUUCCACCUAAUAGCCAAGGAGCGGUUAUACCAUCACCAUCUUUGACCAAACCGGUGAUUCAUGAUCCAAGAACCAAUAUUCAUCGACCAACCGACCAUAAGGAGUAUUCUGUACGAGAUAUUUCAUGUCUUAACCAAGCUAGAAGUAAAGAUAACCGGAGCCUCACCAACCGGCUUGAUUACAAACCAGAUUUUACCCGAGAAGAGACUUGGGCUGAUUUCUUAGAGAUCAAACUCAAUCACCAAGAACUAAUAUCAAACCUGAUUUGCUCUGUGUUCUUGACCCAUUAAGGAAUCACGGUGAAUUGGAAUCAGUCCAACUUACCCGAUUGGAAAUAUGCACCUUAAUUGAAGCAUUCCGACCAAGCCGGGAGGAAUUAAGCUGCGAAAUGACUUGUUCUGGAAUCUGGGUUCAUCAAGGAAUCCGGGAUAGUUGGAAUCACACCAAGUCCGGUUUUCAUUUGGGAGAUACUCCAUUUCUAAACCGACCGAUGGUUUCCCAGCUUGCCUUAUUUGAAACCCUAUGGGUUUAGGAGACACUAGACGUAUCAGUGGCAUCCAGGAGACUGUGCUAUUUCCAGAAGUUCCCUAAAAUACUCUAGAGUGCACCCGUACGCCUUGGAUCAGGCGGAUCCAUCUGUACCUUCAAUUGAACUAACUAGGGCCGAUUAUAGAAACUACGAAGACCGACCAGUUCAAUUAUGAGCAAACCAAGAUAUCACGACCAGAAGAGAUUCUUAGACAAUUAAGGAGCUUAAAAACACCUUCCCAUGCACCAGAAACCACAGGAUCAGACGGAUCUUCUUGCAAGUCCACUUUCCUUAUGUAGCUGCGUUCACAUUAGGAGCCAUAACUUUCCAACGGCUCUUUGUCUUUAAGUGCUACGAUAUGGACAACUUUUUUGGAGAUAAGAAUGUUCCAGAAAUUCUCACUAAUCCUCUUAAACCUUACGGAUACAAAGGCGUCAUCACAAUUGCCUUAGUUGCCGAGACCCUCCAUUAAGAGCCAACAGCUAGUUUUUGAUAUAUUUUUGAUUUGUUCCUUUACUCUAGAUUUUUAGACCGUUUGUAAUUAAGCUUGUAGGAGCUCUAUACAAGCUCAGCUCAGGUAAUUUUUACAAUUCACCUUUAAAUCCAGAUUAAUACAAAGUAUUCCUUUUUCUUUCAAAGUUGUGUCUUUGCAAAGACUUGUUCUUUUCUUUAGAAUUAAGUGUGAGAUUCACUUAGCUCUAUAGAAGCUGCGAAAUUAGUUUGUUUAUGAGAUUCAAACAAACUAUUUCGUCGACAUAUUGAGAGAGUCAAUCAACCCCCAUCGAUUGAGAGUCAAUCACCCUAUCAUCAUCUUUAUCUCGACUUCAUUCCACCUUCCGCAGAAUAAGUUUGGAAUAUCUUCAUCAUUAAGUGAUCAUAAGUUGGAGUGAUUUCAAUCUUGUAUCAAUUAAUAAUGACACAUGUAAUGAUAUAGAAAGUUAUAAUUAUCCUACGUGUCAUGCUAGCGUAGAUCUUACCAAGUAGGGUUGUAACACUAGAUAGAUUCGGCUCUGCAUAAUAUGCAGAAAAAUAAUAAAAUAUUUAGGUUUUCAAUUUUUAUAAUCUGCAUAAUUAUGACUUGUACAGUUUGAUAUAUACUAUUAUUUGCGAGGUCAAAAAUCUGAUGUGUCAUCAUCACAGUGAUUGUCUUAUGUGUCAUUAAUAAAAAACAAUUAUGUGUUGUUUUAAUUUGUUUUGAUAGGUCAAUCAUUAGUCCUACGUGUACAUAUCCAUGACAUGGUUUUUUUUCUUAAUUAUGGGCCAAAGAUUUUGCUAAUGGGCCACCGAUCUUAAAGUUUGUCCUAGCCACCGAUGUAAAAGUCGGUACUAACCUAAACCCUAGCGUAUCCAUCGUGCUAGAUAUACCCAUUUCGGUUUUCAUAUUUUCUUACAUAUAAUAUCUGUCUACUAAAAAAAAAAUUGUUCACCUCUUUUUUUAAAAAAAAACUAUCAUAGCAUUUAAAAAAAACGUCCACCUCUUUUUUAAAAAAAGGAUCAUAUCAUUUUUUAUAUACUCCAUCUCUUUUUUUUAAACAAUCUCUAUGAUUAUUUAUGCGUAUUUCUAAUGAAAAUAACCUACUAUUUUUUGUAUAAUUGAUAUUUUGAUGGUUCUAUAGUUCAUCUCUCGCCUUACAAUGGAAUCGUCAGGUAAAUAUACAUUUUUGAUUUUAUCUUAGUUCGUGCUUUUAAUGUUUUUUCAGAUUCUAGAAGUUUUUCUUUUGUAAAUCCACGGCGUAAUAGUUAUUUGCUUCAAAACUUUUAUGAAUUUUCUGUAGCGAUUAGCAAUCGUCCCUUUCAUGAUCCUCAGAUUUUCUAUAUCAUCUGCCGCCAUCUCAAAUCGUUUUUCCACGAGAUGAAGAUUCUUCUGCCAGUGUUAACAAUGAUAAAUUUAUCGGUUGGUCGAAGUGUAAUCAGGACUAUCCAGAAUCCAGAUCGUUAUGUAUUCUGAAUUUCUGACACGUUGGAUUUGAGAUUGUUAAAAACAUCAUGGCAUCCCCGUCUCUGCGGAAUCUCCACACCGAGUAUUAUAUCCAAUUGUAACCCCAACACUGGUACUGCUUAAGGGUUUUAUUGCAUGUCGUUUGCAGUCCAUGUUCUUAUAUUGAUAUAAGAACAAAUAAAUGGUGUUGUCCACCCUACUUUCAAAGAUGCAUGUUAUGUUUUAGGUUAAAUUCACGAUGAUACUGAGAAUGUUUAAGCUUUCUAUAAGGCAAGUCAAUGAGGUUCCCGCUUCUCUCUCUUCAAAUGAGGUUCACUACUUUGUUACAUCCAGGUUCUAUGAUGAAUCACUUUUGUGUAUGGAGAUCCAUUCAAUGUUUUUUAGUAUAAGUUUUGUCAAUUUUUUGCAUUGUCUUUGAUUUUCUUUUCUUUCAUUAUAUUAUUUUAACAAUUUCUUAGAUUUUUUAUUCUGUUCUGCCCGGUUUCGGUUGAGAGGUUUACUAUUUGAGAUUUUUGUUGGACGUUGUUAGGUAUUUUUAUUGGACGUUGUUAGGUAUUUUUAUUGGAAGUUGUUAGUCUUGGUGCUCAUGCUUUAUAUAUAGAUGAUAUCCAGUAGCUAAAGAUUUGUGUACUUAGUGGUUCGUUUGUUCGGUUGGUAAUUUUUUGUUUGGGUUUUUGAAUUUGGUUUUGUAUUAUUUUUUCAGUCGGUUAGAUUGAUAUUUGGUGCGUGUUGGUUAUAUAUUUUGUGGUUUAAUGAUUACACUAUUAUAUAUAUAUAUACAUAUAUAUAUAGUUGUAGUGUGGUUUUUAGACAAAAUUCUCUUUUUUCAAUUUUUGCGAUAGUUUAUUUUUCAAGAAUGUCACAUAUUUAUUCAUUGAGCUUUUGUGGUGUUUAUGAUUUCUAAUAUGUCUACGGUUUUGUCAGAUAUGAUUGUAAUUAUUUACCUAAGCUCUUAAAAUUAUUAUUUAUUAUAUAAUCUAUACAUAUAUUGUGAUCAAAGUAAAGAAUGUAUAUCCUAGGGUUAUUUAACUAUGAUCUGAAAUUUAGUAUUUAUUAUAUAUAAUCUAAUAAGGAGAUGAAGACGACCAAUGAAGUCGGAAGGUGAAGAUGAUAAAAAUAUAGAAGACAAAGUAAAAUAAAAAAAUGAAAAAAAAGAAGUAGAAGAAGAGGAGAAAAAAAGAUAAAUCAAAAUAUAAAGAAGAAGCUGUAGUUGAUGAUAAAAACUAAAGAAAAAUAUGAACAUAAAUUUGAAUAAAACCAUAGAGAAAAAGAAGAAGAUGAGAACACAGAAUAGUGAAGAAGAAUAUUGAUAAGAAAAAAGAAAUUUGGCUUUGAAUAAGAAAACCAGAAGAAAUAAAUGAAAGAUGUAGAAACAAAGUAAAGACGAGGAAAUGGGAAAAUGAGUAGGUGUAGAUGAAAAAAAAAAGAUGAAAACACUAGAAGAAGAUAAAUUUGACAAAGACCAAAGAGGAAUAAGAAGUAAAGAAUAAAGAAGGCUAAUAAAAAUCAAAAAAGAAAGAAGAACAAGAAGAAAAAGAAGAAAAAGAAGAGCUGAGAAAUAUAACGAUGAUGAAGAAGAAGUCAAAACGAUGAUGAAGAUGAAAGAAAAUUAUGAAAAAUAAGAAAAUCGAAAGAUAUAUAAGACGAAGAAGAAAGUACAAGUCAAAGAUGAUGAAUAAGAAGGAAAAUAUGAAGAAGAAGAAGACUUUGGGACAGAAAAAAAAAACAAUGUCUUUAAAUUAUAUAUUAGAGAAUGAAGAAGAAAGACAUAUAAAAACCAAAAAAAUAAAAGAAUAAGGAAAAUACAAAGAAAAAAAAAACCAAAAGAUAAAAAGUAGAAAAAAGAGUAGAACAAAAUAGAAGAGCAAGAAGAAGGAGACAAGUCUGAAGUGGGAAUUGAAAUAGAAGUUGAAGACGAUGAAGAAGAGGAAAGAAAACAUAAGAAAUAAGAAAAUUGAAGUCAAUGAUAAAGAAGAAGUAAAAGACGAAGAAGAAGACUGAAAAAAAGAAAAAUAAAAAUCAUAAUAAGAAAAAUUAUGACAAGACGAAAUGUUGACAACUAAAAAUGGGAAGAGGAUGACGAAUUUAGAGAGAGAGAGAGAGAGAGAGAGAGAGAGAGAGAGAGAGAGAGAGAGAGAAAUUGUGGUAAUGCUUUCAGGGACAUGUAGAUGGAGAGAGAGAGACAGUGAGUGAGAGAAAUAGAGAGAGAGAGAGAGUAAGAGAAAUGAGAAAGAGAGAGUUAAACAUUUCAAGUACAUGACAUUAAAUCUAUGUUAGUUCGUCUUUUCUGUGUUUCUAUUUUUUUUUAUAUCUGAGACACUUCUUACUUUAAAUGUAGUUGUCUAAAUCGUAGAUAUAUACAACUUAAGACGAGGGAAGAAGAGAGAGAGAGUGAGAGAGAAAUACUGAAACAGAGGGAGGGUAAGAGAGAGAAUGAUAGGGAGGGACGCAUGGAGGGGGAGAGAAAGUUAAAGUUUUCAGGUAUAUGUAUUUGAUUAAUAUAAAAGACGAAGAAAAACAAGAAGAAUAUGAAGUCAGAGAGAUCAAAGAAGACGAAGGUGAUGAUGAAGAAGAAGAAUUCGAAGUAGAAGAGGAAGAAGUUGCGAAUAAGAUGUGGAAAACAUGAAGAAGAAGAAGACGUGAUUAAAAAAAAAAAACUAAAGAAUAAGAAGUAAGAAAAGACAUAUAGAAUGAAGAAGAAAUAAAAGAAAAUGAAAAGAAAGUAAGAAUAUGCGAGAGUAGAAUGAGAGAUAAAGGUGGAAAACUAUGAAUAAAGAUAAGGAAAAGACAAUAAAGAAGAAAAAUCAAAAGAUAAAUAAGAGGAAAAAAAUGAUGAAAAGCGAUUAUGUGGAGUGAUAACUAUGAGUUUUCAAGACUCUUUGUAGAGGUUAUCAAUCCCUUGUCUUGUAGUACAAGGGGUUUAUCAAUCCAAGAAUGUGGUGAUAGACACUAAGCUAUGUAAUCAGGUUCUUAAUUCAAGCAAACAAGAGUGGUUUGGUUAACUAGAGACAACUACAAACUUAAACAGGAUUAAAGACUAAUGAAAUGAUUAAACAAGAACUAAACAAUGAGAAAUGAUGAGAAUGUAUGAAUGAUGAUGAGAAAAGUCUUAGACAUGAUAGUGGAUUAGGGUGCCUUCAGUGAUAAACUAAUGAGCUAAUGAAUCAUAUGAUCAAGCAAACCAUUCAACAUAAACAUCUUUAAUUAAGUUAAUCCUCUCAUGAAGGUAUUAACUCCUAUGCUAAAACAGUUUCUAACCCAAUCAUCAUCAGUGAAACAUGAGUUAACAAGCAUUAAGAAUCAGUUUAAUCUGUCAUUUAAGCAUAUAGACAAUCAUUCCCAUGAUGAAUAACACUUAAACCUAUAACAACCUUGGUUCAAACAUUUCAUCAAACACUUUUGAUGCAUGAAAUGCCCAGAAUCUAGACCACAUAUGAUUUGUAUGGAUCUAGCAUAGAGAACAAGUUGUAGAGAAUGGAAUAUGCAUGAUCUAACCCCUAAGCUCACUAAUCUACCACUUAAACACCCUAAUCUACAUAUCUAAGACCUUAAUAUGGAGAUUACUCACUAAUCAUGAUCAACACACUAGAUCCUUUGCAAGAUGUGUUGUUAAUCAUGAUUAGAAGUGUAUAGAUGGAGAGAUAGAUGAUAGAUUUUAGAAGAAAGCAGCUUUAAACACAAAGAUCUCUUAAACUCUCUUGAUUAAACACUCAAUAAUCAAUAUUUCUCUUCUUAAUGGAGUCUUUUCACAAAAGAGGCAAGAGACAAAAGGAAUAAAGCUUAGUCUUCUAAAAACCCUACAAAGUAUUUAUAUCUCUCUAAAAAACGAACCGGGUCAGCCCGGAACAAACCGGAUCCUGACCCGGCUUUAAUGGAUAAAGUGGAAAUUCUGCGGGUUGGUCCAGUGUCUCCCAGGUAGCAUGCCCAAGUCGCAGUAGAUGAAGAACUUGUCUUGUGAGACUUAAAUCGCCUUGUCUUAGUCGCACGCCCAAGUAGGAGUGUUUUGCGAGUCUUGCUGCGGCUUAAUCUUCUUCUUCUUCAACUCGCAGGACCAAGGCGGUUUCUGGGGAAUGUACAAACCGUGCGGGUUGGUCUCCAUUACACUCAGGUCGCAGGCUCAAGUCGGAGUAGAUUGAGAGUGAUCGUGCGGCUUGGUUCCAGGCGCGGCCAACUCGCAUGCCUAAGUCGCACGAUUGUGGACUUAGCAAUUUUCUUGCUCGGGAGCCUCAGACCUCAUCCAUUGAUAGCUUACCCGCACUUCUCAACUCGCAGCAUCAAUUUCCAGGCAUUCGUCUUCAGGCCUGCGAGUUAACCAAGUCGCAAGGCUUUCUCGCAGCAUUCAGAGCAGCUUGGACCACUUCGCAUUCCGGAGAGUUUAACUUCUAAGAUACUUGUCCGAAUUGAGUGAUUCCGGUUGAAGAGGACAGAGGACUCAUAUAUCUCCAACUUUGGUGAAGGAAGCUUCGGUGCUUGGGAAGUGGAAGGCUUCCUGGAGAGCUCAUCUUUGCAGUGCAUUUACACGAUCAGAGAGAGGCGUCUAGACAUGUGUCAAUUCCGGAGACCGUAUCUUCCUGCUCAUAGCUCCGAAUUGAAUGAUCUUGGACGUUAUGGAUAGAGGACUCAAAUGUCUCUGAUUCGCAUGAAGGCUCAGGAAACUGAAUCGGCCUGAAAGUGCACUGUCCGUCGCAUUCUUCAGAGCUCAUCGGCUUGGUCCAGAACAGCAGCGAGACAGGGGUUCCUUCCGACGAGCUUAACUUUCUGCUCACGCGUCCGAAUUCCAUGAUUUCACUUGCUAUGGAACCAUGAUCCAAUCGUCUCCAACUUCGAUGAAGCACCCGACAACUGAAUCGGACCGGAAGGUUCCCCGGACAGGCGAUUUCGGAAACGUGUCUGCACCCGGAGAUUUUGGCCGAAAGAUUCAAUAGCCGGUACGCGUUUUGGCCGAUAAAGUCUACCCGCGGUACGCGUUUUGGCCGAGAAAAACCUUUCUGGUGCGCGAGAAUGGCCGAUAACCUCCAAAGACCCAAUUUCACCAUUUUUCAAGCCUUGAUCAUCAUUCCACCUCCUGGAUUCAUCUUUUCAGCUCCAAAUACACCUGAUAAGCACUCAAAACAUGCAAAGACUCAUUGGGACCUAAUGCAUCUCCUAAGUUCUAAAACAAACCCUAAGGACCUAAAAUGCAUGGAAUAAAACAUGAUUUGAAAUGAAUUAUGCAACCUAAAUGAUGCAAAUUAUGAACAUAUCAACUCCCCACACUUGUCCUUUGCUUGUCCUCAAGCAAACAAGAACAAAUGAGAGAGAGAGGUUGAAUGCAUGGGAGUUCACAUUUUCUUUUUGAGAGAAGUGAUCACAAUGAGAAUUCAAAUUCAUGCUCAAUUAUGCAAUGCAAAGCCAUACUCAGAUAUAUAUCAACUCAGCAAGGAAUUUCCACAAGUUCUUCUCUCUCUCAACUCUUACAUUCAUUAAGCUUUUAUCAGGUGAAUCUCAUGAUGCAAUGUUUAAACAAGCUGGCUUGGCUAGGGAGAGGCUAUGAGAUUAAAAUGAUCUCAUUAGUGUUCAAGUGGGUUUAAUGCAGCAAAGGGAUCUCUCUAUGAAUGAUCAAACUUUGGCAGAAUACUAAAGGUAAAAAGCAACCUAUGCAUACAAGGGCAAAGACUCAUCACACCCCACCCUCUACUCAAAGCUUUCUCACUUGCUCACUCUCUCAAGGACCUCACUUUUCACACUUAUUUUCCUCUCACUAGGGGACUUACUUUUCACUUUCACUCUCAAGUCUUGGAGUUCAAACUUUACACAGCUCUUUUUCUUUUGCAACCUCUAGCCUCCUUUUCUUCUUUCUUUUCAAAACAUUUGAGCUCUUUGGCUUCUUUUCUUUUCCUUUUACUUAGAGGCUAGACUCUUUCUUUUCAACACACCAGAGCUCACUUUCUUUAACUCAAAACUCCAAGACUGAUUUCUUUUUCUUUCAUUCCCCUAGCUAUUUCCACUUCCUCUUUUCCACUCAUCUCACCUUUUUCCACUCACCAACAAGUCUUUUCCCCCACACUUAUUCCUCGCCAAAACUCUCAGUUCCUUGAUGUUGGAACACAGCACUCAAUGAGACCUGCCCUUGUCGCUCUAAACCUAACACUUUCUGCUAAGUUUGAUCCAAGGUGGCCUUUCAAUUCACACACAAACAUUGGCUUGAAAGAAAGAUGGGUUCAAGGUGAGGGAACUGAUCCAUGAUGCGGAUUCAGCUACUUGAGCUAAGCAAAAAAGGGGGGGGGGUAAAAACAAUGGUUCUAGCUCAAGUAUGUAUAUCGGUAUCCACAAGCUUUUUCAAACAAUGCAUCACAAGAUAUUUUCAAGUCAAGUUCAAGGUUCCCACUUAAUUAGAGUUGAGUUCAAUUCAAACUUGCUUCUCAGAUUCAGAUCAUUUCAGACUUUGCAAGCACAGAAAAAGAUUCACAAGCAUAUUCAGUUCAAGUUCUCAAAGUGAUGUACUCUCUAGAAAAUCUAUCAUUACUCCCUGCAAGAUGCAACCUACAUGAACAUGCAAUCUAGACUCAAUCCUAAAAAUGAGAAUGCAACUACAUGAUCAUUUUUUUUGUGAAAAUUUUUCAGAUUUUUCAUUUUUUUUGGGUUUUUAUAUGCACUUAGAUGAGACUACAUGAAUAUGCAACUAGAAUGUGACUCAAGACUCAAAGUAUAAAAUAAGAACAGAGAAAACAUGGUUAGUAAAAGAUGAAACUCCUCCCCCACACUUAAAUAACACAGUCCCUUGUGUUAUAAAAGCAUGAGAAAGGAGUGAAAGCAAAGCAAACAAGUAAAAAUGCAAAGAAAAAGAAAAUCUACAUGCAUAUUUACAAGGUUUAGAGUGUUACCUAAGAGCUGUUGAAGUCAGACCCCAAUGAGUAAGAGGGGUUUGAAGUGUGACCGGAUGGUGUCUCCCAAGAAUGAUGGCUUGCUUCAUCAGACCCGUCGUCGAGAUCCACCCAAGUUGUGCCAUAUGUGACCAGGGCUAUGCAGUUCAUGGAACUCUCUCCAACUUCCUCUCUGUUCCUUGGUGAAACUGGUGCUGGAGACCCACCUUUGCAAGGGUUUUCAAGCUUAUUAAUCCUCUUCUUCAUCUCCUUGAUGCACUUGGCCAUCUUGUGGAUGGUUUUGUCUUGGUACUUGCACCAUUGUUGGAGAAUACCAAUCUUUUGUUGAGCUAUGAACCCUGAAGUGCCUGGUUCCUCCCAGUUGUAAUCAUCAAAAUGGUAUCUAUUUCCAACAAAACGUUUUUGAGGUGGAGGCAGAUCAGCAUCUUGAGCACCAGUAGCACUUGUGGUAGCAUCUUCAGCGGUUGCUCUCUUUCCCUUGGAGGCUUCUUCUCUGCAAGCUUGCUUGUAUGUGAGGAUUGGUGGAUCAGUUUGGACAUUGUACAGCUCUUCCUUCAGCAAGAAGAAGUGAAUGUUCCUCUUAACUUGGACUGUGGUGAUGGAGGGAUUGGGCAGGAGAGUUUGUGCUGGCUCACUGAUGAGAGUCUUGAAGUUGUAUACUACCUUGGUACCCACUCUUCCUUGGAGGAAGCCAAUCUUACACAAAUGUGCUUCAUUAAUUAGAUCAAACUUUGCCUUGUUCUCCUUGAAUCUGUACCCCUUGGCUUUCAAAAUCUUUGUUACCACCCAUCCAUGGGCCAGCUUUGCAUCUUGCUUUGUAGAACCCCAAAUGCACUUUUUUUAGAACAUCAAAGACCUUGCUAAUUGAGAGGCAAGGCAAAGUGGGUAUUCAUACUGUUCAUAGGGUUCCCCAUCUUCAUGAGUUGGCAUCAGCUGUUUCAGCCCCACACCAAGAAGCAUCAGAUCGCCUUUGUGAACUCUUCCAUCAUCGAUUUUGAAGUAGAAGCUGUGAGAGAGAAUCUUGUGAACAUAUCUCAGCACUGGAUUCCUUAUCCAAGAGGACUUAGCUGUUCCAGCUAUGUACUUCCCAGAAGCAAUUGAUCUCCAUAGAAGUUGGACCUCAUCUUUUCUGAGAUUGACCUGGUUGGAGAGAAGUUCAUUUCUAGGUGUUAACAACCCAAAAAUCUCAUUCAAUUCUCUGAAUGACACUGAAUAAUCCUUCCCUUUCAUAGUAAACUCCAAAUGUCCAAGCCCAUCUCCUUGAAUAAUUCUUGAAUCCCUUGGGUAGUAAAUGAAAGCUUCAAAAGAAGCCAAGAACUCCUGAGAUUCCUCUUCAUAAGCGAUCUCUCUCAUCUCCAAAAGUGACUCAACACCCAUGUUCCCAAGCAAGGUUUUGACAUCUUCAUAGAUGCCAAUAUUCUUCAAAAAGUCCACAUCAGGGAACCUCCCUUGCUGGAUCUCUAUCUGUUGAAACUUCGCCAGAUAAUCAAGUGUUUCUGGUUCAGUUUUCUUGAACCUUUUUGAUCCCUCUUCAAUGGUGCCUUGUGAACCACCAGCUGAGCUGCUUGAGUCACUUUCAGUCUGUUCACUCUCAGAUACGACAGCCAACUGUUUCCCCUUCUUCUUGGAACCAGAAGCAACCACCAAAGAUUUUCCUUCAUGCCUUGUCCUUUUUGGCGCUGGAUCACACUUCCCUUGCUUUGUGGUAUUCUUUGCUCCUUGACCUUUUUCUCUUGGCUGUGAAGACCCUGAGACCAAACCUUUGCCCUUUGAUGCAGUGCUCUUCUUCUUGGCCAGAGAGUUGGUUCUUUCAGUCAUCUGCCAAGACAUUCUCAAAAACAAUGUUAGUACAAGAACAAGCUUCACAAAAUUCUCCAAAAUUUUGAAAAAAAAAAAUUGUUGCAAGAAUCGAUUUUAAAACCACAUGAACAGGUUUCUCAAGCCAAGCAUCAAUCCAAUAAGUUCAUAGCAAUGCAAAAACAAGAGUGCAAAGCAAGGACUCAGCAAUGAAAAUAGAUCUUUUUAAAAAAAAAAAAAAAAUCGAUUUUUCUCAUGAAUUUCUUACAACAAUUUUCAAAACUCAAGAACAAGGAAUCACCAACAGCUGUUUUCUAAGACUAUCUAGCACCCUAGCAUUUAUAAAAAUAAUCCCAAGGUCUAAAACAAUCUAUCAAAAUCGAUUCCACACCUUGAAGUUCAAAAAUCACCAUUGAAGAACAUGGAAAAAGGUGAAUUUUAACUGAAUGAAAUACCUUGGGAUUAAGAUGCAACGAGCUCGAAAUGCAAUCAAGAUGAUGUUAAAAACUCAAAAACGAGUUCAGAGCACUUUGAAUCAACAAAUUUGGUGGAGAAAUGAGAGAGAUAUGAUGAAAACAAUGGAGAGAAAUGAGAGAAAGAGUUGCAAACUCGGGUUUUUGGUGAGGAAGAGAGAGUGUGGGACAGGUUAAAGACUUUGGACUGGUGGUCAAUAGAUCUAUUUUGACCAGUCAAGGCUUUGACCUGUCCUUUUCUCGUUGACCAGCCUCCUUUCUCUCCUUUGUGCGACCGGGAACCGUCGGGAUCGGGCCGCAUGACGGUCUCGGUGUAGAACCGGAAAUGUUUUUGUGCUACCUGGGAUCUUCUGUGCCUCCCCCGCAUGACCAAGUCGCAGUAAAAGUCCUUCAGCUCGGUUUUAUCUUUCCUCAUUGCUGCUGCCUGGAACCCUUGCUUUCCAGCUAGCACGCCCAACUCGGAGUAAUUUGCGAACAUGUGUGCGGGUUAGACUCCUUUGUUCCCAGGUAGCAUGACUAUCUCGCAGGGUUUGGGACUUAAAAACCUCGGGGUUCCUCUUCUGGUGCGGCCUGGCCUCCAUACUUCCCAGGUAGCACGCCCAACUCGGAGUAAUUUGCGAGUCUUCAUGCGGGUUAGCUUCUUUGUUCCCAGGUAGCAUGACUAGGUCACAGGUUUUUGGACUUAAACAAUUUGGCCUUUCUUUUCCUGCUGCGACCUGGUCUUCAUGCUUCCCAGCUAGCACGCCCAACUUGGAGUAAAAUGCGAUCAUACGUGCGGCCUAGCUUCUUUGUUCCCAGGUAGCAUGACUAGGUCGCAGGUAUUUGGACUUAAGAUGUCUCGGCCAUUCCUCUUUUGCUGCGACCUAGUCUCCUUGCUCCCAGCCAGCACGCCCACCUCGCACACCUUCACACUUAGGCGUUUGGCUCUUCUUGAUUUCGUGCAGCCUGGUCUCUAUGAUUCCCAGCUAGCACGCCCAACCCGGAGUGAUUUGCGAAUGGAUGUGCGGUUUAACUUCUCUUGUUUCCAGGCCGCAGCAACUACUCGCAGGUUUUUGCACUUAAACACCUCGGCCAUCCUUCUUUUGCUGCAACUUGGUCUUCAUUCUUCCCAGGUAGCACACCCAAUUCGGAGUAAAUUGCGAUCAUGUGUGCUACCUAACUCCUUUGUUCCCAGGCCACAGCUCCUACAUCGCAGAUCUUUGGACUAAAGAUACCUUGGACCUUUUCUUUUUGGUGCGGCCUGGUUUCUCUUUUCCCAGCCAGCACGCCUAACCCGGAGUGAUUUGCGAAUGGAUGUGCGGCCUAGCUUCCUCUCUUCUUACCCGCAGCACCAGCUAGCACAACCUCGGACUUAGACGUUUUGGACUUCUUCUUUUUGGUGCGGCCUGGUUUCUCUUUUCCCAGGUAGCACGCCCAGGCCGGAGUAAAUUGCGAGUCCUGCUGCGACCUGGGCUCUUCUUGCACCAAGCCGCACACCUAGGUAGCACUGAGGCGUUCUCCAAGUUUUUCAGGCCCUAAAUACUUCUCUCAGCCCUCUCACAUGCUCCAUUCCAUUCAUCACUGAGCUAUGUUCUCCAAAAAUCACCUAGAACCUGAGACCAACUCACAAAACCCAUCAAAAAGUUCUAAAACAUAAAAGAAAAGAGAAGAAAUCAAAAGAACUAUGUACAAAGAUAAGCUUGGGGUGUCUCCCAAGAGCACUUUGUUUAAAGUCUCUAAGUUUGACUAUGGAAACCUGUUUAGCAGGCUGGAGGUGGGUCAAGAAGGGGAACUGAUGUAGCUUCCUCCUUCCCUUGUGAAACUAAGUAAUGCUUGAUUCUUUGUCCGUUUACCACAAAUUCUUGACCAUUCUUCCCUUCUAAGACAAUAGCACCAUAUGGUCUCACUUCAAGAACUUUAAAAGGUCCAGACCAUCUAGACUUAAGUUUUCCUAGAAACAACUUAAGUCUAGAGUUGAACAGCAACACCAAAUCACCAUCCUUGAACUCCCUUUUCAGAAUCUUUUGGUCAUGCAGAACCUUGGUCUUCUCCUUAUAGAUCUUUGAGCUCUCAAAAGCCCCAAGCCUUAUCUCUUCAAGUUCAUGGAGUUGAAUGACCCUUUUCUCUUGAGCUGUCUUGAUAUCAAAGAUCAGCAACUUCACAGCCCACAAAGCCUUGUACUCUAACUCAACAGGAAGGUGGCAGCUCUUCCCAUAUAGCAGAUUGAAAGGUGAUGUCCCAAUAGGAGUUUUAAAGGCAGUCCUAUAAGCCCACAAUGCAUCAUCUAGCCUUUUGCUCCAAUCUUUUCUGCUUGAGCUCACAGUCCUCUCAAGAAUGGCCUUGAUCUGUCUAUUAGAUACUUCAACCUGGCCACUAGUUUGAGGAUGAUAAGGAGUAGCUACCUUGUGUUUCACUCCAUGCUUUCUCAGUAAACCCUCCAAAGUCUUGUUCACAAAAUGAGAUCCUCCAUCAGAGAUAACAACCCUUGGAACUCCAAAUCUUGGGAAGAUAAUGCUCUUGAACAGCUUCACUACAACCUUGGAAUCAUUGGUAGGGGAAGCAAUGGCCUCAACCCAUUUGGACACAUAGUCCACAUCAACAAGUAUAUACUGAUUCCCAUAGGAUGAAAUGAAAGGCCCCAUAAAGUCAAUCCCCCAGCAAUCAAAGAUCUCAACUUCUAGAAUUGGGUUUUAAGGCAUCUCACUCCUCUUUGAUAUGCUCCCAUGCCUCUGACAAGCAUCACAUGCUGAACCACUAACUGAGCAUCUUUGAACAUUGUGGGCCACCAAAACCCACUCUGAAGAACCUUUGCCACAGUCUUGAAUGCUCCCAUGUGACCCCCAAAAGCUGAACUAUGACACUCUUGCAACACAGGCUGCAUCUCCUCCUCAGCAAGACACCUUCUAUACAGCUGAUCUUUGUUCAGGACAUAGAGGUAGGGCUCAUCCCAAUGGUAUCUUUGAACUUCUCUGAAGAAUUUCUUCCUGUGGUAAGCAUCUAAUUCAGGUGGUUCCACUCCACAAGCAAGAUAGUUCACAAUGUCUGCAAACCAAGGCAUCCUCCUCUCUUGAAUGCUGUCCACUUCUUCAAACUCCAAAUAAGAAUGGAGCACCAUCAGUGAUUCCUCAGGAAGACUGUCAUUAAGAGGCAAUUCAGAGUCUAUUCUCAACCUAGAGAGAUGGUCUGCAGCUCCAUUCUCUAUACCCUUUUUGUCAUGUACUUCCAUAUCAAAAUCCUGAAGUAGAAGAACCCAUCUCAAUAGUCUUGGCUUAGCAUCUUUCUUGGUCAUCAGAUACCUGAGGGCUGCAUGAUCAGUAUAUACAAUUACUUUUGAUCCCACCAGGUAACUUCUGAAUUUAUCGAAGGCAAAGACUAUUGCCAACAUUUCCUUCUCAGUAGUAGCAUACUUCUCUUGUGCAGGGCCAAGUGUUCUACUAGCAUAGUAAAUGACAUGAAGCUUCUUAUCUUUCUUCUGGCCAAAUACAGCUCCAACUGCAAAAUCAGAUGCAUCAGUCAUAACCUCAAAAGGUAGGGACCAGUCUGGGGCUUGGACAAUUGGUGCACUGACUAAUGCAUCCUUGAUCAUCUUGAAGGCCUCUUCACAUUCAGCAUCAAAGAUGAAAUCCACUUCUUUACAAAACAGCCUUGUCAAGGGCCUGGCAAUUCUUGAGAAGUCUUUGAUAAAUCUUCUGUAAAACCCUGCAUGCCCAAGGAAACUCCUUAUCCCUUUAACUGAAGUGGGAGUUUGCAGAUUCACCAUCACUUCCACCUUUGCUCUGUCAACCUCAAUACCCUUCUCAGAUAUCUUGUGCCCAAGAACUAUUCCUUCCCGCACCAUGAAGUAGUAUUUCUCCCAGUUUAACACCAAGUUAUCCUGCUCAAAUCUCUCCAAGACCUGUUACAAAUUAGAGAGAAAAUCCGAGAAGGAGGAGCCAUAGACACUAAAGUCAUCCAUGCACACCUCCACCUUCUCUUCAAUAAUGUCAGAGAAUAUAUGCAUCAUGCAACGUUGAAAUGUGGCAGGGGCAUUACAGAGACCAAAAGGCAUUCGCCUGUAUGCAAAGGUGCCAUAAGGGCAUGUGAAUGUUGUUUUCUCUUGAUCUCGGGGAUCUAUGGGAAUUUGGAAGAACCCCGAGUACCCAUCGAGAAAACAAAAGAAGGGGUGUUUUGCAACGCCUCUCUAACAUCUGAUCAAUGAAAUGUAAGAAACUAUCCUUCCUNNNNNNNNNNNNNNNNNNNNNNNNNNNNNNNNNNNNNNNNNNNNNNNNNNNNNNNNNNNNNNNNNNNNNNNNNNNNNNNNNNNNNNNNNNNNNNNNNNNNNNNNNNNNNNNNNNNNNNNNNNNNNNNNNNNNNNNNNNNNNNNNNNNNNNNNNNNNNNNNNNNNNNNNNNNNNNNNNNNNNNNNNNNNNNNNNNNNNNNNNNNNNNNNNNNNNNUCGUAGUAGUUAAGUGUAUCCUAUGGCUCUCCUGAACUUUCUUAUCUCACUAAGCAAUGCACUCUCUUGAUCCUCUAAUAGGCUAUCAUUGAUGAUUACUGGAUAUGUUGAGUUUAAGCCCAAGAAGGCAUACAUGAGCCCUGUUGGUAGAGGCUUGAGCUCAACAGGGGGUGCAUCAGCCUCAUUCCAAUCCUGGUCCAAGCUGCUUUGGCUGGUGUCUGAUCCUUUGAUAGCAAAAACCUCAGAGCCACUUUGUUCCAGCUCCAAAAACCUUGUCUCAGGACCCAGCUCUCUAGCAUUGUCCAAAUACAACUUGUACCCUUCACUUGCUUCAGCUAAGAGCCCAUUGUCUCCUUGUUCUUGAGUUAGAGCAGCUUGAAGAGGAUCCUCAGUGUUCAGCUCCUCUAGCAACUCAUCAGCCAACUGAUCCAUUGUCUCCACAUAGAAACAUUGACCUUCAAUGGUGGGUUUCUUCAUCAUCUCAUUCACGUCAAACUUGAGCUUUUCAGACCCAAGUUGAAGCUCUAUUAUCCCACCUCUCACAUCAAUUUUGGCUCCUGCAGUUGCUAAGAAUGGCCUGCCCAAGAUAAGAGGAUCUACUGGUUCUUCAUCCAUCUCCAGCACAACAAAAUCAGUUGGAACCUCAAAACCACCUAUCUUGACAGGUAGAUCUUCCAACAUACCAACAGGCAAUCUAACUGAUCUAUCUGCAAGGAUAAGAGAAAUCCUUGCAGGCUUGAAGACUCUAAAGCCCAGCUUCUUUGCUAUGGAGAAUGGCAUCAAGCUGACUGAUGCUCCUAGAUCACAAAGACAUCCAGAGAAUAGAAGAGGUCCAAUGGCACAAGGGAGUGUGAAACUCCCUGGAUCAGUUAACUUUCUUGGUAUGGACUUCUUCUGAAUGAUAGCACUGCAUUCAUGACUUAGUACCACCAUGCCUUGAAGUUUUUUUGUCUUGUUCAGAAUGGCAUCCUUCAGGAACUUGCCCAUCUAUGGCAUCAUUAAGAAUGCAUCAAUAAGAGGCAUAGUGAGUGGUGUCUCAUUGAGUGCCUUCUCAAAUACAGCUUUUGCCUUGUCCACAAGCUGCUUCUUAAAUCUCCCUGGAAAUGGGAGCUUGGGUUGGUAUGGAGGUGGUGGCACAUAUACCUUUUCUGGUUCAGGUUCCUUUGCUACCUUUUUACUCUUUUGGACAGGUUUCUCAGCAACCUGAUCAUCUUUUAAGGCUGCCUCCCCCUCAGUUUGAUCAUUGUCCUCAAUGAUCACAUUGUUGUUCUCAAUACCAGGUAACUCCUUUCCACUCCUCAGUGUAAUGGCCUUAGCAUAUUCCUUGGGGUUGGGUUCUCCGGUCUGAUUCAGUUGUCGGGUGCUUCAUCGCAGUUGGAGAAGAUUGGAUCACGGUUCCAUAGCAAGUUGAAUCAUGGAAUUCCGACGCAUGAGCAGAAAGUUAAGCUCGUCGGAAGGAACCCCUGUCUCGCUGCUGUUCUGGACCAAGCCGAUGAGCUCUGAAGAAUGCGAAGUACGGUGCACUUUCAGGCCGAUUCAGUUUCCGGGGCCUUCAUGAGAAUCAGAGACAUUUGAGUCCGCUUUCCAGAACGUCCAAGAUCAUUCAAUUCGGAGCUAUGAGCAGGAAGAUACGGUCUCCGGAAUGGACACAUGUCUAGACGCCUCUCUCUGAUCGUGUAAAUGCACUGCAAAGAUGAGCCCUCCAGGAAGCCUUCCACUUCCCAAGCACCAAAGCUUCCUUCACCAAAGUUGGAGAUAUAUGAGUCCUCUGUCCUCUGCCCUCUGCUACCGGAAUCACUCAAUUCAGACAAGUAUCUUAGAAGUUACACUCUCCGGAAUGCGAAGUGGUCCAAGCUGCUCUGAAUGCUGCGAGAAAGCCUUGCGACUUGGUUAACUCGCAGGCCUGAAGACGAAUGCCUGGAAAUUGAUGCUCCAAGUUGAGAAGAGCGGGUAAGCUAUCAAUGGAUGAGGUCUGAGGCUCCCGAGAAAGAAAAUUGCUAAGUCCACAAUCGUGCGACUUAGGCAUGCUAGUUGGCCGCGCCUGGAACCAAGCCGCACGAUCACUCGCAAUCUACUCCGACUUGAGCCUGCGACCUGAGUGUAGUGGAGACCAACCCGCACGGUUUGUACAUUCCCCAGAAACCGCCUUGGUCCUGCGAGUUGAAGAAGAAGAAGAUUAAGCCGCAGCAAGACUCGCAAAUGGUGGUUGAAACUGUUGUUGAACAGGCGCUUGCUGUUGGAACUGUGGAGGACCAAACCCUGGUGGUGCCUUUUGCUGCUGUGUACUGAAACUAGGACCUUGAAAAGGUUGUUGUUGCUGACCAAAACCUUGAUUCUGAGCAAACUGAUUCUUUGGUUGAAAAGAUCCUUGAAAGUUGUUCUUGGGAACAAAGUUCUGUGGAGCUUGAGAAUUGGGAUACACCUGGUCUUGUGGGUUAGCUACAUUGGUGUUCCUGUAAGAAAGGUUUGGAUUGGCAUUACCAUACUGAUAUCUCUGGAACCUCUGAUUCCCAAUGUAGUUUAGCUCCUCCUGGGUAAGACCUUCUUCACUUAUGUUCUCAAAGAUUUGAGAAGGUUCCUCAUACUCUCCAACAAAAUGCAUUGGCUUCUGAGUGGUGGAAAGGGUGGGGUUGGUGGUGCACCUGUUGUCUUUGCUGUACAUUGGCCUGAUGCCUCUGUUGAUGAGCUUGAGCUUGUCCCUGGUGGACAUAAGCUUGUUGGUGCACCUGUUCCUGAUGAACAUUACCCUGAUUUAACCCUUGACCAGCUCCAUUACCAGCUCCAUUACCCUGAGCCUGUUGCUCCUGAACCGGUUGUUCUAUAUCCACUACGUGCUCUCUUUGUUCUUCCAUAUCAGCCUGAUCAAUCUGUCUUCCACGUCUGUCCCUUCUCCUCCUUGGUACCAAAAGAUUGAUGUUGUCGUUGAGAGGGAAAGGUGGACCACAGCUUCUUGAUCUAGACCUGGUGUUCAUACCCGGACAGGCGAUUUCAGAAACGUGUCUGCACCCGGAGAUUUUGGCUGAGGGAUUCAAUAGCCGGUACGCGUUUUGGCCGAUAAAGUCUACCCGCGGUACGCGUUUUGGCCGAGAAAAACCUUCCUGGUGCGCGAGAAUGGCCGAUAACCUCCAAAGAACCAAUUUCACCAUUUUUCAAGCCUUGAUCAUCAUUCCACCUCCUGGAUUCAUCUUUUCAGCUCCAAAUACACCUGAUAAGUACUCAAAACAUGCAAAGACUCAUUGGGACCUAAUGAAUCUUCUAAAUUCUAAAACAAACCCUAAGGACCUAAAAUGCAUGGAAUAAAACAUGAUUUGGAAUGAAUUAUGCAACCUAAAUGAUGCAAAUUAUGAACAUGGAGACGAAGAACUCGCUUUUUUCUUAGUUCAAUUGGUUUUGUGAAUUUCAUAAACUUAUUUGGUAAGCAUAUACGUCUUUAAUUUUGGAUAGUAUUUAUUUUUUCGAUUUUAUUUUAUUUUAUUAUGUAUGUCUUAAAUAGUUGUUUUAAGUAAAAAUUACUCAAACUAACCUUUAAGGUGACCUAAAUGACAAACCUAACCUAACAUAUUUUGAGUCUUACUAGAUUAACCUUACAAAGUUGGUCUAAUACCAUUUUAUCCAGAUGUUGAAUAUUAUUACGAAAAUGCCAUAUUGAUUUUUUUUUUUUUAAAAAAUUCGAUUUGUUUUUUAUUUUAUUUUUCUGAAAAAAAUAUUAAAAAAGUAGAUACAAAAAACAAAAAAACAAACCUAAUAUUAAAAAAAAUUAUCUCUCUCAUCUUCUCUCUCAUCUUCUCUCUCGCUUCUCUCUCGUUUCUCUCUAACCUAGAUCUUUUUUUUUCUGCUGCAUUUCUUGAUUCCGGCAGUUAGCGGCGGUGGACCACUCCUUUCUUGCCUCCGUCGAUCACAAGAAUCGUCCGAUGGCACCAGUGCACCUCUCACUUCCCUUUAGAUGGCAAUUUUGUCCUUAUCUUUGAGCAUUGUGCUUCCCUUGAGUCUCUAGAUCCUUCCGCCUUCUACCACUAGACCGAAGACCUUCCUCUAGUUCUCCUCCAUUACUAUGAAGUCGCAGCAAGGCUCAAUCGCUUGGAUCCCUUGACAGUGUCCUUCACCAAGGGUUACAAAUCGAGUGACGACACAGCUGUGAGACCACAACUCUUAAGCGGCAUUCUCGCCGCAUCGCACACAACCGCAGUGGAUAGACGUUGUUUCAGUGGAAUGGUGGUUUUGAGGAGGUUGUCGGCGGCGUAAUUUUUUUUGUAAAACCCGUAACCCUAAUUUUUGUUUUGUUUCAGGUAAGUUUGAUAAAUAUAUUUGAAAAAACGAUAUUGUAUUUUUUAGUUGUAAAGUUCAUAACGUGUGAUGGUAGAUUUAUUUGAAAAACGGUAUGUAGUUUGGUAGAUUAUUAGUUAUUUGAUGGUAGAUAUAUUUACAAAACGAUAUGUAGUUUGGUAUAUCUAUUAGUUAUUUGAUGGUAAAUUUAUUUAAAAAACAAUGUGGUUUGGUAUAUUUAUUAGUCAUCUGACGGUAGACUUAUUUGAAAAACAAUGUGAUUUGGUAGAUUUAUUAGUCAUUUGAUGGUAACUUAUUUGAAAAACGAUAUGUGGUUUGGUAGUUUUAUCAGUUAUUUGAUGGUAGAUUUAUCAGUUAUAUAUAUUUGAAUUUUAUAUUUGAAUGAUGGCAUUUGUUUGUUCUUCUCUGACAGGUUAUGGGAUUUGUGAUGGCGAACGAGUCUCUGAUGGGUUAUGUUCUACUAUGAAUAUUAGAUUUGCAUUUGGUAGAUUUGUUUUGAAAUGAUGGUAGAUUUAUUAUUGAAUUGAUGGUAUAUCUAUAUUUGAAUUUGUACAAAUGAUAAUUAGAUUUUAGAUGAUGAUAUCUUUGUUUUCAAAUUAUAUUUGGCGCAAAAGAUUGACUCAAACAUUUCAUCUUUUUACCACUUUUCUUUACUUUCACUAUGGUUUAUAUCCUAAGUUAAUGAAAUUUUAAACAAAACACAUGAUUAAAGUCAUUUCACAUUGUGAUGUUCAAAAGUUUAUGUAAAUAUAAUUAAAUAUAACAAAAUAUUCACAAAUAAAAAUUAAAAGAUCAUAAGUUAAGAGAUAGUCAUUACAGACAAAAACGAUAAGGACAUAAGAUAAAUGUUUAAGUGAACUAGUAGGACAUAUAUGUUCAAGGUUAAUAUGUGAUAACACCGUAUUUUGACCACUUUUAUGGAUCGUUUUGAAAUACUUUUUCUAUGUUUUUAAUUGCUUUUAAGUACUUUUAUCACGUUUUUCUAGUAUUUUUAGUUCCAAGACUCUUUUCAGGUAACUUAGGGAAAAACUUAACAAAAUGGAUAGAAAACCAGAUUUCAGCUCAAAGUCAAACCGUCAGAAGUUCACCCCUGAUUGAAGGCCUUCUCACCGUCUGUUCCAGCUCAAAUUUGGAGACCUUAAAGAUGGAAGUAUCAACUUUCCAGCACACUUUACAGCUUGACAAUCCAACGGUUCAAUCAAAAGAUACGCGAAGAGCAAGAUGUCCCGUAAACCAGCCAGCAAGCAACUCCACCCGUGGCCAAUAAGCCAUUUCCCGCGGUCAGAAGCAUCCCGACCGCGGCAAACCACUCAUUCCCCGCGGUCACAGCACUCCCAACCGCAGCAAGCCAACUCCGAGCCCAAAAGCCCAUUUUUGAAGCCCACAAUGAUUCCCUCAUUUGGAGAAACCCUAAGUGACGUCCAGAGCACUAUAAAUACAUGUUUUAGGAACCCUAAUCGAAAAAAAAAGAGACCACCGAAUUUUUACUUCAUAGUUUUAUUGUUUUUGCUUUAGCUUUUAGGGAGAGAGAGAUUUGUUCUCUUGAACCCUUGUUCUUUCUUUUUUAAUUUCGGUUUCUAUUCUACUUAUUAAUACUAUGUUUUUGAUUUCGUUCAUUAUGUCUGAGUAGUUUUAUUGUUGGGAUUAAGGGAUUUUAGAUGGGGAUUUAUAUGUUCGAUGAGGAUUCCAUGAGCUUUUGAGCCGAAUCUUAGAACUUAUUCUUCUGAAUUCGUUUUUACUGCAUGAGAGUAGCGUCAUGAACUACAAUCUGAUCCAGAUGCUUUGUGACACGAAAGUGUUCAUCAGGUAUCAGAUCUAGUUUGGGAGAGCAAAACAAACAUAGGAGUGGAAACCUACCUAUGGGCGAUUUGUCAAUGCUGACGAGUCUUAAACAUAAUGCAUCUCUUCUUUUCCAGGGCCAUAGUGGAAACCUACUGGUCAGGGUUGAGAGAGAUAGUUGUCUAUGAUCACGACAGUGGCGUAUUCAUAUGUCCGUGACUCCAGUUCGAAAAGUUUAAGCUAAGAUCUUAGCAAUUUUACUCUCUAGCAAUGUUUUGAAUCGUUCGUACCCCUGAGAAAACUUCCCUGAACCCCAACGCCUUCUUUCCUAUUGAUUUACACCGUUUUUAUUUCAAGCUUUAGUUCAAUAUUGUCUUUCCUUUUUAGUAGAUUUUCAUUUAAGCAAUUAGAAUAUCCGUUUUUCUCAUUUUUAUUCAUUUUCGUUAAGUUUAGUUAUUAGGUCAUUUAAUUCCCGUAUUUUCUUUUAAGAUUUCGUUUUUACAUUUUAAACACACCACCAAACCCCCACAAAACCGUUUUGGUUCUAGACUUCCUUACUUUAUACUUAUUUCAAAGGCUUUUUGCAGGAAAAGAUCCUCUUUCCCCGUGGAUUCGAUCCCAAAGUACUACAAUCGAUCAGCUGUGCACUUGCGGCUAUUGAUUUCAUUUAGGUUAAAACUUGACAACCCUCACGACAACACCACAUCAAGUUUUUGGCGCUGUUGCCGGGGAAAGCACGCGUUUUCUUUUCUGCAACCCCGAGAAAGGUUGGUAAAUCGACUCUAAAACCCCUUUUUCUGCAAUUUUCCAUUUUUCGGUUUUUUUGUUUCCAUUUCAGAAGAUAUGGAUCCUAUAAAUCGAAAUAUACACUAUGAGGAAGGUUUAUAUAACACUCCUCAAGCCACCAGACACAGAACGUUCCAGAAGGAGCCCUGCGCAUCUCCAAUGGCCAACCCUGAACAACCCGCUCGUCGUUUGCCUCACCAAGAUGAAAACGUCCAACUCAUUCACUGAUUGAAAACACUAGAAGUGGCGGUCUUGCACCUACUCGACGUUCAAGCGAGAUCUAGAUCCACAAUCCACGAGAAAAUUGACGACUUGUCAAUGCGCUUUAACAGAAAGCUUGAAGAUCUUUCAGCUCAAGUCAAGACCAUCGAAACUCAACUAAACAAGGGUGCUGAAACCAUUAAGGAGAGGAUAGAAGCAAUCGAAGGACGAGUUGGAGAAAACGAAGUUCGCAUUCGCAAAGCCAGUGGGAACAUCCGCACCUUAGAGAUCAAACUUGAUGAAGCAGAAGAGACUAUUAACGACCAUAACAACCAAACCUAUUCCUACAUGGAAGAGAUUUAGGAUGGAGUACACAAGGUUCAAGACAAAACAGAGGAAAUAGACUCAACCGUGGACAAAGUAGUCUAUGCCCUCGAUGAAAUCGAAGAGAAGGUUGAAAAGCUUAUGCAAGGAUGUGAAACAAACGGUUCGACGCUUCUCAUCGAAGAUCUUACCUUAAAAAAGGAGGAAACGGAGCUAGAAUGUGCAGAAAUCAGUUUAGAUGGCAAAAGAGCAGACGAAACAAAGGAAACAACUCGGAGCCUUCUUCUCGCGGUCAGAACUCUCGUGACCGCGGCCAACAAGCCUCCAGCCGCGGUCGUGAGCCUCCUGACCGCGGCAAAACCCUCCCCACCCGCGGUCGUGAAACCUCUACCCGCUGCAAAUGCUCCGUCAGAUACCUUUCAGCCCUUUUCCACUCCUACAGGUCAAUGCUUAUUUGAUACAUCUGCUAGGAUGGUCAAAGCCCCUCUACAUGAGCAAACGGUGUAUGCUAUCAGCUCCAAAACAUCUCAAGAAGAAAAUGAGGUACUCCCUUGCAACAUAGUUUUAGCAUAUGAGGAUGAAUAUGAAGGGCACUACCUCGAAGAUGAAGACUAUCGUCUGUUCAUAGAAGGAGGGAAUCCAGACAAAAUGGUGGAAUUAGGAGCACCAAUCUCCAGAGAAAGGCUCAUUGAAUUCAACAAGUUUGUGAAAUCGAUCCCUCUUUACACAGGUUUCGAUGAUAUAUGGCAUCUUGGUUGUUUGCAAGUUUUCUUUAGGUACAGCAAGGAGACAAAGGAGGAUAUCAGAACCUAUUUUGGGAGGGCUAGACGUCUGACUUUUCCCAGAACAUCACCUGAUGCUGCAAUCUAUUCAAUUCACCUCAAAAAGCCGGAAGACUGCAGCCACUACACCAACAAAAUCAGCAAGGAAAAGCUCGAUGAAUUCAAUGAUGUGGUUCGAAAUUUGCCUGAAGAAAUCACGUUUGCCAGAGCUUGCAAGGACUUUAUGAUAGGCCACUACUUCUGUGAGAGCAAAGAAUCAAUCCCUGAGAUAGAAGACUUGUUCAAUCAUGCCAGAAGAGGUAAACCUGUUCGAACACUUCAUAAAAUAGAAGGUGUAGGUCAGUUUCUUAUCUCUUGUUCUAUUAGAGGAGAAAUGUUUAAAAACGUGCUAUGUGAUUCUGGAGCUUGUGUUAACAUGAUGUCCAAGGCAAUUGAUUUGAGACUUGGUAUUAAACACCUGCGCAGGACUAGAGCAAAGAUUAGUCUAGCUGAUGAUUCCAAUGCAACACCUCAAGGAAUAGCUCAUGAAAUUCCUUUGAGAAUAGGAGAUUACAUAGUGCCUGUCGACUUCUACAUUGUCGAAACGAGAGAUGCAACAUAUCCAGUGAUUCUCGGAUGGUCUUUUCUAGCAACUUUCGGAGCUAUAAUGGACUGGCCAAACCGGAGGAUUUCAUUUGCUAAUAUCGACAAAGAUGUCUUCACAGAAGCUGUUCCAUACAACAGCAAAGCAGGAAAACGUUCUGCAACAGAAGAGUUUGAAGAAGAACUUUGGAGUGACGAAGAACCUGCUAGGCAAAGCAAGGAGAUGUCGAAAAAGACUUGUCUCAGGACAAGGUCUUCUUCAUUGGAAUAAGUCACGUCCAACACCAAAAGUCGAGCUAAACGACUUAAAACAGAAGCGCUUAAUGGGAGGCAACCCAUUUAGGUAUUGUUUUCUUUAGGAUUUUUCUUUCUUUUUCUUUUGAUCUUUUUCUUUUUCUUAAUUUCAGGUGUUUCUUAUAAAACAAAAAAACCAAAAAAUCAAAAAACCCGAAAAAAACCAAAAAGAAGGAUGGUACCUGACUGCUCGGCCCAGCAGGAACCAAGGAGAAGCAGGAAGAGGCCGCGAAAUAAGCCUCCGCGGUCGCAGACGUUCUGACCGCGGGAAACUACUCAUCGACCGCGGUCGCGUGAUCCUGACCGCGGCCAAACACUUGGUUGCCGCGGUCGCGCGACCCCUGUCCGCGGCACUUGGUCGUUGACAUCAAACCCAACCCCAAACCACCCACUUCACCCCAUUCCACCUCACCAAUCACCCUCCACCUCAUUCAUCACCCUCCACCACCUUCAUCACCCCCUAAUCACCUUCCCAAACCUCUUCGAAUGAAUCCGGUUCAUCUCCACCAGCAUCCCGGAUCCAGGUAAGUUCUCUUUGUCCUUACCAAUUCGAUUAUCUAUGCAUUUUUCUCAUCCAAUCUCGACUUGUUUCACACUGAGGACAGUGUGAUUUAAGUCUGGGGGAGGAUUUCAUCCUUUUCUAACCACUUUUCUUUCAUGAGUCUUGCAUUAUCUACACUUUUUGCAUUUUCCUUAAAGUUUUUCAAAAUCGGUUUUCAAAACAAAAUACGUUUUAAAGGGAAUGGUGAACAUAAAUCAAUGAUAGUUGACUGUGUGCUUUAGACUAUUCCUAGUGACAUGCUCAUUCAUGAUUUAGGACUAGACUAGGCGGUAGCUAAGCACAUUUGAAACGAAGUACCCCAGAGGAAUUUGAAUGAUUUCGAUUUAGAUGAAGGGAUACACUAGCUCUGUUUUAUUUGGACUUAAUUUGGACUCAAUUUUCUCAUUGAAGCUUUAGACCAGGGAAACGAAUCAUACAUUCAGGACUCCUUUAUCCUUUUACCACUCUCAGUUGAUCCUGAAUGGCUAGUUCAUCUUUAGCUAGUUCCCCACCUUAACCAAUCCUCUUUCAAACCACAUGCACUCUUGUUUUCUAUUGUCUUACAUGCAGAUAAGUGCAAAAACGUUGGAGAGAAAGAGGAACGACGCAGUUUUCAGUCACCAAGGAUAGAGACCUGCGAUUUGCCGGAAAAGUUUCCGGAAGGAUCCAACACAAGAGGAAGCUCAGUUUGCCUUAGAAAAAUCUCAAAUUUUGGUACAAUCUCGUCCUCUAGUCUCUCUCUCUUUAAAAGGCAUUUCCUAUUCUAAAAAAAAAAAAAAAAAAAAUCCAAAAAUAAGAAAAGAAAGGAAAUAAAAGCCUUAGAGAGUCUAGAGAGCUCGAAUUUUAAGUCCCAAGGCAACUGGAGUUUGAUUUUAUGGAGUUUUGGAGAUCGUUUUCUGAUUCCUGGAAAGAAUCUAAGUCUGGGGGAACAGCUGUUUACAACAAAGGAGGAAGGAUUAUGCAACAACAUUUGGCAAGAAGAAGUGACUGAAAAACUGUGGUCAUCAACAGGUCCUUAUCUCUCUUGCGGUUUUGCAUAUUAUCUUGCAUCCUCCAGAUCUUCAGGUAACCCGAAACACUUUAACUCCACCACUUAAACAGUCCUUUAAUGCCAAACGCCGUCUACCCUGGAUAAUGUCUUUAAUGAGAAAUCACUAUUGAACUUAAUGAAUGUAGAGAGCUAGUUGACUGGAAUCAAGAUUUAGAUUUUUUAAGUUUUGCAUGACGGAAAAAGUGGACUAGUAUCUUUUGUGUCUUGGUGAGAAUUUUCUAGACUAAGUUGUGGAUUGAUGCACUAUCUUUGGUUCUAGUUUAGGAGUUAAUGUCUCUGAGAAUUGUGAAUUUCCUAUUUUUGUUUUCACCUAACCAGUUUAGACUUUUGCUUUGCUUGAGGACAAACAAAGGUUUAAGUCUGGGGGAGUUGAUAACACCGUAUUUUGACCACUUUUAUGGAUCGUUUUGAAAUACUUUUUCUAUGUUUUUAAUUGCUUUUAAGUACUUUUAUCACGUUUUUCUAGUAUUUUUAGUUCCAAGACUCUUUUCAGGUAACUUAGGGAAAAACUUAACAAAAUGGAAAGAAAACCAGAUUUCAGCUCAGAGUCAAACCGUCAGAAGUUCACCCCUAAUUGAAGGCCUUCUCACCGUCUGAUCCAGCUCAAAUUUGGAGACCUUAAAGAUGGAAGUAUCAGCUUUCCAGCACACUUUACAGCUUAGCAAUCUAACCGUUCAAUCAAAAGAUACGCGAAGAGCAAAAUGUCCUGUAAACCAGCCGGCAAGCAACUCCACCUGCGGCCAACAGGCCAUUUCCCGCGGUCAGAAGCAUCCCGACUGCGGCAAACCACUCAUUCCCCGCGGUCACAGCACUCCCGACCGCGGCAAGCCAACUCCGAGCCCAAAAGCCCAUUUCUGAAGCCCACAAUGAUUUCCUCAUUUGGAGAAACCCUAAGUGACGUCCAGAGCACUAUAAAUACAUGUUUUAGGAACCCUACUCGAAAAAAUAGAGACUACCGAAUUUUUACUUCAUACUUUUAUUGUUUUUGCUUUAGCUUUUGGGAGAGAGAGAUUUGUUCUCUUACCCUUGUUCUUUCUUUUUCAAUUUCGGUUUCUAUUCUACUUAUUAAUACUAUGUUUUUGAUUUCGUUCAUUAUGUAUGAGUAGUUCAAUUGUUAGGAUUAAGGGAUUUUCGAUGGGGAUUUAUAUGUUCGAUGAGGAUUCCAUGAGCUUUUGAGCCGAAUCUUAGAACUUUUUCUUCUGAAUUCGUUUUUACUGCAUGAGAGUAGCGUCAUGAACUACAAUCUGAUCCAGAUGCUUGGUGACACAAAAGUGUUCAUCAGGUAUCAGAUCUAGUUUGGGAGAGCAAAACAAACAUAGGAGUGGAAACCUACCUAUGGGCGAUUUGUCAAUGCUGACGAGUCUUAAACAUAAUGCAUCUCUUCUUUUCCAGGGCCAGAGUGGAAACCUACUGGUCAGGGUUGAGAUAGUUGUCUAUGAUCACGACAGUGGCGUAUUCAUACGUCCGUGACUCCAGUUCGAAAAGUUUAAGCUAAGAUCUUAUCAAUUUUACUCUCUAGCAAUGUUUUGAAUCGUUCGUACCCCUGAGAAAACUUCCCUGAACCCCAACGCCUUCUUUCCUAUUGAUUUACACCGUUUUUAUUUCAAGCUUUAGUUCAAUAUUGUCUUUCCUUUUUAGUAGAUUUUCAUUUAAGCAUUUAGAAUAUCCGUUUUUCUCAUUUUUAUUCAUUUUCGUUAAGUUUAGUUAUUAAUUCAUUUAAUUCCCAUAUUUUCUUUUAAGAUUUCAUUUUUACAUUUUAAACACACCACCAAACCCCCACAAAACCGUUUUGGUUCUAGAUUUCCUUACUUUAUACUUAUUUCAAAGGCUUUUUGCAGGAAAAUAUCCUCCUUCCCUGUGGAUUCGAUCCCUAAGUACUACAAUCGAUCAGCUGUGCACUUGCGGCUAUUGAUUUCAUUUAGGGUAAAACUUGACAACCCUCAAGACAACACCACAUCAAGUUGUGAGAUAACACCGGAUUCUGACCAUUUUUAUGGAUCACUUUUAUAUCUUUUACAGGUGUUUUUACUCCAUUUUCAAAGGUUUUCAAAGGAUUUCUAUGUUUCCGGAUUUUAAAAGACUUUUCAGGUAAUUUGGGAUAAAGAGGCACAAAAUGGAACAAAAAGACUCUUUUGAAUAAAUGCAGAUCGUCAGAACUCUCAUGGAGAGACGAAGACCUUUUCACCGUCUGAUCACCCUCAAAAUUGGACAACUUAUAGGAGAAUCAACCAGCUUUCAAAUGUACUUGGUUUGGAGACAUUCCAACGGUUGGAUCUCAAGAUAUUCUAUUAGCCCCGGAGCCACUUGAAGUCGGCCAGCAAGUCACGCGACCGCGGUGAUCAACCUAUAUCCCGCGGUCAGAAGCUUCCCGACCGCGGCCAACCAGCCAAUCCCCGCGGUCACAACACUCCCGACCGCGGCAAUCAAUCUCCGAAUUAAAGCCCAUGUAUCUGAAGCCCAAAGUCAUUCUCAGCCUCAAUUCCGGAACCCUAGAGACCAUGGAGUAUUGGAGACUAUAAAUACAUGUCAUUUAGGUCGUUUUUAGGGAGAGCCAUUCAUACUUUACAGAAACCCUUUUUCUUUAGCCGUUUAUAUGAGAUUUUUGUAGAAGAUUGUUCAAGUCCGAGUUCUUCAAUAGAGAAGCUUUCUUUAUCUCUUUUCUUUACUGUUUUUCAUUACUUUUAUUAAAACCAAUGAUGAUGUCGACCUCAGCCAUGUCUGAGUAGAUCCCGAGUUGGGCUUAGGGUUCCCGGAAGGGGCUCUCAUAAUCGAUUAAGACAUCUAGGUUUAUAGAUCUGGGAUUUCGACCUGUUCUCUUUUUAUUCUUGUUCUUAUUGCAUGUAUGCUUGAUUGAUCACCUAGUAUCUGAUCUAGAUAGUUAGUGUUGCAAAAGUUUUCAUUAAGUAUCAGCCCUAAAAUGAAACAGGCGAUUUUUCCGUAGGACUGGAAACCUACCUGCGGCGAGAUCGUGAGUAUUGACGAGUCUUGUGCAGCUCUUGCGUUCUCUCCCUUCUAGGGCCAGAGUGGAAACCUACUGGUCAGGGUUGCGAGAAACAGUUGGUUAUGAUCACGACAGUGACGUAGUCAUACUGCCGUACUCUAGCUCUAGAACCCAUAUAUCGAUAUCCGUCAAUCCCAAUCUAUUUACCCUAGUGUUAAAACCGAUUAUGAUCCCUUAGAGUCCCUAAAAGCUCAGCGUUUUUAGCCAUAGUUUACAAUUCCAUCGAUUUUUAUUUGCUUAUUUAGGCCUGCAUUUCAAUUUCCUUAGUUUGUUAUUUACUUACUUUACUAGUAUUUCAUUCGAUAUUUUACUUGCCUUAUUAGUCUUUCAUUCGAUAUUUUACUUGUUCUAUUUGCCUUUCAUUCGAUUUUUUUACUUGCUUUUUAGGAUAGAUUUAUUUGCUUUCUUUUGUUUUAGUUUAAUACAUCAAACCAACCAACCUUUAAAAACCAAUCUAGUCUAGACAUAAAGUUAAAAACCGUAGAAGAAUACCAGGCACACAAAUCUCUGUGGAUUUGAUCCCUAAAUACUAUAACUGAUUAGCUGUGCACUUGCGGCUUUCAUUUGUUUUGUUAAGGGUAAAACUUGUUCCCUCACGCAGUUGACACGACAUCAAGUUUUUGGCGCCGUUGCCGGGGAUUUGUUUCGCUGCCUUUUGCUAUUUUUCUUGUUUUAACUUCUGUUAUAGACACUUGAUCUCUAGUUCUUUCUUAAAGUUUUGCUGAAUUAUCUUUCCCUUCUUUUGUUUUUCUCUGAAUUGCAUGAAUACCAGGCGCAUACCUGUAGAAAACAUUCCAAUUCUAGACGAGAUAGACAGACACGAAAGACAACUUCGAAGACUUAGACGAACACAAAGAAUGGCCAACGACAACCAGCCUGGAGAUCCUAUUAAUCGAACUUUAAAUAUGGACCAAGACGGGUCCGAACAUGGGGAAAAUGAAGAGAAUGAUCACAGUGGAGGUGAUCAUGCUCGACAAGAUGGAGAGGAAGAUGAGUUUCCUCCAAGAAACCACCAGAACCGAGAGAGAGAAGGACGUGAAGACCUUGAUCCACCCAUCAAUGCAGCCGAUGGUGACCACCCAGCAAUGCAGCCAAAUGAACGCAUUCACCGCCCCAUUCCGCCAGCAAAUCAACACCGAAGACAAGCCAGGAACCAUCGCAUAGCUGAUUUUGAUGGACCUACUCAAAAUUUUCAGAAUCGAUCUGCAAUUCAAGUACCAUUUCCAAACCGGAAUGAGUUUGAAGUCAAGCCUCAAAUCAUCUCAUUGGUGAAGCAAAACCAGUUCCAUGGAGUUCCUUCUGAACACCCAAUGGACCAUAUCGAGCUCUUUGAAGAAAUUUGCAGCAUGAUGAGAACAAAUCAAAUUCCACCAGACUAUUUAAAGUGUAAGUUGUUCCUUUUUUCAUUAGCAGAUAAAGCUCACCGUUGGUUGAAAUCUUUGCCUGCAGGAUCGAUUACCAAUUGGGAAGAAUGCAGAAAUGCUUUCCUAAACCACUUCUACACUAAGUCAAGGUCGAAUCAGUUGAGAACAAAGAUCUCAAACUUUCAACAAGGGCCAACUGAAUCUUUCUAUGAAGCCUGGGAGCGUUUUAAGGAGUAUGAACGUGAUUGCCCUCACCAUGGAUUUCAUGGAUCAAGCCUGCUGAGCACAUUUUACCGAGGUUUGCAACCAAAAUAUAAACUUUCACUUGAUACAGCUAGCAAUGGAGAUUUUGGACAAAAGAUGAUAACCCAAGGAAGAGCUCUCAUCGAAAAUUUGGCUCAAGCCAAUAGCAAUGACUGUCCUGAAUAUGAUCGAUCAAUGAAGCAAGCCGGAACAGACAACAAGGAGAUAACCGAGUUGAAGAACAUGGUGAGCCAGCUUCUGAAGAGUAACAAUCGCCCAAUCCAUGCUUGUGAGACCAACAAUGGCGCAGAAGAUGAAGGACCUAGUGAUAUCGAUCACAUUAAUCAAGCCUUUCAAGAGGAAGAUGUGAACUAUGUAGGAGCACUGGUGCCAUAUCAAAAUCGCUCCAAUAAUAGCUUCAACAACAACUUCCGGAAUGCAAAUUACAACAAUCUCUCUUACCGCAAUCCAAAUGUGGAGAAUCCUCAAGACCAGUACUACCCACCUCAGCAAAAAUCCUUUCAAAACAAGUUUCAAGGUGGAAACGUUGGAGGAAUAGUACCAUAUCAACCACGACAGCCAUUUAACUACCAAGGUACGGGUUUUAACAAUCAAUUUGUACGACAGCAGGGAGUCACGACGAACCAGCUAGCUUCACAAAUCGGUAGACUUGAACAGUCAAUCCAACAGCUCGUUAUGACGAACGAAAAAGCAUCUAAAGACGUGAACGUGAAAGUGUACUGCAUGUACAAUGAUCUGAAUGGUAAGUUUGAAUCUUUAUCUUCGCACGUAAAAAAGUUAGAUGUGCAAGUCGCCCAAACAGCCGACUCUAUGAAGAGGCAAAGUGGAGUACUUCCAGGAAGAGUUGAAGAUAACCCUAAGAAGUUUUGCAACGCCAUAACCACAUUGCCCGAAGAAGAGGCCGGAACCAAUGGAAAGAAAGAAGAAACCCCAAUCUUUGUACCACUGUACAAGGAUAUCAAUCCCAAGAAGCCACCGUUUAAGGUACCUGAACGAUCACCGUUUUAAAGGCUUACCAAAGCCGAUGAUCCAGGACGUUUUGUUUUCCAGUGUUUCAUUUCAGGAAUCAAGUUUACAGACUGCUUGUGUGAUUCCGGAGCCAAUGUCAACAUCAUGUCUAAGACGUUUGCCGAAAAAUUGGGCACUAAAACCUUAAAGACAUCGACGGUUAAGGUUAUUUUUGGAGAUUCAUCUCAAAAAGAUACCAAAGGGGCAAUUCAUGAUCUACAAGUUCUAGUGGGAGACAAAAUCGUUCCAGCAGAUUUCCAAGUCCUGGAAAUGGAUAAAGACAAGGAGAGGCCACUCAUUUUCGGGAGACCAUUCCUAGCUACAGUAGGAGCAGUAAUCGAUCACGCAAAACGACAUGUUGUUUUCCUCAAUGUGGAUCGAAAAAAGUACUAUCCGACUAUCUUAGACGAUUUUCCAAGCAAAGGAAACAUACCAAAAGAGAAAGAGAAGGAGAAGCCGAAAGCUUUUGCAAAGAUCAAGAUCAUCAUUCCACCAGAUGCAACAGAAACUAGUGAGGACUAAAUCCAGGAGCUGAUCGAAAACACAAAAAGGGUUUUAAACAAUAUUAAAGUUCGAAAGAAGAGUAAAGGAAAGAAGACGGCUCCUCAAGGAGAAGAAGUAAAACCUCCAGCGACCGGAAGUGAUAAAGGCACAUCAAGUGGAGUGCCAUUCAAAUCAGCCUGAUUCCUCAUGCUUACGUCGAGCUAAACGACUUAAAACAAAAGCGCUUAAUGGGAGGCAACCCAUUUAGGUACUCUUUCUUUUAGUUUUCUUUUCCUUUUUUUUUACAAUUUAUACUUUCUUUUUCUUUUUAAGUUUUAGGUAUUUUAUAAAACAAAAACACAAAAAAAAUCAGAAAAUUAAGAAAACCAAGAAGAAAAAGGUAGGUUUUUAGCUGCUCGGCCCGGCAAAGACGAGAAGGUUGGACAAAGGCCGCAUGAGGAAGAGCCGCGGUCGCGACUGACUGACCUGCGGCCAAGGGAGCAUCGACCGCGGCACCGUGAAUGUGACCGCGGCCGAGCACUCGACCACCGCGGUCGCGCGUCUCCUGACCGCGGCCGUUGGUCGUUGAGGUGAUUCCGCGGAUUUCUGCCGCUUUUCGGUGUUGCCUGGUGUUUGCCUGGUGAUUCCUGGUGUUGCCUGGUGUAUUCUCGGUGUUGCCUGGUGUUUGCCUGGUAAUUCCCGGUGUUGCCUGGUGUUUUCCUGGUGUUGCCUGGUGUUUACCUGGUGUUUACCUGGUGUUACCUGGUGAUUCCCGGUGAUUCCCGGUGAUUCCCGAAAUGUUCCCGGUAAAAUCCGAAAAGCUCCUCCGUAAGUUUUAAACUUUCCUAAUGUGCAAACAAGAAAGGUAAGUUCCCGUAAACUUAAAAAUUUCUAGAAAUUUUCCGUUUUUGCUACAAAAACGCUUUUUAAAGAAAAGAAACAAACUUUUUGGAUCAAAACUCCUUCUUCUCUUCUCUUCCAAAAGAUUUGGAGAUUUAGGAGAUAGAAUACAUUUUUCAAUUCUUAAGCUUUUUAAAAGAUUUUUGGCUCAAACCUCACUCUUUUUCAAAGCUGAUUCCAAUUCUGCAAUCAAAUCUCUCUUUCCAGCAAGGUAUGAACCUCAAACUCGCCAUUUUUAAUUGAUUUCAUAACUUAGGGUUUUUUUAAAAAUCCCAAAUCUCUGUUUAUUGAUGGUAGAAAUAGAUUAAGAAUGAUAGAUUAUCCAUUUAGGUUAUCUAAAAAUUGAUUUUAGCACCUAGCUUAAGAGGAAUUGAGAUUUUUGAAAUUUGGAUUCUACAUGCUUCAUAAAAAUCGAAUUUGGAACAGCAAAAUUGAUGAGUUUGAUUAAGUCUUGUGUGAUUAAUGAUUAGUAUUGUGUGAGCCAAAACUCAAACAACCAGAAAUUUGUUUAAGGAAAACUAAGGGAUCGGAAACUUCUAGGGUUUAUCGCCAAAAACAGUAAGAUCGAAAGAAAGUUUUUCUUGCUGUAAAAGUGUUUAGCUCUUAUUGCUUAGGGUUGCAAAAGUUACAGAAUGAAUUGUAUACAUCGUCUAUUUAUACUAACUCUCUGAACCGCCUAGCCGAGAAUCUCGGGAGAGAUUUUCGGAAUAUUUCCUUAUCGCCUCGUGCGGCUCACCGCCUUUGUAUUUCGCCUAGGAUUUUUAUGGGCUUCGUCUCCCAAGGCCACGGUUUGGCCCAUCAUUCUCCUUUGCCACGGCUCGGCCAUCUAAUUUCUUCACGGCUCGGCCCACUUGCCAUUUCGGUCGAGACAUGAUCUGGUCCACCUCACCGAGGCGCGGCUCGGCCCAAGCAUGUUGGAAUGGGGCUCGGCCCAUUUCUUACGAUACGGCUCUCCCUACUGGUCUAUCGUCACGGCUCUCCCACUUGGUGAUCGCGGCUCUCCCGCUUGUCUUGGUGAGAACGGCUCUCCCACUUGUCUUGGUGAGAACGGCUCUCCCACUUGUCUUGGUGAGAACGGCUCUCCCAUUUGGUGACCACGGCUCUCCCACUUAUCUUUCUUCCAUACUUAGUCAUUUUGAGAUGGUUUUAUCUGCGUGGGGUGAAAACCGACCCCAACAGUUAGCCCCACUGCUCGUCAGUUUCGGAGGCGAGAGUAACGAGGUCCAUUACUCCUGACCGUAGGAUAAACCAUCGAGUCAAGCUGUUAUGACAUAGGCCCAGAUGAGGUGUUUUGGGAAUGAAGACGCCGAGGUGUUUCCAAGGAGUGCCGAGGGUGCCGAGGUGUUUCGAAAGGGUACCGAAGAUGCCGAGGCAAGUUAAGGACGAGGCGACCUCGUUUGGUAAUAAUGGGCCGAUGCGAUUUCGUUUAGUAAUGAUGAGCCGUGACGAGGCGAUUUGAGAAGGUUAUACCGAGCCGAAUAAAUGGCGAGGCGUUUCGAGAGAAAGUUUGUGCCGAGCCGUUUCGUUAAUGACAAGGCGUUUCGAGAGAAAAUUCGUGCCGAGCCGUUUCGUUAACGACGAGGCGUUUUGAGAGAAAGUAAAUGCUGAGCCGUUUCGUUAACGACGAGGCAUUUCGAGAGAAAAUUCGUGCCGAGCCGUUUCGUUAACGACUAGGCGUUUCGAGAGAGAGUAAAUGCCGAGCCGUUUCGUUAACGACGAGGCGUUUCAAGAGAGAGUAAAUGCCGAGCCGUUUCGUUAACGACGAGGCGUUUCGAGAGAGAGUAAAUGCCGAGCCGUUUCGUUAACGACGAGGCGUUUCAAGAGAGAGUAAAUGCCGAGCUGUUUCGUUAACGACGAGGCGUUUACUUUGGUAAGAUAUCGGCUGAAAAAUUGGGCAUCACAACUGUUGGUCUUCCGAGAGAAAAUUCAUGAUCUGUUGGCGCGUGUGACCGACGCAGUUCGGUCUAGCCGUUCCACUGCGGAUCCCACGCGCUGUUUGGACGGUUUCCCGAGGUUUACGCGGAAUUCACGCGCUUCGGUUUUCCUAUAAAUGGGUGAGCUCCUUCAUUCUUCCUCAUUAUCUUCAGACUCACUUUUUUUACUAAAGGUAGCUCUCCCUUCUCUCUUCUUUCUCUCUCUAGUUUAUUUAUUUUCCCGCUAGGGUUUCCGAGGUCUCCGCCGUUCCAGAUCUUUUUCCGGCAGAGGCUCGCCGAGUCGUGCUGUAAUUCUUGUACAAGUCGUAAGUUAUGUCGAGCCACUCCGACGAUUCGUUGGAUUCACUCUUUCACUACGAGCCGAGCCGUGUAGAUGCCGAGGCGAGAGGUACAACAGAAUCCUCCGAGGCAUCCGUUUCGCCGAGCCCUUCCAAUCGUUCAUCUGACGAGGCGUCAAAUCAUGCAAAACCGUCAGAUGUCGACUCUACAGAUGAUGAGCCAUCGGUUUCGACGAGCCGUCCCCAGGAUCCCAUUCCUGAUGAAGGUAUCAACUGCGCCGCAGUCUAACCCGAGGAGGAGGCAUUUCCCUUUGACCUAUUCGAGGCGAAGCGUGAGUUGGAACGUCUCAUAGCGUCUCGAGGCGCUUCCACAUCUGGGCGAGGGCCACGAGUUAAAAGACAAAAGCCUGACCCGCCUGGCUCUACGCUUUGCUCCCUUGAGUCGCUCUAGGCGUUGAGGCAUCGCUUCAGGAUAUCCGAGGCGGUGGAGUUCAUCGUUCCAGAGAAGAGCGACCGAGCCGACAAGCCUCCAGAGAAUCACUUCACUCUGUACGAGGCGUUCUUCGAGCUUUGCUUUCUCUGGUUCCCAAUCCCCGGAGUGAUCCUUGAAUAUCUCUGGAAACACGGGAUCUCGAUUGGGCAAAUCAUGCCGAGGGGAUUACGGCGUAUGAUUGGCAUCUUAGUUCGUAGCUCCGAAUGCGGACUCGAUAUCGAGCUGAAUCACCUGCUGGACUUGCUGGAAAUCAGGAAAGCCCCGAAGGGAAAUAGAUUCUAUAUUUCCAACAAGGCGAAACGACGGAUCAUAGGCGGUUUUCCCAGCAAGGAUCAGUUUUGGACUGAACGCUUUUUCUACGUCUUGGUGAACGAGGCGUCGGUCGGCGAGGAUUACGUUCAAAGAACCAAGACCGCUUGGGGAUCACUUGGUAGCCGACCCGAAGCUCUGCCUCGGCUCGGAACUGCUUUUGGUAUCCUCUUCCUUUUCUGAAUUUUUUUCUUUUUUGCUUUGUUUUGCAGUUCGGUGCUUUCUUCCCCCGAUUCCCGACGACCUUUUUACUGUUCAAGACUCUCUUUCGGCGCGGAAGGUUAAUUGGAGAAAGAACUUCACCCUCGAAAGAGUAGAAAGAGCGCGAGCCAUCCUUGCCGGAGUCCCCGUCAGCUCUUCGUCCUCAAGUUCUUCAAGACAUACCCGGGAGAAGAUAGUAAUAAUCGCUCUCAGAGAAAGGAAGAGGCGCGAGGAAGAGGAGGCCGCUAGAUGAGCUGCCGAGGCGGCUCGCGCGCAUACCGAGGCAGUUCCAGCGCAAGCCGAGGCGGUUUCAGCGCAAGCCGAGACCAUCCCUCAACCCGACCCGCCGAGCCAGGAAGGGGAUGUAAUGGUCCAAGCCGCAGAAGGAGACACUGCCGAGGCGGCUGAUAAAGAUGCAGCGCCCGAGGUGGAACCGGGCGAAAUUAUCCCCGAGGUGUCCGGGGACGGCUCGGCGGCGCGGAGUAAGACUCCUUCGCACACCGCCAUCCUGGCCCUCCCGAAGUCGACGAGGCCACCGACUUCGGUUGUUCAGAAGCAUGACUCUAGCCGAAAACGUUCGGCUACUGACAAGGGGAAGGGCGUCGCCGUUCAGAAGGACGAGCCGUCCAAGAAGAGGCGGAAACCGACGCCCGGGGACCCGCCGCGCAUAAGUUGGUCGUUGACGACCCCAACGCCUCUGCCGUCAUGUUCUCGCGUGUAAAUAACGCGAACACGAGUCUUCCUCCUCUGGAGAAGCUGAGGAGGCCGAGGUCAUACGGCACGAUGGAACAGCACGGUACCAAGGUACGUUCUAUUUUCUUUCCUUUAUUUUUGCAAAUUUUACGAGGUGUUUAACGCACGUCUGUUCUCUGCAGUUUGUCGCGGCCAUUAACGACCUGAUGGCCGAGUAUGAGGCGGACCUGUCUAAGGUCGAAUGUCGUUUGGACGAGGCCCGAAAUGAAACCGUGGCGUCAAAGGUGAAGCUGGAAGAGGCGCAAAACGAAGCCGCGGCCGCGAAGGGGAAACUCACCGAGGCGAUGACCCGAGUGUCGAGGUUGGAAGAGGAGAAGAUAGUUCUCCGCGCUGACGUCGACAAAGUUUCCGCCUUGGUGAUUCGCCUGGAGGAAGCAAGGAGAGCUAAAAGCGCCGAGGUGGCGAUGCAAGAGGCGUAUCGAAGCCAAGGACGCUCUGUUUGAUGCCAAGGUCAAGCGGGCAAAAAAGGAGGCGAGGCGAGAGCUUACGGCUAAGUUUCAGGAACGCCUCGCCAAGGUAGAGGAAGAUUUGGUCAAGCUCGAGAAGGCCAAAAAUGAUGAGAACGAUCUGGGGCAGAUCAAGGGCAAUCUUGCGAUGAUUGCCGACCUGAAGAAGCCGGACACCCCGACGCUUGAUGACGAGGAGGCGAAGCUGAAAAGUUGGGAGAGUGAGUAUGCCAACGACGAGGCGUACGAGCGUAUUGCUUCCGAGAUUCAAGGCGAGCUGUUUUACUCUCCCGUAUCGCUGGACUCGGUAGACACCAGCAUUGGCAACGAGCCGCUUGAAGAGACAGCGGCCAACCUGGGUGUCGUUGAUCCGACCAGAUCGAACGCGGGGACACCAGCCCUCUCGAACCUCCUUGCCGAGCGCGAGACGCAAUCCGUGGCUUGAUACUCUCUGCUUUCCCUCACCCUUUAUUGCACAUGUUCUUCUUUUUGUUUUUGUACUUAAGUUUUUUCAUGAUUCACUUUUCGAACUCGUUAUGUAAUUGGUGCCUGGAUGGCUUUAUCCACUUGACUUUUAUUUUUGCUUUAUGGAUAUAUUUUAUUUUCCUUAGCCAUUUUCGGAUUUACUUGUCUAACAAUCCAUGAAAAUGUUUACGAAAACUGUUGGCUUAGAAAAAUUGUCAAGGAUGAAAACUGUGUGUCGAGAAUGAUUUGAUUGCUUCCUUAGCCGGGCUUUUCGAAAUUGAUAGAAAUACGGGCUAAGGGGUGAAUUGUGUUAAGGAUCUCGUUUGGAUUCUUAAUCCCGAGCUGGGAGUUUAGGUGAUAAUGUCGAGGCAAAUUUCCACUGGCAAUGCCGAGCCGUAUUUAACGACGAGGCGUUUUCGCUGUGUAAGGUGCCGAGCCGUGUAAACGGCGAGGCGUUUUCUCUAAGCGUGGUACCGAGCCGUGUACACGACGAGGCAUUUUUUCUGUGCAUGGUGCCGAGCCAUAAGAACGACGAGGCGUUUUCUCUUUGCGUGGUGCCGAACCGUAAGAACGACGAGGCGUUUCGUUUUUUGUUCAGCCAAGAAUGAUUUGGUAGUCUCAUUGAAUCUUACUAUGGACCGGCGUUUCCGAGAGGAUGAAUAUGUUUGUCCGGGUUUUAAGAGUUUACUUCGGUUUUAGAGAAAGCGAUGUAGUCUCGACUUACAUUCUCGUGUGCGAUAGUAAACCGUGGCGACCUGAUACGUUUUUGGUCUGAUAUUUGUAUAGCGCUUAAUUUUUAUCCGUAGAGGAUGUAACUUGCACCCUCGUCCUAGGAAAGGUGGUAAAGUUCGUUUAGAGAACUUUGUAUUUGUUGCCCCGUUAUGGCCAGCAACGAGACGAGGCGUUCGGAGGCUUAGUUUGCCGAUCUGAAACUGAGGACCGAUUAAGGUCUGAGGUAAUCAAGUCAUGAUAUCGUGCCGAAGUGGUAUGAUUACUCUCCGAAGUGAUGAGUGAUAAAAUUUUAAAAAUCCGAGCUUGUUAAAAUAAGUUGCUGAUUUAGAAAAAAUGAGAAACUAGCCGAAGCGAUAAUGAACGAACUAGAAAUCCAAGGUAAACGUGCAAUAAGUAGAUGAUUAAAAACGAACUGAGAAUGUGCCGAAGUGGCGAUGUUCCUAAGUGAGCAAGUUAAAAUUGUAGAGUUAAAGAAGGUAUGUGUAUAAGUACCCACUCCCCCCCCCUUUUUAGGAAGGGGGACAGCUGAACCCGUCCGAGGACGGGCUGCCUACGUACCCUUUGAAGGGAUCAAGCCGUCCCGUAGUUCAUGCUUGCCAUGCUGUACCUUUAAUGAUAAUACUUUUUUAGAUGCAUUGCGUUCCAUGAUCUUGGAAUCGCUUCGUCAGCUAGUGUCGCGAGUUCGUAGACUCCUGGACGAACCACUUUUGUGACCUUGUAAGGACCUUCCCAAUUUGCUCCGAGCUUUCCUGCGUUCUUCUCGGCAGUGUUUUGGAAGACCUUUCGGAGGACGAGCUCCCCUGCUUUGAAUCUUCGACUACGAACGUUUUUGUUGUAGUAUCGCGCCGUUGCUUGUUGAUAGUUCUGGAUCCGAAUUAAGGCUUGGUCGCGCUUUUCGUUGAUUAGGUCGAGCUCAUCUAGCAUCAUUAAGUGGUUCAAGCCCUCCUGUCCUGGUAGAAGUCUUCGUCGAAUACCUGGGAAAUCCACCUCGGGGGGAAUUACGCACUCCGAUCCGUAGACCAAAGCGAAUGGAGUUUCCCCGGUGGCUCGGCGCGGAGUUGUCCGAUGAGACCAAAGGACUCCUUCGAGUUCGUCUGCCCACCGUCCCUUCUUGGCGUCGAGCCUCUUUUUCAGACAGUCGAGGAUCAUCUUGUUGGCUGCUUCGGCUUGUCCAAUCCCUUGAGGGUAUCUUGGCGUAGAUUUGCUGAGGCGGAUUUUCCACUUCUCGCAGAAGGCUUCGAAGCGUGUUGAGAUGAACUGGGAUCCGUUGUCGGUGACUAUCUCGUAGGGGACCCCGUGUCGGCAGAUGAUAUUUUUCCAGACAAAGUGUUCGACUUGAACAUCCUUUAUGCUUGCGUAGGAAUCGGCUUCGACCCACUUGGAGAAGUAAUCCGUGAGGACGAGCAGAAAACGAUUCUGCUUUGAGCAAUGUAGAGGUCCGACGAUGUCCAUCCACCAUCUCAUGAACGGAUAGGGUGAUGAAAUUGACGCAACUCGGUAGGUUGAUGAAUUGUUGGAGCGUGCCGCUGACACUUCUCGCACUUCGCCUUAAAUUUCUCGUAGUCCUUGACCAUCGUGGGGCAGAAGUAGCCGUGCCGUUUUAUCUUGAUAGCGAGCGACCUUCUGCUGGAAUGGUUCCCGCACGCGCCGCUGUGCACCUUGUGCAUGAUCUUUCUUGCCUCCGGUCCUUCGACGCAUGUCAUGAAAGGCCCUGAAAAUCUCCAUUUAAACACCUCGCCACGACGAGGACAUACCGUGCGACCUGAGCUUUUAGUUUGCGGGCUUCCCAUUUGUCGGUUGGCACCUCUCCAUCGGCGAUAUACACUCGGAUAGCUCCGAGCUAUUCUUUGUCGCAGCCGUACUCCGGCUCGGUCGGUGAGGCGUCUUCAUCCAUAGGAAUGGCUUCGUCGUCCUCUGGUUCUUGUUCAGGAGGAUUUAUCAGCCGAACUCCUUCCACCUCUUUGAUGCUAGGACGUUCGAUGAAUUCGACUGGGAUCGUCCGUCGGAGGUCUGGGUCUGAGGUCGAAGCGAGUGCUGCCAAGGCGUCGGCCGAGGUGUUUUCCCCUCGGGGAAUGCGCGUGAGUUCGUACUCGUCAAACUUUUGCACCAACUCUCGGACCACCUUGAGGUAAGCUCCCAUUCGUCCAUCCUUCGCCUCGUAUUCUCCGUUGAACUGACAUGCUACGAGCUGUGAAUCGCAAAAGGUUCUUAUCUUUCGAACUCCGAUUCCCUACGCUAGUCGUAUGCCGGCGAUCAGUGCUUCGUAUUCCGCUUCGUUGUUCGAGGCGUGGAAGUUUAGGUGAAAAGACUGCUCCAAUAUCUCUCCGGUGGGAGAGGUGAGGCGAAUUCCUAUACCCGAGCCGUGUUUAGACGACGAGCCAUCGACGUGCAGCGUCCACACUUCGUCUAGAGUCGGCUCGUUUGUUUCUUCGGCGGGAAGUUCAAUGAGGAAAUCUGCGAGCACCUGUGACUUUGCAGACGACCUGUUCCGAUACUCGAUGUCGUAUUCGCUUAGCUCUAUGGCCCACUUGGCGAGCCGACCGGAUUGGCUAGGGCUGUGAAGGAUCGAGCGCAGCGGAAGCGUAGCGAGCACAACAAUCGAAUGUUAUUGAAAGUACGGGCGCAGUUUGCGAGCCGAGACUACGAUGGCUAGGGCGACCUUCUCGAUCUGGGGGUAGCGGGUCUCGGCGUCGGUUAGUGUCUAGCUGAUGUAGAAAAUGGGUUUUUGCUCGGAUCGUUCUUCUCUGAUAAGCACUCCGCUUACGGCUGUAGCAGACACUGCGACGUAGAGGAAGAGCGGCUCUCCUUCGACUGGUUUUGCUAAGAUUGGUGGGCUCGCCAGAUAAUUCUUCAGUUCCUGGAAAGCCGUCUCGCAUCGUUCGUCCCACUCAAAUUUCUUGUUUCCUCGGAGGGUGUCGUAGAAGGGCAGGCAUUUGUCUGUAGAACGGGAAAUAAACCUGUUUAGCGCGGCGACUCUACCUGUGAGCCUUUGCACUUCGCGCUUCGUUCUUGGAGAGGGCAUCUCAAUUAACGUCUUGAUCUGCUUGGGGGUUGCUUCUAUGCCUCGGUGAGUUACCAGAUAGCCGAGGAAUUCUCCCGAGGUGACCACAAACCUGCACUUUGCCGGGUUUAGUUUCAUGUUGUGCUUGUUCAAUUGUUCGAAGCAUUCCCAUAGAUGCGCGACGUGGUCUUCCUCCUUGAGUGAUUUGACUAACAUGUCGUCGAUGUAUACUUCCAUGGUUUUUCCGAGCUGAGCCGCGAACAUUUUAUUGACGAGCCGUUGAUACGUUACUCCUGCGUUCUUGAGCCCGAACGGCAUGACUUUGUAGCAGUAUAUCCCUCGAUCAGUUAUGAAUGCCUUUUUUUCUCGAUCAUCAGGAUGCAUCAGGAUCUGAUUGUAGCCGGAGAACGCGUCCAUAAAUGUUAACAGUCUAUUCCCUGCAGUGGCUUCGACGAGCCGGUCGAUGUGUGGCAAGGGAAAGCUGUCUUUUGGGCACGCCUUGUUGAGGUCGGUGAAAUCCACACAUACUCGCCACUUGCCGUUCUUCUUCUUCACGACCACCGGAUUUGCGAGCCAAUCCGGAUAUUUGGCCUCGGCGAUUGAUCCUACUUUGAGUAACCUUUCAACUUCGUCGUUAACUGCUUUAGCUCGUUCGGGGCCGAGCUUCCUUCUUUUCUGCUUGACUGGCUUAAAGGUCGGAUCCACAUUCAGCUCGUGACAGGUUACGUCAAUGCUUAUGCCUGGCAUAUCUUCUGCUGUCCAGGCAAAAGUGUUGAUGUUCUCCUUGAGGAGGGAAAGGAGUUCGCUUCUCAGAGGCUCUUCUAGUUUUAUUCCAAUUUCGAUGCAUCGCUCCGGACGCGCCUCGUCUAUGCACACCGAGUCCACUGCAUCGCAUACCGGCUCGGCGCGUGUUUCGCGGUUCUCCGUGAUCUGUAAUUGCUAUAAGAGUUUCGAGAGCUCGUUUGCGGGCUCUCGGUCUGUCUUCAUCUUUUUGCGGUCUAUAUCUGCUCGUGCGUCAGUGACGGGGUUCCUCAGCUUGUGCUCGGCUAAGCAGCACAUUCUUGACUCCUUCUGAUUCCCCCAUAUCGUUUUGACACCCGAUGGAGUUGGGAAUUUGAGACAGAGAUGAUAGGUGGAUGGUACCGCCCUCAUCCCGUUGAUCCAUGGAGUUCCCAUGAUCACAUUGUAGAUUGCUGGGUGAUCAGUGACGCAGAAUUCGACGAUCUUAGUGACUCCGCCAGCUACCACAGGAAGCCUGAUCGUUCCCAUAGUCAUCGUCGUUUCUCCUGAAAAUCUGGUUAGAGGUUGGGGAUUGCUUCCACCUCGGAGAGGUCGAUUCCCAUUUUUCUGAGUGUUUCUCUGAAGAUGACGUUCACUGAGCUUCUAGUAUCGAUGAGCACCCUUGCCACAUCAUGAUCCAUGAUCGUUAACUCGAUCACCAACGGAUCGUUGUGAGGUCGAUCAAUUCCUGCCGCUUCCUCCUCGGCGAAGGAGAUCACUGUGUUUGGGAUGUCGGUUGGUUUUAUCCAAUUCUCCUUUGCUUCGGCUCGGCGCUGAUAGGCUUUGAUGGAGGACACGGUAUCAUGGUAGUAUUGAGAUCCACCCAUGAUCAUAUUGAUCCUUUGCCUCGGCACGGGUCGCUCUUCGGGUUCACCUCUCCUGUCGCGCUUGGAGUUAUCGCCUCUUCGCGCUGCUCGGCUCGGCUCUCUCUUGUUGUUCGUUAGGGACGAGGUCUUUGAGGUUGACCGCGUUUUGGAGCUCUCCCGCUGCCAUCUUAGGCACGAGUUUUGCUCCUAGAGUUCGGCACUGUGCCGUUGAGUGCCCGUAGGUCUGGUGAUACUCACAGAAAGCCUUCUCGUCGUAGUUGGCGGAUUUCCUCACCCAAGUGUUGUUGCGCGGCUCUCCUCUUCCGCGUCCGGUGCCUACCUGGUAGUUAUGGGCACCUCCGCUUCUAGGUUCAUCCGAGCUCUGCGUUGUUGCGUUGUUUGAUGGGUUGCCCUUCCUCGCGGGGCGCGGCAAAAUUGAGCUUCGGAUUGCUGCUUUCGUCGCUUCGUACCGCUCGUCCAAGUUUUUCAUUUCCUCCUCGUUUACGACGAAGUCUGAUGAUCGGUGCAGAGCGUCUUGAAUUGUUUGCGGCGUGUUGAGAGCCAUCUCCCGUUGGAACUCGGAUUUGUACCACAAAGAUUGUUUCAGAGCCUCGAGCGCAGCCUUGUCGCUUAUCCCUUCUAUUUUGGAUACGAGUGCCUUGAAUCUUGCCAUGUAAUCCCGAAGCGGCUCGUUCAGUCCUUGGGAUAGUGUCCACAGAUCGGCAUCAGAUGUUCCUCUGUCCAUAAACAUCGAGUAUUGUUUCUGGAACAAGGCGGAGAGCUGUUGAAAAUUGCCGAUUGAAUUUCGUUCCUGCCUCGAAAACCACUCGAGUGCGGCUCCCUUGAGAUGCUCCACGAAGAGCAGGCAGUAUCCGGCAUCUACUUUGCGCUCGGUGAGUUUAGCGGCGUUCUUUGUGAAGGCUCGUCCCAUUGCUAUCCGAAACGCUGUGAUGUGUGCUUUCGGGUCGGUUGUUCCUUCGUAGAACGGGAUUCUCACCUUCCCCGGCUCGGGAAUCCUGGCCUCCGUGAUUCUUGCAGUGAAUGGAGUUCUCUGAGUUUCUUCAAGCAUUCGGUCGAUUUCGGGCGCUGCGCUUGUCACGUUGUGCACUUGGGAUUUCAUGGCGCGUAUUUCAGCUACUGUCCGAGCUAUCGAGGCUCGCAGCUCUUUGAGUUCGAGAGUUUGUGUGUGAAUCAUUCCCUUUGAUUGGGGGAGUCGCUCCCGCUCCUCUCUCCUCGGCUCGUCUUCGCGCUCUGCCUGUUCGAUCCAUUGGCGAUUUUCUUCCUCCUCGGUUGGAUUGUCGCUGCGGGUCGGGUCGGAAACUUCGUCAGUUCGGAUGCCGUUUAGUGCCGAGGCGAGGUCUUCUUGACUUAUUCGCCGAGCCGAGCCGGUUUGUUGCGGAUUCGUGGUUCAGUCGUUAUGCUGGGCGUCUACGUCGAUCGCAUGGUUUUCUUCUUCGCCGGCUCGCCGCCUUGAGUUUCGGCGGAGAGGGGGCGGCUCGGUCAUGUUGACUCUGGUUGCUGCGGGGGGUCUUUUCGUCGAGGAGACGAAACAUUGGAGGAGCCGAGGGGUUUCUUGCGCCACUCCCUGAGGCUUCUGCAGGUGUCGAGAAAUCGAAGCGUCUCCGGAUUCCAUCCAUCGGGUCGGGAAUUCCGGCUCUCCAAGUUUGGUGCAGUCGCUCAGCCGCCAUCGCGUCGAGCCUUUCCGUAAUCGCCUCGUUUCUUUUAUCCUGUUCGUCGAUUUUCUUCAUCAACGCAGCCAUCAUGUUUGCAUCUCCUCCUGGGUUUUGAUCGUUGCUGUCGUUGUGCCCGAUGCCGGAGCGUCCUUCUCCGUGCCGUUACCGGUGUUGUUGUUGUUGUUGUCGUCGGGGGUGUUGCUCGCCAUGUUCUUCGGAUCUUAAAGUCUUGUCGAUUUAGAGUAAGAAAGUUUCGAUUCCCCACAGACGGCGCCAAAUUGUGUGAGCCAAAACUCGCACAACCAGAAAUUUGUUUAAGGAAAACUAAGGGAUCGGAAACUUCUAGGGUUUCGCCAAAAACAGUAAGAUCGAAAGAAAGUUUUUCUUGCUGUAAAAGUGUUUAGCUCAUAUUGCUUAGGGUUGCAAAAGUUACAGAAUGAAUUGUAUACAUCGUCUAUUUUUACUAACUCUCUGAACCGCCUAGCCGAGAAUCUCGGGAGAGAUUUUCGGAAUAUUUCCUUAUCGCCUCGUGCGGCUCACCGCCUUUGUAUUUCGCCUAGGGUUUUUAUGGGCUUCGUCUCCCAAGGCCACGGUUCGGCCCAUCAUUCUCCUUUGCCACGGCUCGGCCCAUCUAACUUCUUCACGGCUCGGCCCACUUGCCAUUUCGGUCGAGACAUGAUCUGGUCCACCUCACCGAGGCGCGGCUCGACCCAAGCAUGUUGGAAUGGGGCUCGGCCCAAAUCUUACGAUACGGCUCUCCCUACUGGUCUAUCUUCACGGCUCUCCCACUUGGUGAUCGCGGCUCUCCCGCUUGUCUUGGUGAGAACGGCUCUCCCACUUGUCUUGGUGAGAACGGCUCUCCCACUUGUCUUGGUGAGAACGGCUCUCCCAUUUGGUGACCACGGCUCUCCCACUUAUCUUUCUUCCAUACUUAGUCAUUUUGAGAUGGUUUUAUCUGCAUGGGGUGAAAACCGACCCCAACAAGUAUUGGGUAAUCUUUAGAAUUUACAUGGAAAUUGCUUAUAAAAACCAAUUUUUAGAAGAUUUCUAUGUUGAGAACAUCAAAAAUCCGAAUCUGGUCAUGAACUACUUGAUUUCUCUGAUUUAUUAUCGAUUUUGUUUGCUCAUGGUUUUAAUUAAUCUCUUUAUGCUAGUAUUAGUAUAACAGAUCUUAAUGUGUUAAAAUCAGCAUCCAAAUUCACUCUUUUUCCAAGAACUAUUUCGUUUUGCAGAAAAAUGGACCAAAACAGAUCCCGAAGGAGCCGUCGCACUGGUGGCAGCUCCGAGGACAUUCCCGAUGAUGCUACUCUAGGAGAGUACAUGCUGAACCAAACCAGACCGAGAAGGAGAAACUAUGUGAUGAGAUUGCUCCAUCACUCAAGAGAAACACAAGCAGCUCCCGAGCCACCACAGAUUCUAUACAUUGGGAGGGAGACAAACCCGAGAGUGGACUAUGCAAGACGUUUCAAGAAGCUGAACAUCAAACCCACGCCUUGCAUAGAUUAUCAUACACUCGAGAUGCUUGGAAUCAGAGAAGAUGUGAUCUGGUACAUCAAUGCACUUAAGCUGAGACCCUACAUGGAGCUGAACCUUCCGACUUAUCCUGAGCUAGUCCGUGAAUUCUUAGCGACUAUUACACUACACCACACGAAGAGGAGGAACCCCAGAGCAUCAGAUGGCAUCUUGUCAUUCUCUAUCCGCGGACAGCCUUACUCUCUCACCAUUUCUGAGGUUUGUGAAGCUCUUAAGCUUCCAUACACUGAUGGCAUUUACCUUGAAGAUGAACCUGAUCUUAACCUGUGGAGAGAGAUGGGUCAUGGAGUCUAUGAUAGUGGGAGAUCGAAGUCAGCCCUUCUUACUCAUCCAGCAGUGAGAGUUGUGCACAAGCUAUUAGCACACACGAUCUUCUCUAGAGCAAACAUGGGAGGUGUUUUAAAGACUGAGCUCAUUACACAUCAGAUUCCGUUUAUGGACGACCCACGACUUGCUUGCUUUGCCUGGAUCAUAGCGCAGAAUACGGUAAACGUGAAGCAUGACUUACAUGGUUGCGAGGACGCUACUCCAGCUUUCAGGAGUGCUAUUACAGCGAUACUACAGGCUGUAGGAUUCGAUUUCUCAUCUGAUGAGCCACUUCCCGAUGUCUGGUAUGAUCUACUUUAUCUCUCUCGCGAUCACACUAUCUCUCGUGCCGCUUUCGAUCCAGACAGGUUUGGUUACAAGUAUUGCACUGGCACUGAGGAGCACCGAGUCAGUUUGCCUUCGGUAUCUAUCCCGAGAUUGUGUAACGGAGGACGUCCGCGAUGGACUCCGGAACCUGAUGAUUUUCUGCCUUCUGUACCUCGUCUACCAUUCACCAUUGGCCAAUACAUAGUGGCCAAGGUGAAGCGUGAUGCAGCUGCGGCCCGUGCCCAUUUUCAGCCAUCUGUUUUGACCGGCCACACCUCAUCAUCUACAUCAUCUCACACUCAUUCCGAUCUGGAGCGCAGAGUUGAGAGACAGGGACGACGCUUUGAGCGCGUUGUCACCUUCUUACAGGAGCAGCACCAGUUUGCAGACGACACAUCGGAGGAUGAGUGAUUGAUCAGCACUUCACUACCAUCACGGUUCUAUCAUCAAUUUCUUUUCUUUUAUCUUAUUUUAUUUCUCUUUUAUUCACCAUCUUCUCACCAACUUUUUCACACUGGGGACAGUGUGAUUUAAGUCUGCGGGAGGAUGUCUAUCCGUACUAAUCAUUUUCUUGCUUUUCUUUUUAAAUUCCAAGUACUUUUUAAAUUUUAAUAUGUAACCUAUUCGACAUUAAGUAUUUUUCAGGAAUGUUUGACGCAAAACUAUGAUGAUUUAGACCUGCACGCUUCUACACUAUGCAUGAUUGCUCAUUUGUGGUUAGCACUAGACUAGGCGGUAGCUAGAGUACUUGCACUACGAACUCCCACCAGAGGACUUCUAUUCAUGGAGAUUCUUUCUGACAGGAUAUACUAGCUCAUUUUAUUUGGACUUAAUAUUGAUAUCUAAUUUUUUCAUCAUUGAUUUUAGGCAGGCAUCGACAUACACAUCUAGGACGUCUUCUACCCUCACUUUUACCACUCUUUGUCGUCCUAGAUGACCUGUUUAUCUUUAUCUGGUACCAUACCCUAAACCCAAAACCCUUGUUUUCAAUCCUCAUGCAUUCUUUCUUUAGUUUAUAUCAGCAGAUAUGUGCAAAAACGUCGGAGAGAAGAGGAGCGACACAGUUUUCAGUCACUCACAAAGGAGACUGAAUGGAAUUGGGAAGGAAGAGUAUCAGAAAAAUCAUGAAGCUUUACAAGACAGAUAUUGACUGGUAAUUUCGUGCUCUCUAAGACUCUAUAUCUAAAGGUGUUCCCUUUCUCCCACAAAAAAAAAAAAAAAAAAAAAAAACGUGAAAAAAGAAAGGGAAACAAAAAGCCUAAUGAGUCUUAGAUUGUCAAAAAUUUGUGGAGCAAUAAGCAACCACUAAUCGUUUAAUUUUGAAAGAUUUACAUAAAUCUAAGUCUGGGGGAGUUAGGAGAGAACCUGAGGAAGAAGACCAGGAAUCUAUGGCACGAAGAAAGUGACUGAAAACUGUGGAUACCAACAGCUUAACUCUCUCUUGCGGUUUUGCAUAAUAUCAUGCAUCCUCCAGAUUUUCAAGUAACCCGUAAACACUUUAAACCUUACCCCUAGAAUAACCUUUUUAACACCUAGCCUAGAUUGCCUUGCCUAGACUUUCUUUGAUGAGAACCACCGAGAUUUUUAAUGAAUGUUAAGAGCUAGUUGACUGGAAGUUAGAUCCUAGUGCAUAGAUUUUCGCAUGAUGGAUUAACGGACUAGUUAUGCCUGUAUUGCUAGUGAGUAUUUUCUAGGCUAUUCCCGAUUGAUGCAUACUGAUUGAUAUUGGUCUAGAAGUUUGGUCUCUGAGAUUUUGUUUAGUUCCUGCGUUUUCAAACCUCUCACCGAGAUUUAGCCUUUGUUUUGUUUGAGGACAAACAAAAGACUAAGUCUGGGGGAGUUGAUAACACCGGAUUUUGACCAUUUUUAUGGAUCACUUUCAUAUCUUUUACCGGUGUUUUUACUCCAUUUUCAAAGAUUUUCAAAGGAUUUCUAUGUUUCCGGAUUUGAAAAGACUUUUCAGGUAAUUUGGGAUAAAGAGGCACAAAAUGAAACAAAAACUCUUUUGAAUAAAUGCAGACCGUCAGAACUCUCAUGGAGAGACGACGACCUUCUCACCGUCUGAUCACCUUCAAAACUGGACAACUUAUAGAAGAAUCAACCAGCUUUCAAAUGCACUUGGUUUGGAGACAUUCUAACGGUUGGAUCUCAAGAUAUUCCAUUAGCCCCGGAGCCACUCGAACUCGGCCAGAAAGUCACGCGACCGCGGUGAUCAACCUAUUUCCCGCGGUCAGAAGCUUCCCGACCGCGGCCAACCAGCCAAUCCCCGCGGUCACAACACUCCCGACCACGGCAAUCAAUCUCCGAAUUAAAGCCCAUGUAUCUGAAGCCCAAAGUCAUUCUCAGCCUCAAUUCCGGAACCCUAGAGACCAUGGAGUAUUGGAGACUAUAAAUACAUGUCAUUUAGGUCGUUUUUAGGGAGAGUCAUUCAUACUUUACAGAAACCCUUUUCCUUUAGCCGUUUUUAUGAGAUUUUUGUAGAAGAUUGUUCAAGUCCGAGUUCUUCAAUAGAGAAGCUUUCUUUAUCUCUUUUUUUUACUGUUUUUCAUUACUUUUAUUAAAACCAAUGAUGAUGUCGACCUCCGCCAUGUCUGAGUAGAUCCCGAGUUGGGCUUAGGGUUCCCGAAAGGGGCUCUCAUAAUCGAUUAAGACAUCUAGGUUUAUAGAUCUGGGAUUUCGACAUGUUCUCUGUUUAUUCUUGUUCUUAUUGCAUGUAUGCUUGAUUGAUCACCUAGUAUCUGAUCUAGAUAGUUAGUGUUGCGAAAGUUUUCAUUAAGUAUCAGCCCUAGAAUGAAACAGGCAAUUUUUUCGUAGGAGUGGAAACCUACCUGCGGCGAGAUCGUGAGUAUUGACGAGUCUUGUGCAGCUCUUGCGUUCUCUCCCUUCCAGGGCUAGAGUGGAAACCUACUGGUCUGGGUUGCGAGAAACAGUUGGUUAUGAUCACGACAAUGACGUAGUCAUACCGCCGUACUCUAGCUCUAGAACCCAUAUAUCGAUAUCCGUCAAUCCCAAUCUAUUUACCCUAGUGUUAAAACCGAUUAUGAUCCCUUAGAGUCCCCAAAAGCUCAGCGUUUUUAGCCAUAGUUUACAAUUCCAUCGAUUUUUAUUUGCUUAUUUAGGCCUGCAUUUCAAUUUCCUUAGUUUGUUAUUUACUUACUUUACUAGUAUUUCAUUCGAUAGUUUACUUGCCUUAUUAGUCUUUCAUUCGAUAUUUUACUUGUUCUAUUUGCCUUUCAUUCGAUUUCUUUACUUGCUUUUUAGGAUAGAUUUAUUUGCUUUCUUUUGUUUUAGUUUAAUACAUCAAACCAACCAACCUUUAAAAACCAAUCUAGUGUAGACAUAAAGUUAAAAACCGUAGAAGAAUACUAGGCACACAAAUCUAUGUGGAUUCGAUCCCUAAAUACUACAACUGAUUAGCUGUGCACUUGCGGCUUUCAUUUGUUUUGUUAAGGGUAAAACUUGAGAGAAAAGGUAUAUCAUCGAAAAAAAAUUCAUGCAAGAAAAUUUUGACCAUUAUUUGUGGUGUCUAUACCAUAAAAACCAAUAAUCAUCUAUGAUCGGAUCAGAAUUUACCGGCGUAAUCUCAGCAAACCCAUGCAAAAAAACGUCAAUAGUAACAAAACCAACUCAAAUAUAACCAUGAAACAAGUCUACCAUACAUAUGGAAUCUGUUUAACAUACAACACCCCAAAACAAGUCUACCACACCUUUGGUUUUUUUGUAGAUUGCUGAAUACCUUUAGGACAAAUAAGUAAUUUCAAUUGAAUAAGUCAAAUGUCUACCGAAAACAAUGUAACUAAGUCUACCACAAGCAAUGUAAAUAACUCUACCAUAAGAAAAACUCUACCUUCAAGCAUCAAAUAUGUCUACCAGAUUGAGGUUAUCUGAGUAAACACCAAAGUUAUUUAAUCUACCACAUGAAGCUCAAUAGAAGUCUACCAUACGUGCAAUAACUUUACCAAUUGAUUGAAAAUCUACUACAAUAACAAAAAAAAUCUACCACCAUUUUAUAAGUCUACCUCAUGUAACAAUAAAUUUACUACUCAACGGAAUGAAAUCACCAAAUUUUUACUUGAUUUAAAUCUUCCACAUUACUUAUAAAUCUACCACAAGAGCGAUAAAUCUACUCACAUGAUAUAACUCUACCAAUUUCAUAACUAAUCUACCUCAAUAGGGAUAAAUCUACCACCACGUUAUCUUAAAUUUUGGUGAAUAAAUCUGCCACCAAAAGAAAUAAGUCUACCAAUUCGAGUAUUAAAUCUACCCCCAUUGUCAACAAAUCUACCAACAAAAUCAACUAUGCGAGAGAGUCAACGAAUUCCUUAACAAGUCUACCAACACUUUAACAAGUGUGGCAUACAUGACAACAAAUCUACCGAAACUUAACAAAUCUAUCGUGUCAUUGUCAAAACUCUACCAAAAAAAGUAUAUCAACAUUUUACAAAUCUACCAAUUCUCGAAUAAAUCUACCAUCGUCCUAACAAAUAUGCCAUCUAAAAAAUUGUGUUGACCAACAUCUGAUAAGUCUACCAUCAAAGACCGGUAGGCUUAUCAUUUUUCAAGCGCAUCUUUUUGCCUACAUGGCACAAAAAAGUAAUGGCAUUUUUUUAAUUAGGUUUUUUUCAUCAAAGGCGAAAAUGAUGUUUUCGGUAUGCUAUGUUAUUUUUGUAAUAAAAAUAAAAGUAUGUCAAGCAAACAAUAAACAUACAUUUAAAGGUUUGUAUAGUAAUCCUUCCUUGUUUUAAUUCUUUUGAAAAACAGUUUAUAACAUCAAAAUAUGUUGUACAUUUUUAAAACCCUUAUGUCCGCGCAAAGCGCGGACCAACACCUAGUUAUAAUUUAAAAUCCAGCUAAGUUAUCUACAUACUAUAAUUCAUAAUUCACUAUUAAAAAAAUCAAAAUUCAUCCAUAUUAACCAUAAAUCUUACAAUUUUUAAACACACGAUAACAAAUUGGUAUUUUAUAAUUCUAUAAAUUAAGAAUCUUGUAUAGAUUUUAUUCAUAAUUCAUUUUUUAUAUACUUUUUUUUUGUCAUCAGCCUAAGUACCUAAAACGGUUCGGCUAUCCAAACCGGUGGUACCGAGUUUACAUAAAUGACGUCUUGAGGGUAGACACGAGCACUUCUUGCUAGGUUGUCCGCCUUCGAGUUUUUUGCGCGUGGGAUAUGUGAUAUAAGGAAGAAACUGAACUUGUCCUUCAUUUUCCUAAUCUCCUCCAAAUGUAGAUCAAAAGCUGGCCAUUCUUUGGGUGUAGACACCAUCUUCACCAACUCCAAACAGUCUGUUGCAAAAGCUACUUCCAUCUUCUGGUUUUCGAGCAUACAGUGCAUAGCCCAUAUGAGGGCUUCUAUUUCUGCAUGCAGAGGUGUAAGACUUUGUCUUACAUUUUGUGCUCCCAUUAUUCUUUCCGUAGCAUCUUCUUUAAAGAAGUACCAUCCUAAUCCCGUUAAAAGAUAUGUAUCUUUCCAAGAGCCAUCAGUAUAACACCACCAGCCUUCGUAGGCCAUAGGUGUUUACAAGUUCAGAGAAGUGCAAAGAUCGGUAGGAAUUGAAUCCUGUUCAGACCUUUGAGCCUCUUCCCACAAUGUUGCUUCUUUUUCCGCUAUUUUCAAUGUAAUCUGUGGAUCUAUAUCAUUAUUCGAAUACACUUUCUCAUUCCGUGCCUUCCAAAUAUACCAUGCGAUCCAUGGGAAUUUUGUGUUAUUCAACUCUUUUGGAAGUCGCCAAAAGAGAUGAUCAAAAUUCGAAUAAACCGAUGGUCCUGGGAAAAUCCCAAGAGGUGUUGGUAUCCGGGAUAAUGCCGAAGUUUGCAAAGCAGGAGGACAUUCAAAGAGCACAUGGUUAAUUGUUUUUUCAUCUGCUCCACACCGUGUACAUUGUGUGUCACAUUGUAUUCCACGGGUGCUUAAUCUAGCCGACACUGGAUGGCACCAAGAUAUUGCUUGCCAGAUAAAAUGUCUUAACUUCGACACACUUUUCAAUUUCCAAGCAUAUGCUUGUAAAGCCUUUAUGUCUGGGCCAAAGAUCUCCUCUGUUAUUUCUUUAGAUAAAUAACGCUCAGUUUUGUACCCUGAUUUUACAGUAUAUCGUCCGGAUUCUGUGAAAUGCCAUCCCAUUGGGUCUGGCCUAUAGGUUCUACUAAUGGGAAGUCCACGAAUAAUUUCCACAUCCGCUGGGUCAAUAAUUGCUGUUAUCAAACCCAUGUUUCACGAGUUUGUCACUGGGUCAAUCAGGUGAUUAACCAUAAGAUUCGGAUAAUAAUUGAAACCCUUACAAGUGGCUGAUCUCGGGCGAGUAGAAGGUAUCCACGGAUCAUUCCAGACAGAAAUGGAGCAUCCUGAACCUACCCUUUUAAUUAGCCCUUUAUUAACCAGAGAUCUAGCCGAUAUUAUACUUCGCCAUCCAUAAGACGGUGAGUAGGAUCUCACUGGGUCCAAAGGACUUGGAUUCCGAAAGUAUCGUCCUUUAAAGACCUGCGCAAAUAAGGAAUUUGGUCUAUCAAUCUGCGAAAGUAUCUUCAUUUUUUAUAUACUUUGUAUUUACUAAUCUUUUCUUUUAAUUUUUUCUAUUUUUUGAAUUUACAUUUAAAAAGGUAUAAUUAUUUUUCUAUUCUUAUUUGAAAUAAAUAAUUAAAAUAAGAAAUUUUAUCUCAUUUCAUUGACACAUGAGUCAAUCAUAAAUAACUGUGAUAUAUGACACAAUAUAGUGAGUUAUAAAAAUAUAAUGUCUUAUACAUAUAGAAUUUUAUUUUUGGUUUACUUUUGUUAUUUCUAUUUUGUAGUUUCUAUUUUCAUCUACUUUAGUUUUUUCUAAUUUAGUAAUUUACAUUUAAAAAUGUAGAAUUCCUUUUGUUUAGAAAAAAAAUAUAAUUUAACAUAUAAGAUUUUAUAUUAUUUUAUUGACAUAUGUUACGAUCAUAGUUAAGCGUGAUACAUGACACAAUAUGGUGAAUUAUAAAAAUCCUAUGUGCCAGUGUCACGUUGAGAGCACUGAACUUUCUUUUUUUUUUUUCACUGAAUAUUACGUAUAUUAAUAAUCGAUGAGCUUACAAGCAGACAAUACAAAACAUGAUCAAAAGCAAUCAAACACUCAUAUAGAACAUGAGUAUUACAACAAGGUAAUACUACUUUCAGAAACAAAAAUCUCUUCUAACCACUGAGGAUAGCCCGAGGCUAUAUAUGAUUGUCGACGAUCAUCUUUAGUCACACUUCUAGCAAUGAGGAAAGCACCUUGAUUUGUAACUCUUUCCUCAAGCGUAAGCUUCCAAUCCAAAAAAAUUUCCAAACCAUUCAAGAUCUCAGACGAAUAGAAUUUGAAAGAAGGCCAGGCUGGUGGCCGAUGAACCGCUCCUAUUAAAUCUGAAUCUUCCGAAGCAAAGACCAUUUUGGUGAUACCUAAGCUAUUCAAACUUUCAAUUGCCCAGAUCCAACUUUUGAAACUAGCAUCAAUGUGGCUGGAUACAGAACAGAAAGAUCUUCUACUGUGUAAAAGGACUGAUCCAAAAGAGUUCCUAAGAACCCAUGCAGCACCACCACAUCCUUUCUUUUUAUCCCAGGAAGAACCGAUAUUACAUUUCAACCAAGGUCUAGAGGGAGGAAGCCAAACCUUCGGGGGUUGAAUCACCUCCAUCUUUUUUUUAAUAGCUUCCUUUUCAUCCAACUCUUGAGCGUGAAACCAUUGGUUCACAUCUUCUUUAAUCUUGCCCAUAGUAUCAGAAACUCGGAAGCUCAUUCCUUCAAAAAUGAAGAUGUUGAGAUUCUUCCAGAGUAUCCAUAAGAUCCACGGGAUUGAUCUUCUGAUUUCCAAAGGCACUGAUAACUUUUUACCCACCAUCAAUAAAUGGAACAUGUUCUGAUAGAUGGAGUUUGAUUCAUAUCCAUUUUCAGGACUGGGUACAUUCGAAGAGGCCCAAACCUGUCUAGCAAUUGUACAUUUGAAUAGCACAUGAUUUAUGGAUUCACCUUCAAGCCCACAGAUUUGACAUCUCGAAUCAAUCUUCAUACCUCUCGAUGCAAUUUUGUCUGCAACAGGAAUGGCACCACUAAUUGCUUUCCAAAGAAAGUUUUUGAUUUUAGUGGUUGUAUUGAGCGCCCAGAUUUGGAGUUUGAUUGCAUUCAAAGACGGUUGCAUCAGAGCUUCCUUGAGGGCUUCAGAUGGAUUACUUUGAGAAGCAAACCAAUACCCUGAUUUAACAGAAUAUUCGCCACUUUUGGUAUGUUCCCAGCAGAAAAAAAUCCAAUGAAGAAACCACCGGGUUAGUUCUUAAGAUUAGACCAACGUCUCUUUGGAAGAAAUGCUCAUCGAGUUUAUCCCUAUCCCAGCUUUUGGAUAUCGGAUCAAUGAGGUCAAUAACUCUCAAAUCCAAAUUAAAGAUGAUGUUCUUUAUGAAGGGAGCUCUCAUAACCCCAUCACAAAGCCAUCGAUUAGUCCAUACACUAAGCGAAGCUCCAUUGCCAACCAUCUGUCUAAGACCUUUUUCUAAAAGAGAUCUUCCAUGAAGAAUGCUUCUCCAAGCAAAAGAGGGUCUAACUCCAGUAUCUGCGAGAAGGAAGGAGGAAGAAACAAAGUAUCGGCUCUUUAAGAACAAAGCAAGGAGACAAUCCUUAUCUUGUAGAAUUCUCCAAGCUUGUUUGGCUAAAAGAGCUUGGUUGAAGAUUUGAAUGUCUUUAAAACCGAUCCCUCCUUGAGCUUUAGGAAUGCACAAUUUAUCCCAUCCAAUCCAAUGCAUUUUCCUUUUGUUCUCGACAGUGUCCCACCAGAAAUCAGCCAUCGCAGAAGAUAACUUAUUACAGAUAGUUACUGGCAAUUUAAAACAGGUCAUGGAGAAAACUGGCAUCGCCAUCGCAACAGAGUUGAGUAACACUUCUUUUCCACCUUGAUAUAGAAGCUUUGAAUACCAUCCAGACAUUCUUCCUUUCAUUUUGUCGUGGAUGUAAGACAACAUAUCCACUUUAGAUCCACUAAAACAUUCUGGAAGACCCAAAUAAGUGCCCGCUCCACCUUCAUUGAUAAUACCCAAUUUGGUUUGAAUGAUUUCCUUCAUAUCCAUAUUCACGUUAGCACCAAAAGUGAUGGAGGAUUUAUCAAGGUUGAUGAUCUGACCAGUAACUCUUCCAUAAAGAGAAGAAUGGAUUGGAGGGUUGUGCACUGUUCUUCAUCCGCUUUAAUCAUAAAAAGACUGUCAUCUGCGAAUAACAAAUGGUGAAUGGCUGGACCAUCGGGAGAGAAUUGAAUCCCAUUAAUCAAGCCAGAUCGUUCAGCACAGUUGAGCAGAUAUGUCAAUCCUUCAGUACACAAAACAAAAAGGAAAGGUGAUAAGGGAUCACCUUGCCUUAUUCCUCUCUCAGGAAUGAUCAAACCAAAAGGCUGUCCAUUAAUCAGAACUGUAUAAGAAACCGAGGAGACACAGAACAUAAUCAUCUGGACCCAUUUUUGAUGAAAACCGAGAGCCAAAAGGAGCGCUUGAAGAUAGGACCACUCAACACGGUCGUAAGCUUUUGACAUGUCGGUCUUCACCGCCAUGAACUCCGUCGAAAUCCUAUCAUGAGUUCUCAAACCAUGGAUAGCUUCAUGAGCUAUUAUAAUGUUAUCUGAGAUAAGUCUUUCUUCAACAAAGGCAGAUUGAUUAGGAGAGACAAUCUCAGACAGAAAGGGUUUCAUUCAGGACACCAUGAUUUUGGAAAUCACUUUGUAGAGAACAGAACAGAGACUAAUUGGCCGUAGGUCACUCAUGUGAGGAGAGUUGACCUUUUUUUGGGAUAAGACAAAGAUUAGUGAAGUUCCAUUCUUUAGGGAAAACACCCGAUUCAAAGAACUUGAGAACUUCCAUCGUGACAAGAUCACCAACAAUAUCCCAAUAGUUCUGAAAGAAAAGACCAGUCAUACCGUCUGGGCCAGGAGCACUAGAGGCUUUGAUCGAGAAAACAGCUCUUUUCACUUCUUCUUUAGAAACCAUACUGAUAAGACUGUCGUUCAUUCUAGAGUUGACUCUCGGCAUGAAAUCGGAGAAGAAUUCUAUCUGAUUUGAAGGAGCAGAUGAUGAGAAAAGAGUCUGGAAAUAGCUAGUCGCCACUUCACCCUUUGAAGCUUCAGAUCGAUGCAUGAUUCCAUUUAUAUCCAUAAGCUUAUCAAUACAAUUCCUUGACCUAUCAGACUUGACAGAAGCAUGGAAAAACUUGGAGUUUUUGUCACCAAGAUUCAGCCAUUUAUCUCUACUUUUCUGUUGCCAAAAACUUUCUUCUUCCUUGUAAGCCUCCACCAGACUUUUUUGAGAUUGAAGAGACGACAUGAAGAAGGAGAUGACGAGGAUUGUUCAAACUCCAGAUCAUCUUCAAUAGUUUUUAUUUUGAUCUGAGAAUUAGCAUCGUUGACUUUCUUCCAUUGACUGAGAGCUUUCCUGCAACUUCUUAAUCUCGAAGAGACACUAAGAUUAUGAGAGGAUGAGGGACCAAACCAAGCCGACUUUAUGGCUUCUUUGACAAAAGGUUUGUGGAGUAAUCUUUUUUCAAAUCUAAACGAACCCCGAUAAGACUCUUGAGAAGAGAAGAGAUGAACCAGGACCGGACGAUGAUCGGAUCCUCUUUUAGCCAAAAAAGCUUGAUUAGAAGCAGGGAAGAAAGAAGACCAGACUUUGUUGCCGAAACAUCUGUCAAGCUUACACUGAAUCCACAAGGUGCGUCUUCUGCCACCCCAGGUAAAGCUAUUCCCUGUACUUGGAAGUUCUCUCAUAUCACAAUCUUUCAACAUGUUGGAAAAAGUAAGGAAAGAAGAAUCACUCCUUCUUGGACCACCAUUUUUUUCCUCAUUGUUGAGAAUUUCAUUAAAGUCUCCAAGCAUACACCAUCCAGUUUUUCUUUGAAUCCCAAUACGAGUCAGCCUUUCCCACACUAGGUGUCUCAAACUCGCAUUUGGGUUUCCAUACACACACGUAACAAAGAAACUGCUUGAACCAAACUGUACAUACAUGUCCAGCACAUUCUUAUCUACAUACUUGAGAUCGAUAUCAACACCUUUUUUCCAGAAAAGAGCCAAACCCACCGGAUCAACCGUAUAUACAUGCUCAUAACCCAACCAAACUUGAAUAUCUACAAUGAUAUUUUUACAGUUUAUCGUUUCCAUAAGGAACAAGAUCUCAGGGAAGUGUUUUUUACGCAUCUCCAUGAGUCUGGGAAUCGUCAGAUCUUGAGGCCGCCCCAAUCCCUGGCAAUUCCAGCUUGAUAUGCUCAUAAAUCAGUGGACAGUUCCUCAUUUGGGACCAUCUCAUGUGUUUUUGACCUUGCGGCUUUGGAAACACUCUCCAGUUCACUAUCAGCUUUCCUUUUCUCCACUGAACCCUCUAAAGAACCCUUCUUUUUCUCCACAUCUUCGGCAAAAGAAUUCUCCAAUUUUCCUUUUAACUUCCUUCGAGAUUUUGGAGGCCUCUUUCUUGGUUUUGGUUUUUUCAUAGCAGUCCCGGAAGGACCAGCAACAGAGUGCCCGAUCCUAUAACCCGUUGAACUGUUGUGAAAAGGGACCGACUCAUCACCAAAAUCUGGGGAAGUAGAAUCGGUUUGAAGAGGAUUGGAGCCAUAAUUUCUCCUAGAGCUAGCAUCCGCUUGAAUUGCAGCAGACAUAAGCUUUUGACCUCGAGGCAUGAUCACUUCAGUUUUUGUAGUCGAGUCCUCAGAAUCAUAGCCAAAGACUGGACCUUUCCCUUUGUUGAGAUCACGAGUGAUAAUUGGAACAGGUUCUAGACGAAGCACCAUUUUCUGCGUGAUUAAAUUCUUUUCUGCCUCACAAACAGAAUUCUUCACACGAUCUUCUCUAACCUUACGAUCAUCACCAUUAGCAAUUAACAAAUAUUGUCUCAUGCCUUCUAGAACCUCAGCUGCAAUUCUUGGACGACCUGUUAAGGGAUUCAAGCCAACCUGGUUCUCACCAAGAACGCCAAAAAGAGGGUCAGAUUCCAACAGGACAGGCUUGGGGAUCUGUUUUUGGGGAGCAUGUCCAAGUCUUCUUUCAGCCGCCAAAGCUUGACGUUUCAUGAUCAAAAUAGGGCACACCUCACGCGCGUGAGUUAACCUUUGACAAGAAUAGCAUCUCUUCUGAAUUCUUUCAUAGAACUAGUGAACUGUGGUUGAGCCUCCCUUAGGCAGAUUGAUCACUUUCGACUGUCUAAGAGGUUUAGACACAUCAAAUUUAACUUUCACUCUCACAAACUCUUUGUUCUGCGCUUUAGUAGGAUCAAAUGCAAUUUCAGUAACAAGACCAACAAGAUCUCCUAAAGCAGUAAUCGCCUCCUCAGUGUAAUGAUUAAUAGGAAUGUUUCUGAUUUGCACCCAGAUCGGAACAAACUGCAGAGAUUCACUUGAAGGCUGCUCUUCCCAACGCUCUGUAGCAAGAGCCCAUUCAUUGAAAGUAUGGACACCUUUGUCCAAGAUUUCAUUUAGGUCAUGUUCAUACUUGAAGAAAAACUGGAAACGCUCUCUUGAUAGAGCCACACCUCUGACUCUAUCAUACUUUUGCCAUUUUCUAGGCAAAUCCAAAAUCAGGUUAGCCAUCUUUUGACAUUCUGGAUUAAGAAGACGACCUAUCAGGCUGAACUCAUUUUUAUCACUUGAACAGUAAGCUGGGGUAUCAGGAAGAUCGAAUGGAACUUCUUCUUCCUCUAGAGACAUGGCCAUCAGCGCCUUAUCCAUAGCAGAAGACAUGGUAACCGAAAAUAACUCUGAACCACAACCACAGGUAGAAAAUCUGAACGGCCCAAAGAAGAUAGACCACCCAAAGCAAGGAAACCACGAGAUGAAAACUUAAGCAGGAGAUGAGACGAAAUUUUUCUAGACCCAGCAAAUGAAGAACACGGAUGAACCCUAUAUUUCUUUAUAGAUCUGAAAAAAAGUGUUUGAAAAGGUGAAAAGCGGGAUGAAUAGUCAAAAGGGAAAGAAGUUUUUCCACACAAAAGCUCUAUUCUCGAAGAGAUGAGAUACUCUUACACAGAAAGAGAGUCCUAAGCCCAAAAAAGGGAAACAGAUAUUUUUUCUACUAUCUUCAUCUUCUAUCUGCACCACUUGAGAGCACUGAACUUUCUAUAAUAAGAUUCUAUUUUAAAAAAACUAUUAAAUGUGUAGAAGAAAACACCACCAAAUGAGAAGUUUUGACGAUGGGACUUGGGAGGUAAGAAAAGCAUAUAAGAGUCUCCAAGUGUCUGGUUAUACUUUUUUUUGCGAUCCAGUUUAUUCUUUUGUCCAACCUCAAGGGUAGAUGUUAAUUUGAUUUAAUUUUGUAUUGGGUCAGUUCAAUUAAUUUGUAUUUAAUAAAAUUCUAACUGAAUUUAAAUGAAGUUAAUUCGUGGUUUUUCUUCAGUUUGAUCUAUUUUUGGUUAAAAAUAAUAAAAAAGUCAAUAUGAAAAUAAGUCAUAACAAAAUAAAAGAGAAAAAAGAAAAAUUUUUUGGCACUUAUUUUAAAUUAUUGCGAUUUAAUAGAUACGACACAUUUAGUUAAGACAUAUAUGUCUAGGACACAAAAGAAAUAUUGAAAUGUUGUAGUGACUUCAUAACACUACUACAAAUAGAUAAAAUACUGGGAUGGUGUAUUGACUUGGCAAUACUGUUACAAAUCUCAGAUAUAUUCUAAAAGAUAUAGUGGAAUGGUGUGGUGACUUCAUAACACUACUACAGAUAAAUAAAAUACUGGGAUGGUGUACUGACUUGAAAACACUGUUACAAAUCUUAGAUAAAUUCUAAAAGAUAUAGUGGGAUGAUAUAUCAAUUUGUGACACUACUGUGUACAUCCUACCCAAGAUCCAGAAAUUCAUUGGGUUGACUCGGUUUAUUCCAGGUUGAUCUAGUUUGCCUCCUUUUCCUAUUUCAGCGUUUUAAACCUAAUUUUUUAAGUUAAGUUUAGUACUAACUUUGUCUCUCUUUCUUUUUUAAGGUUUUACUUAAAAGUUUGAUGCUAUCAUAACUUAAACACAGAGAGAUUAUAUACACACUUUAUUCUCAUAGUUUCACUUCUUUUUAUCAUUCCCCUUUAAUACAGUAAAGGCACUUAAAUCAAUAUAAAUUAAAGACACUAUUGUACUAUGUAAUCACUCAUUUUAUUUCACUCAUAAAAAGAAUUACAAAAUUAAUACAUCUUAGGAACUGAUGAUGAUCGACCUAUCAAAACCCAAUUGUAAAGAAAAUAUCUAUCUAGCAACUAAUGAGCAGACUAUUAAAUUCAUCAACUAAAUAAGAAAAGUAAAAUAACUAUUAAUCUUCUCUCUUCUAACAGCUUUCUCUGAUUAUGCAGUCUACGUCAGCAGUGAUCACUCCCUGGUAGCAGUUAAUUGGUCUUCAUCUUCCAGCUCAUGAUCUUCUUCUUAGGCACAUAGCUCUUGAGGUAUUAUAAAUACCCACAUCGAAAACAAGAAGCUUUUCUUCAAUCUUAAGUGUGAAAAUUGCUUGAUCAUAGGUGCAGCUCUCUCCCAUGUCCUCUCAUUAUCUAGAAGACCUGUCCAACUAAUUGAUGUUUCCAAAUGAUUAGCAAGAUCAGAGUGAGUAACUAAAACUGAUACCGGUUCAAUAAUGAGUUCAUCAUCAACUGAGAAGGACUGUGGAAGUGCAGAAACAUGAUGAUCUGUUCCUAAGACUUUUUCACUAUCAAGUAGACCGCCGAUGCAAAAGUUAAAUACCAUGAUAUAACCUUUAAAAAUUUUAGUACCACAAUAAUCACUUUUUGUUGAAACCUUACAAUGCAAAAUCAUAAAGUGACAAAUAGGUACUUGAACCUUUUUUUUUUCAUCCAAUACCAAACUUGUUUUUUCAUCAUGAUUCACCUUCUCUAACAUGUACAAAUAAGAAUACAACACCUUAAAACUUUAUUUUUUAGUACAACGCACUUCAUUAACAUCUUUUUUUCCUCUCAAUGUGGUAGAUUAAGAAUGCUGAUCUAGUAACUAAAUAAGAAUGCCCUGUCAACUAAAUCUUGCCAUGCCUGCUUAGUUCGAAAUUUUUGACAUAAUUCUCAUGCAUCACGUGGAAGUUCAACAUAUCCAGGCAUACACAAGAUAACCAGACUGUUAUCUACACCAUUAUCCACACUAUUAUCCACAUUGUCACGUGAUAUAUUUGUAACACAUCUAUCAACAACAUUCUUGAUCAAUUCAUGAUGUUGUUCUGUUGUUUUGUCAUCUUCUUAAAGAGUAACAAAACCAUCAUUAACUCUAGAAUUAUUUCUUCCACCUGAAAACAGAUCGCCAAAAUUCACACCAAAUAAAAUUUCUCAUUCUACUCUUAGAAGUUGCUUGCCCAACUUAAUGUUUUCCAAAUCUUUGGUGACCUCUACAUGCAAAACACUUCUACAUAGUUCCUUAUUCAUGGAGAUAAACAUAAACGUCCUCAUUAUUGAAAAUAUAUUAUUGUCUGUGAGGUUUCACUACCAAUGGAAUUAAAGUCACUUUCAGCUUUGUCUAAGAUAUAUAUAUGAUGUCGUAAAUGAUAUACUAUACAUGUGAUCUUCUAUUGAAAUCCAUCAAUUCUAUGAUCUUUGAAUAAUAUCCUUCAUAAUCAAAUAUAUGUUUGUGAAACUAUAGCUUAUUGUCUUAGGAAGAAUAGAAACUACUUUAGCACGUGUUAUCUUGAAUCAAUAAUAUUAUUUGUACCAAUUAUAACACUUCUCUAAGUAAUAUCAACUGUUACAGUUGUUUUUCUGCAAAUUAGGUGACUUCGGGCCACUGAUAUGUUCAUAAUUUGCAUCAUUUAGGUUGCACAAAUCAUUCCAAAUCAUGUUUUAUUUCAUGUAUUUUAGGUCCCUAGGGUUUGUUUUAGAACUUAGGAGAUGCAUUAGGUCCCAAUGAGUCUUUGCAUGUUUUGAGUGUCUAUCAGGUGAUUAUGGAGCUGAAAAGAUGAAUCCAGGAGGUGGAAUGGUGAGCAGAGCUUGAAAAAGUGGAAAACUUGAGUCUAUGGAGGUUAUCGGCCAUUCUCGCUGGCCAGGAAGGUUUUACCGGCCAUUUUCAUGUACUGCGGGAAGCUUUACCGGCCAUUUUCACGUACCGCGAAUUAAGUAUAUCGGCCAAAAUCUCCGGGUGCGAACGAGUCUCAGAAAUCACCUGUCCGGGGAGCCUUCCGGUCCGAUUCAGAUGGCGGGUCCUUCAUAGAAGUUGGAGAGCAUUGAAGCACGGUCUCAUAGCAAUUGGAAUCGUAGAAUUCGGACGCGUGAGCAGAGAGAUAAGCUCGUCGGAAGAAACCCCUGUCUCGCAGGUAUUCCGGACCGAGCAGAUCAGUUCUGAAGGAUGCGAAGGACGGUGCACUUCCAGGCCGAUUCAGCUUCCGGGUCCUUCAUGAGAAUCAGAGACAUUUGAGUUUUCUUUCCAGAACGUCCAAGAGCAUUCAAUUCGGAUCUAUGAGAAGGAAGAUACGGCCUCCGGAAUGGACACAUGUCUAGACGCCUCUCUCUGGUCGUAUACAUGCACUGCAAAGAUGUGCCCUCCAGGAAGCCUUCCACCUCCCAAGCACUGAAACUUCCUUCACAAAAGUUGGAGAUAAAUGAGUCCUCUGUCUUCUGCAACCGAAAUCAUUCAAUUCGGACAAGUAUCACAGGAGUUACACUCUCCGGAAUGCGAAGUGAUCUAAGCUGCUCUGGAUGCUGCGAGAUGGUCUUGCGACUUGGUUAACCCGCAGGCCUGAAGAUGAACACCUGAAUGCUGAUGCUGCGAGUUGAAAUGUGCGGGUAAACUAUCACUGGAAGAGGUCUGGAGCUCCCGAGCAAGAGAAAUGCUAAGUCCACAAUCGUGCGACUUAGGCAUGCGAGUCAUCCGCGCCUGGAUCUAUGCCGCACGAUCACUCGGAAUUCACUCCGACUCGAGCCUGCGACCUAAGUGCAAUAGAGACCAACCCGCACAGUUUCUACAUCCCCCAGAAACCGGCUCAGCCCUGCGAGUUGGAGAGGAAGGAGACCAUGCCGCAGAAACACUCGCAAUUUACUCCUAGAUAGGCGUGCGGCUCCGACAAGGUGAUUCAAGCCUCACAAGACAAGUCUUCAUCUACUGCGACUUAGGUGUGCGGCCUGGGACAUACUGAACCGACCCGCAGCUUUUCCCACUUUAUCCAUUAAAGCCGGGUCAGGACCCGGUUUGUUCCGGGCUGACCCGGUUCGUUUUUAAGAAGGUAUAAAUACUUUUUAGGGUUUUUUGGGGGAGAACUAAGUUUUAUUCCCUUUGUCUCUUGCCUUUUUGGUGAAAAGACUCCAUUAAGAAGAGAAAUAUCUUUAUUUGAGUGUUUAAUCAAGAGAGUUUAAGGAGAUCUGGGUGUUUAAAGCUGUUUUCUUUUGAAUCUAUCAUCUCCAUCUCCAUUUCUCAUCAUUAAUCAUGCUAAUCUACUCAACUUGCAAAAGUUUAAGAGAGAUUAGUAUGAUUAGUGAGUAGUCACCUUAAUGAGGUUCUAGAUGUGUAGGUUAGGGUGCUAAAGUGUUAGAUUAGGAGUGCUUAGGGCUAGAUUCAUUGAUUCAUCUCUCUAAACAGCUGUUCUCUAUGCUAAAUCCUUGAUAAUCACUUGAGAUCUAGAUUCUGGGAAUUUCAUGCACCAAAAGUGUUUGAUGAAAUUCCUGAAAGAGUUGUGUUAGAGGUUUAAGUAAUUUUUCAUCAUGGGAAUGAUUUGUUAAAUGCUUGAAUGAUCAUUAAGAGCUGUUUGUUAAUGCAUAUUGAUUCAUGUUUCACAAAUGGGAAUUUGGUUUGAAAAUGGAUUAGUAUAGGGGUUAAUACCUUCAUGAGAGGAUUAACCUAGAUUAGAGUUCUUAAUCAUUUGAAUCAUGUCUCAUCAUUGUCAUUAGCAUUUCUAGUUUAACACCAAGGCACCCUAACCAACUAUCAUGUCUAGAAUCUCAUGCCUCCAUCAUAUCAUAUUCACAUCAUUUGUCAUUGUCAUUUGUCUUUAAACCUGUUUAUGUUUAUAGUUGUCUCUAGAUUAAUCAAAACCUAUUCUUGUUUGCUUGAAUUAAGAACUUGAUCAUAUAGCUUAGUGUCUAACACCACAUCUGGAUUGAUAAACCUCUUUGUACUACAUUGACAAGGGGAUUGAUAGCCCUGAGACCCUUAAAAGUCAUAUCUAUCAAUUGGCGCCGUUGCCAAAUUGUGGUUUGAUUAGCAUUAAGCUCUGAUCUGUUCUUGAGAUCAAGUGCUUACUUUCUUGUUUUUACUGAUUCCUUUCAAGUUCUGUUUGUGAUUUCAGGUGUAUGAACACCAGGUCCAGAUCAAGAAGCUGCGGUCCUCCUUUUCCUCUAAACGACAACAUCAACCUUCUGGUACCAAGGAGGAGAAGAGACAGACGUGGUAGACAACUUGAUCAGACUGAGAUGGCCGACCAAGGAGAUCACGGGGUAGAUAUAGAACAACCAGUUCAGGAGCAACAGGCUCAAGGUCAGGGAGCUGGUAUUGGAAUUGGUCAGGGGUUUCACCAAGGCAAUGUUCAGCAGGAACAGGUGCACCACCAACAAGCCUAUGUCCACCAGGGACAAGCUCAGGCUCAUCAACAGAGGCAUCAGGCCAAUGUUCAACAAAGACACCAGGUGCACCACCAACCCCACCCUUUCCAACCACAACAAAGAAGAUAUGAGCAACCCCAAAUAUAUGUUGGCGAGAAUGACAGGGCCAAUGCUCAUCAGUAUGGGGCUGGUAUUCAGGCACCACCUGUGCAGAACAACAACUUUGAAGUGAAAGCAUCAUUGCUGAAUAUGGUCCAGAACUCAAAGUUCCAUGGGUUAGCAAUGGAAGAUCCCUUGGAACACUUGGACCAGUUUGAUAAGGUGUGUGAUCUGACCAAGAUUAAUGGAGUUUCAGAAGACAGCUUUAAGCUAAGACUAUUCCCAUUCAGUCUUGGUGACAAAGCUCAUCAAUGGGAGAAGAAUCUUCCAAGAGGCUCCAUUCAAACCUGGGAGCAAUGCAAGCAAGCCUUCUUAUCUAAGUUCUUCUCCACCUCAAGAACUGCAAAACUGAGAAACCAAAUCUCUAGCUUCACUCAGCACAGCAAUGAAAGUUUUGGUGAAGCAUAUGAGAGAUUCAGGAGCUACACAAACCAAUGCCCACACCAUGGGUUUAGUGAGGCUUCUCUUCUCAGCACACUGUAUAGGGGAGCUCUUCCCAAGAUUAGAAACCAGCUGGAUACUGCUUCCAAUGGGAACUUUCUGGGUAAAGAGAUUCAUGCUGCUUUAGAGCUAGUGGAGAACUUAGCAUUGAGCAAUGAUACUUAUGGUGAAGACUAUGACAGAUCAAAUAGGUAUGAAGGUUCAAGCUCAGAACAGAGGCUCACCAGAGAAGUUAAGGAGUUGAGGAGUGAAUUGGACAAGCUGAAAUUCACCACUCAGAAGCCAAUGCAUUUUGUUGGAGAGUAUGAGGAACCUUCUCAAAUUUUUGAGAACAUAAGUGAAGAAGGUCUUACCCAAGAGGAGCUCAACUACAUUGGGAAUCAGAGGUUCCAAAGAUAUCAGUAUGGUAAUGCCAAUCCAAACCUCUCUUACAGGAACACCAAUGUAGCUAACCCACAAGACCAGGUCUAUCCCAAUUCUCAAGCUCCAAAGAACUUUGUUCCCAAGCACAACUUUCAAGGGUCAUUCCAACCCAAGAAUCAAUUUGGUCAGAAUCAGAGUUUUGGUCAGCAACAGCAACCAUUUCAGGGCACUGGUUACACUUCACAGCAGCCAAAGGCACCACCAGGGUUUGGUCCACCACAGUUCCAACAGCAGGCGCCGGUUCAACAACAGUUUCAGCCACCAAUGGUUCAACAGCAGCCACAGAUGGGUACAGAUAUGGUUGGUAUUCUGCAACAACUACUUCAGGGUCAACAGACUAUGCAGCAGGAAAUCAAGGAACUGAAGCAAAACCAGGCAUCAAGCUCAAGGAACCAAGGUCACCUACCUGGAAAACCAGAACCCAACCCCAAGGAAUAUGCCAAGGCCAUAACACUGAGGAGUGGCAAGGAGUUACCUGGUAUUGAGAACAACAAUGUGAUCAUUGAGGACAAUGAUCAACCUGAGGGGGAGGCAGCCUUAAAGGAUGAUCAAGUUGCUGAGAAACCAAGGUCAGAAAAGGGUAAAGAGGUAGCAAAGGAACCAGAACCAGAGAAGAAGUAUGUGCCACCACCUCCAUACCAACCCAAGCUCCCAUUUCCAGGGAGAUUUAAGAAGCAACUAGUGGACAAGGCAAGAGCUGUAUUUGAGAAGGCACUCAAAGAGACACCACUCACAAUGCCUCUCAUUGAUGCAUUCUUAAUGAUGCCAAAGAUGGGGAAGUUUUUGAAGGAUGCUAUUCUGAACAAGACAAAAGAGCUUCAAGGCAUGGUAGUACUAAGUCAUGAAUGCAGUGCUAUCAUUCAAAGGAAGUCCAUUCCAAGGAAGUUAACUGAUCCAGGGAGCUUCACACUCCCCUGUGCCAUUGGACCUCUUCUAUUCUCUGGAUGUCUUUGUGAUUUAGGAGCAUCAGUCAGCUUGAUGCCAUUCUCCAUAGCACAGAAGCUGGGCUUUAGAGUUUUCAAACCUUCAAAGAUUUCUCUUAUCCUUGCAGAUAGAUCAGUUAGAUUGCCUGUUGGUAUGUUGGAAGAUCUACCUGUCAAGAUAGGUGGUUUUGAGGUUCCAACAGAUUUUGUUGUGCUGGAGAUGGAUGAAGAGCCAGUAGAUCCUCUUAUCUUGGGCAGACCAUUCUUAGCCACUGCAGGAGCUAUUAUUGAUGUGAGAGGUGGGAUAAUAGAGCUUCAACUUGGGUCUGAAAAGCUCAAGUUUGAUGUGAAUGAGAUGAUGAAGAAGCCCACCAUUGAAGGUCAAUGUUUCUAUGUAGAGACAAUGGAUCAGUUGGCUGAUGAGUUGCUUGAGGAGCUGAACACAGAGGAUCCUCUUCAAGCUACUCUGACUCAAGAACAAGGAGACAAUGGGCUCUUGGCUGAAGCAAGUGAAGGGUAUAAGCUGUAUCUGGACAAUGCAAGAGAGCUGGGUCCUGAAACAAGGUUUGUGGAGCUGGAACAGAAUGGCACUGAGGUUUUUGCAAUCCAAGAAUCAGUCACCAGCCAAAGCAGCUUGGACCAGGACUGGAAUGAGGCUGAUGCACCCUCUGUUGAGCUCAAACCUCUACCAACAGGGCUCAGGUAUGCUUUCUUAGGACUAAACUCCACAUAUCCUGUCAUCAUCAAUGAUAGCCUAUUAGAGGACCAAGAGAGUGCAUUGCUGAAUGAAAUAAGAAAGUUCAGGAGAGCCAUAGGGUAUUCUUUGGCUGAUAUUAGAGGGAUCUCUCCUGACAUCUGCACCCAUAGGAUCCACCUAGAGGACCAAUCUAUGUCCUCUAUUGAGCACCAACGUAGACUUAACCCCAACCUUAGGGAAGUGGUUAAGAAGGAGAUACUAAAGCUUCUUGAGGCAGGGAUAAUUUACCCAAUCUCUGACUCAAGAUGGGUAUCUCCUGUUCAUGUUGUGCCCAAGAAAGGUGGGAUCACGGUGGUGAAAAACGAUAAGGAUGAACUCAUAGCUCAAAGAACCAUAACUGGCCACCGCAUGUGCAUUGACUAUAGGAAAUUGAAUUCUGCUUCUAGAAAAGAUCAUUUUCCUUUACCAUUCAUUGAUCAAAUGCUUGAGAGGUUAGCUAAUCAUCCUUAUUUUUGUUUUCUCGAUGGGUACUCUGGAUUUUUCCAAAUUCCCAUAGAUCCAAGAGAUCAAGAGAAAACAACAUUCACAUGCCCUUAUGGCACUUAUGCUUAUAGGAGAAUGCCUUUCGGUUUAUGUAAUGCACCGGCUACUUUUCAAAGGUGUAUGAUGCACAUUUUCUCUGACAUUAUUGAAGAGAAAGUUGAGGUGUUCAUGGAUGACUUUAGUGUCUAUGGCUCCUCCUUCUCGGAUUGUCUCUCUAAUUUGACACAGGUGUUGGAGAGAUGUGAGCAACACAGCUUGGUGCUGAACUGGGAGAAGUGUCAUUUCAUGGUGCAAGAAGGGAUAGUUCUUGGGCACAAGAUCUCUGAAAAGGGCAUUGAGGUUGAUAAGGCAAAGGUGGAGGUUAUGGUGAAUCUGCAAACCCCCACUUCAGUUAAAGGGAUAAGGAGCUUCCUGGGUCAUGCAGGGUUUUAUAGAAGAUUCAUAAAGGACUUCUCAAGGAUUGCCAGGCCCUUAACAAGACUGUUGUGCAAGGAGGUGGAUUUCAUCUUUGAUGUUGAAUGUGAAGAAGCCUUUAAGUUGAUCAAGGAGGCAUUGGUUAGUGCACCAAUAGUUCAGGCACCAGACUGGUCCCUACCUUUUGAGGUCAUGACAGAUGCUUCUGACUUUGCUGUUGGAGCAGUACUUGGACAAAAGAAAGACAAGAAGUUGCAUGUGAUCUACUAUGCCAGUAGAACACUUGACUCUGCCCAAGAGAAGUAUGCUACAACUGAAAAGGAAAUGCUGGCAAUAGUUUUUGCCUUUGAUAAGUUCAGAAGCUACCUGGUGGGAUCAAAGGUCAUUGUGUAUACUGAUCAUGCAGCCCUCAGGUACUUGAUGACCAAGAAAGAUGCCAAACCAAGGCUGUUGAGAUGGGUUCUAUUGCUCCAAGAGUUUGAUAUGGAGGUGCUUGAUAAAAAGGGGAUUGAGAAUGGUGCUGCAGACCAUCUCUCAAGGCUGAGGAUUGAAGAAAAAGUCCCCAUAGAUGAUGCUUUGCCUGAAGAGUCUCUGAUGGUGCUCCAUUCAUACUUGGAGUUUGAGGAAGUAGAGAGCAUUCAAGAAAGGAGGAUGCCUUGGUUUGCAGAUAUAGUGAACUAUCUUGCAUGUGGGGUGGAGCCCCCUGAAUUGGAUGCUUACAAGAGAAAAAAAUUCUUCAGAGAUGUCCAGAGAUACUAUUGGGAUGAGCCCUACCUCUAUGUUCUGAACAAGGAUCAGUUAUACAGAAGAUGUCUUGCUGAAGAGGAGAUGCAACCUGUGUUGCAGGAAUGUCAUGGUUCUGCUUUUGGAGGUCACAUGGGGGCAUUCAAAACUGUAGCAAAGGUUCUUCAAAGUGGGUUCUGGUGGCCUACAAUGUUCAAAGAUGCCCAAUUGGUGGUUUCAGCUUGUGAUGCCUGUCAGAGGCAUGGAAAUAUAUCUAAAAGAAGUGAGAUGCCUCAGAACCCCAUUCUAGAAGUGGAGAUCUUUGAUUGUUGGGGGAUUGACUUUAUGGGACCUUUUAUUUCAUCCUUUGGAAAUCAAUACAUACUUGUUGCUGUGGACUAUGUGUCCAAAUGGGUUGAGGCCAUUGCUUCCCCUACCAAUGACUCCAAGGUUGUAGUCAAGCUGUUUAAGAGCAUCAUAUUUCCAAGGUUUGGAGUUCCAAGGGUUGUCAUUUCUGAUGGAGGAUCCCACUUUUUGAACAAGACUCUGGAAGGUUUAUUGAGAAAGCAUGGAGUUAAACACAAGAUAGCUACUCCAUAUCAUCCCCAAACUAGUGGCCAAGUGGAGGUAUCUAAUAGACAAAUCAAGGCCAUUCUGGAAAGGACUGUCAGCUCAACCAGAAAAGAUUGGAGCAAAAGGCUGGAUGAUGCAUUAUGGGCUUACAGGACUGCCUUUAAAACUCCAAUUGGAACAUCACCAUUCAGUCUGCUAUAUGGGAAGAGCUGCCACCUUCCUGUGGAGUUGGAGUACAAAGCUAUGUGGGCUGUGAAGUUUCUAAACUUUGAUAUCAAAACAGCUCAGGAGAAAAGAAUCAUGCAACUCCAUGAGCUUGAGGAGAUUAGGCUUGAGGCUUUUGAAAGCUCAAAGAUCUAUAAGGAGAAGACCAAAGUCCUGCAUGACCAAAAGAUUUUAAAGAGAGAGUUCAAGUGUGGUGAUUUGGUCUUGCUUUUCAACUCCAGACUUAAGUUGUUUCCAGGAAAGCUUAAGUCUAGGUGGUCUGGACCUUUCAAAGUUCUUGAAGUGAGGCCUUAUGGUGCCAUUGUCUUGGAAGGAAAAAAUGGUCAGGAAUUUGUGGUGAAUGGACAGAGAGUCAAGCAUUACUUAGUUUCACAAGGGAAAGAGGAAGCUACAUCAGUUCCUCUCUGAUCACCAGCUGUUAACCAGUUCUCAAAGUCAAACUUAGAGACUUUAAACAAAGUGCUCUUGGGGAGACACCCCAAGCUUAUCUUUNNNNNNNNNNNNNNNNNNNNNNNNNNNNNNNNNNNNNNNNNNNNNNNNNNNNNNNNNNNNNNNNNNNNNNNNNNNNNNNNNNNNNNNNNNNNNNNNNNNNCGAGUUUGCAACUAUCUCUCACUUUUCUCUCCAUGUUUUCACCAUAUCUCUCUCAUUCUCCACCAAAAUUGUUGAUUCAAAGUGCUCUGAGCUCGUUUUGAGUUGCUAACAUCAUCCUGAUUGCAUUUCGAACUUGUUGCAUCUUAAUCCCAAGGUAUUUCGCCCUGUUGAAACUCAUCUCUUUCCAUGUUCUUCAAUGGUGAUUUUUUUUUUUUUUUUGAACUUUAAAGUGUGGAAUCGAUUUUGAUAGGUUGUUUUAGACCUUGGGAUUAUUUUUAUAAAUGCUAGGGUGCUAGAUAGUCUUGGAAAACAGAGCACUUUGUUUGUAAUUACCUGUUCUUGAAUUUUGAAAAUUGUUGCAACAAUUUUUUUCAAAAUUUUGAGACUUUUGUGAGGUUCAUCCUUGUACUAACAAUAUUUUUGAGAAUCUCUUGGCAGAUGACUGAAAGAACCAACUCUUUGGCCAAGAAGAAGGGCCCUGCAUCAAAAGGCAAAGGUUUGGUCUCAGGAACUUCAAAGCCAAGAAACAAAGGUCAGGGUGCAAAGAAUACUACAAAGCAAGGAAAGUGUGAUCCAGCGCCAAAAAGGACAAGGCCUGAAGGAAGAGCUUUGGUGGUUGCUUCUGGUUCCAAGAAAAAGGGGAAACAGUUGGCUGUGGUAUCUGAGAGUGAACAGACUGAAAGUGACUCCGGCAGCUCAGCUGGUGGUUCCCAAGGCACCAAUGAAGAGGGAUCAAAGAAGUUCAAGAAAACUGAACCAGAAACACCUGAUUAUCUGGCUAAGUUUCAGCAGAUAGAGAUCCAGCAAGGGAGAUUCCCUGAUUUGGACUUUCUGAAGAAGAUUGGCCUCUAUGAAGAUGUCAAGACUUUGCUUGGGAACAUGGGUGUUGAGUCACUUUUGGAGAUGAGAGAAAUCGCUUAUGAGCAAGAGUCCCAAGAGUUCUUGGCCUCCUUUGAAGCUUUCAUUUACUACCCAAGGGAUUCAAGAAUCAUUCAAGGAGAUGGGCUUGGACAUGUGGAGUUUACUGUGAAAGGGAAGGAAUAUUCAGUGUCAUUCAGAGAAUUGAGUAAGAUCUUUGAGUUUUCAACACCUAGAAAUGAAUUUCUCUCCAACUCGGUCAAUCUCAGAAAAGAUGAGAUCCAACUUCUAUGGAGAUCAAUUGCUUCUGGGAAGUACACAGCUGGAACAGCUAAGGCCUCUUGGAUAAGGAAUCCAGUUCUGAGAUAUGUACACAAGGUUCUCUCUCACAGCUUCUACUUCAAGAUUGAUGUUGGAAGAGUUCACAAAGGAGAUCUGCUGCUUCUGGGUGUAGGGCUGAGGCCGCUGAUGCCAACACAUGAAGAUGGGGAACCCUAUGUAGGGUAUGAAUACCCACUUUGCCUUGCAUCUCAAUUAGCAAGGUCUUUGAUGUUCUACAAAAAGUGCAUGUGGGAUUCUACAAACAAAGAUGCAAAGCUGACCCAUGGAUGGGUGGUAACAAAGAUCUUGAAAGCCAUGGGGUAUAGAUUCAAGGAGAACAAGGCAAAGUUUGAUCUGAUUAAUGAAGCACAUUUGUGUAGGAUUGGCUUUCUCCAAGGAAGAGUGGGUACCAAGGCAGUCUACAACUUCAAGACACUCAUCAGUGAGCCAGCCCAAGUUCUCCUACCCAAUCCCUCCAUCACCACAGUCCAAGUUAAAAGGAACAUUCACUUCUUCUUGCUGAAGGAAGAGCUGUACAAUGUCCAAACUGAUCCACCAAUCCUCACAUACAGGCAAGCUUGCAGAGAAGAAGCCUCCAAGGGAAAGAAAGCAACCGCUGAAGAUGCUACCACAAGUGCAGCUGGUGCUCACGAUGCUGAUCUGCCUCCACCUCAAAAACGUUUUGGUGGAAACAGAUAUCACUUUGAUGAUUACAACUGGGAGGAACCAGGCACUUCAGGGUUCAGAGCUCAACAGAAGAUUGGUAUUCUCCAACAAUGGUGCAAGUACCAAGACAAAACCAUCCACAAGAUGGCCAAGUGCAUCAAGGAGAUGAAGAAGAGGAUCAAGAAGCUUGAAAACCCUUGCAAAGGUGGGGCUCCAGCACCAGUUUCACCAAGAAACAGAGAGGAAGUUGGGGAGAGUUCCAUGAACUGCACAGCCUUGGUCGCAUAUGGAACCACUUGGGUAGAUCUUGACGACGGGAGUGAUGAAGCCAGCCACCAUUCUUGGGAAACACCGUCAGGCCACACAUCGAACCCCUCCUACUCAUUGGGGUCUGAUUUCAACAGCCACUAGGUAACACUCAAAACCUUGUAAAUAGCAUGUAGACUUUUUUUUUUCCUUUUGCAUUUUGCUUGUUUGCUUUGGUUUCACUUCUUUCUCAUACUUUUAUAACACAAGGGACUGUGUUAUUUAAGUGUGGGGGAGGAGUUUCAUCCUUUACUAACCAUGUUUUCUAUUUUCUCAUUUUACACUUUGAGUCUUGAGUCACAUUCUAGUUGCAUAGUCAUCUAAGUGCAUAUAAAAACCAAAAAAAAAAAAAUGGAAAAAUCUGAAAAAUUUUCACAAAAAAAUGAUCAUGUAGUUGCAUUCUCAUUUUUAAGAUUGAGUCUAGAUUGCAUUUGCAUAUAGGUUGCAUCUUGCAAGGAGUAAUGAUAGGUUUUCUAGAGAGUACAUCACUUUGAGAACUUGAAUUGAAUAUGCUUGUGAAUCUUUUUCUAUGCUUGCAAAGUCUGAAAUGAUUUGAAUCUGAGAAGCAAGUUUGAAUUGAACUCAACUCUAAUUAAGUGGAAACCUUGAACUUGACCUGAAAAUAUCUUGUGAUGCAUUGUUUGAAAAAGCUUGUGGAUACCAAUAUACAUACUUGAGCUAGAACCACUGUUUUUACCACUCUUUUCCUUAGCUCAAGUAGCUGAAUCCACAUCAUGGAUCAGUUCCCACACCUUGAACCCAUCCUUCUUUUAAGCCAAUGUUUGUGUGUGAAUUGAAAGGCCACCUUGGAUCAAACUUAGCAGAAAGUGUUAGGUUUAGAGCGACAAGGGCAGGUCUCAUUGAGUGCUGUGUUCCAACAUCAAGGAACUGAGAGUUUUGGCGAGGAAUAAGUGUGGGGGAAAAGACUUUUUGGUGAGUGGAAAAAGGUGAGAUGAGUGGAAAGAGAGAGUGAAAAUAACUAGGGGAAUGAAAGAAAAAGAAGUCAGUCUUGGUGUUUUGAGAAAGUGAGCUCUGGUUUGUUGAAAAGAAAAAUCUAGCCUCUAAGUGAAAAAGAAAGAAAAGAAGCCAAAAGCUCAAAUGUUUUGAUAAGAAAGAAAGAAGAGGCUAGAAGUUGUAAAAGAAAAAGAGCUGUGUAAAGUUUGAGUUCCAAGACUUGAGAGUGAAAGUGAAGAACAAAUCCCCUAGUGAGAGAAAAAUGAGUGUGAAAAGUGAGGUCUUUGAGCAAGAGAGGAAGCUUUGAGUAGAGGGUGGGGAGUGAUGAGUCUUUGCCCUUGUAUGCAUAGGUUGCUUUUUACCUUUAGCAUUCUGCCAAAGUUUGAUCAUUCAUAGAGAGAUCCCUUUGCUGCAUUUAACCCACUUGAACACUGAUGAGAUCAUUUUAAUCUCAUAGCCUCUCCCUAGCCAAGCCAGCUUGUUUAAACCUUGCAUCAUGAGAUCCACCUGAUAAAAGCUUAAUGAAUGUGAAAGAGUUGAGAGAGAGAAGAACUUGUGGAGAUUCCUUGCUGAGUUGACAUAUAUCUGAGUAUGGCUUUGCAUUGCAUAAUUGAGCAUGAACUUGAAUUCUCAUUGUGAUCACUUCUCUCAAAAAGAAAAUGUGAACUCCCAUUGCAUACAACCUCUUUCUCUCAUUUGCUCUUUUUGCUUGAGGACAAGCAAAGGACAAGUGUGGGGGAGUUGAUAUGUUCAUAAUUUGCAUCAUUUAGGUUGCAUAAAUCAUUCCAAAUCAUGUUUUAUUUCAUGUAUUUUAGGUCCCUAGGGUUUGUUUUAGAACUUAGGAGAUGCAUUAGGUCCCAAUGAGUCUUUGCAUGUUUUGAGUGUCUAUCAGGUGAUUAUGGAGCUGAAAAGAUGAAUCCAGGAGGUGGAAUGGUGAGCAGAGCUUGAAAAAGUGGAAAACUUGAGUCUAUGGAGGUUAUCGGCCAUUCUCGCUGGCCAGGAAGGUUUUACCGGCCAUUUUCAUGUACUGCGGGAAGCUUUACCGGCCAUUUUCACGUACCGCGAAUUAAGUAUAUCGGCCAAAAUCUCCGGGUGCGAACGAGUCUCAGAAAUCACCUGUCCGGGGAGCCUUCCGGUCCGAUUCAGAUGGCGGGUCCUUCAUAGAAGUUGGAGAGCAUUGAAGCACGGUCUCAUAGCAAUUGGAAUCGUAGAAUUCGGACGCGUGAGCAGAGAGAUAAGCUCGUCGGAAGAAACCCCUGUCUCGCAGGUAUUCCGGACCGAGCAGAUCAGUUCUGAAGGAUGCGAAGGACGGUGCACUUCCAGGCCGAUUCAGCUUCCGGGUCCUUCAUGAGAAUCAGAGACAUUUGAGUUUUCUUUCCAGAACGUCCAAGAGCAUUCAAUUCGGAUCUAUGAGCAGGAAGAUACGGCCUCCGGAAUGGACACAUGUCUAGACGCCUCUCUCUGGUCGUAUACAUGCACUGCAAAGAUGUGCCCUCCAGGAAGCCUUCCACCUCCCAAGCACUGAAACUUCCUUCACAAAAGUUGGAGAUAAAUGAGUCCUCUGUCUUCUGCAACCGAAAUCAUUCAAUUCGGACAAGUAUCACAGGAGUUACACUCUCCGGAAUGCGAAGUGAUCUAAGCUGCUCUGGAUGCUGCGAGAUGGUCUUGCGACUUGGUUAACCCGCAGGCCUGAAGAUGAACACCUGAAUGCUGAUGCUGCGAGUUGAAAUGUGCGGGUAAACUAUCACUGGAAGAGGUCUGGAGCUCCCGAGCAAGAGAAAUGCUAAGUCCACAAUCGUGCGACUUAGGCAUGCGAGUCAUCCGCGCCUGGAUCUAUGCCGCACGAUCACUCGGAAUUCACUCCGACUUGAGCCUGCGACCUAAGUGCAAUAGAGACCAACCCGCACAGUUUCUACAUCCCCCAGAAACCGGCUCAGCCCUGCGAGUUGGAGAGGAAGGAGACCAUGCCGCAGAAACACUCGCAAUUUACUCCUAGAUAGGCGUGCGGCUCCGACAAGGUGAUUCAAGCCUCACAAGACAAGUCUUCAUCUACUGCGACUUAGGUGUGCGGCCUGGGACAUACUGAACCGACCCGCAGCUUUUCCCACUUUAUCCAUUAAAGCCGGGUCAGGACCCGGUUUGUUCCGGGCUGACCCGGUUCGUUUUUAAGAAGGUAUAAAUACUUUUUAGGGUUUUUUGGGGGAGAACUAAGUUUUAUUCCCUUUGUCUCUUGCCUUUUUGGUGAAAAGACUCCAUUAAGAAGAGAAAUAUCUUUAUUUGAGUGUUUAAUCAAGAGAGUUUAAGGAGAUCUGGGUGUUUAAAGCUGUUUUCUUUUGAAUCUAUCAUCUCCAUCUCCAUUUCUCAUCAUUAAUCAUGCUAAUCUACUCAACUUGCAAAAGUUUAAGAGAGAUUAGUAUGAUUAGUGAGUAGUCACCUUAAUGAGGUUCUAGAUGUGUAGGUUAGGGUGCUAAAGUGUUAGAUUAGGAGUGCUUAGGGCUAGAUUCAUUGAUUCAUCUCUCUAAACAGCUGUUCUCUAUGCUAAAUCCUUGAUAAUCACUUGAGAUCUAGAUUCUGGGAAUUUCAUGCACCAAAAGUGUUUGAUGAAAUUCCUGAAAGAGUUGUGUUAGAGGUUUAAGUAAUUUUUCAUCAUGGGAAUGAUUUGUUAAAUGCUUGAAUGAUCAUUAAGAGCUGUUUGUUAAUGCAUAUUGAUUCAUGUUUCACAAAUGGGAAUUUGGUUUGAAAAUGGAUUAGUAUAGGGGUUAAUACCUUCAUGAGAGGAUUAACCUAGAUUAGAGUUCUUAAUCAUUUGAAUCAUGUCUCAUCAUUGUCAUUAGCAUUUCUAGUUUAACACCAAGGCACCCUAACCAACUAUCAUGUCUAGAAUCUCAUGCCUCCAUCAUAUCAUAUUCACAUCAUUUGUCAUUGUCAUUUGUCUUUAAACCUGUUUAUGUUUAUAGUUGUCUCUAGAUUAAUCAAAACCUAUUCUUGUUUGCUUGAAUUAAGAACUUGAUCAUAUAGCUUAGUGUCUAACACCACAUCUGGAUUGAUAAACCUCUUUGUACUACAUUGACAAGGGGAUUGAUAGCCCUGAGACCCUUAAAAGUCUUAUCUAUCAUCCAUCUAACAUUUUACUUUCGUUUUAUGAAUAAGUUCUCUUUCCCUUAGCUGUUUUAGGAUUUGAUGUACUUAAUCGAUCAAGAAAACAUGGUCACCAUUCCAAUGUUCAUUAAUUACCAACAUCAAAAGAAUAAUAUUGCAAAUCUAAUUGAAAUCUUCAAAAUGUGAAUACAAAAUGGUUUCUACAUAAAAAUAUAAGGCCGGAAUAAUAUGAUAUACCUUUACAUAAUCAUUAAAUGGUUUUUUUAAAUUACGUGUUUUCUUUCGAGAUUAUUGCUCCCUUGCCAACAUCAAUGAUGACGUUUAUUCCACGUCAAAUAUGACAUGGCAAAGGCGCUAGCUCUGCACAAUUUCAUUGGAUGCUAAUGCUGAUGUGUAAUUUUUGUCCAAGUUUUUCUGAUUUAAAAAAACAAAAAAAAAGUGAAAAUCAUAAACGGAUAAACAUGCGGAUCUUUAUACCCGAUCUAGCCCAAUUAUCUGUAUUUUAAAAACAUCCUUUGGCCCAAUAAUUCAUACAUUCCCAUUUUUAAAAUUUUUGAAAUUAUGGUUUUUAAAAACUUUCCGCGUAAGAAAAUAGAAAUUUUUCCCAAAAUGGAAGAUUACAUUAACUAUUAGCAAGAUUUACCGGAGUUAAUGUAACAAUAUAUACAGAAAUUUUAAUAUUUCAAAAAGAAACACGAAUUUAUCUUACAUUUUAAUACUAUACGUCAAUUUUGGCAAUUAAAUCAAUUUGAAUAUAUUGAUUCUCAAAUAUUUCCGCAACAAUAUCUACUUCUACGCACAUUCCGAAUAUCCAUAUUCUUCAUUUCAUUCUUUUUUUUCAAAAUAAUUUAAAUCCCGCCUAACAUCAAUUUUAAAAAGUUCUCAUUGACUUCCUCUCCCUAUAUACCUAUCCUAAACCCUAAAACUCUACAAUUCUCAUUCACAAAAAUGGCUUUAGUCCGCAAACGUUCGGCUGCUCUAGUUCCAUUUGCCAAAUUAGGUCAAUCAAGUGAAAUUCAGAAAAUUAGAGCUAUUAUAUUUUUACUUUGGAAAGUCAAGAACAGGCAGUCUGGCUUUGUUAUAUAUAGAAAUGAUAUUGGUUGACAAAGAAGUUUGUAUGCGAUCUUAUGCAUUUUGUUUAUUGUUAUUUUAAUCAAUCUAUAGAUUAUAUAGUAAUACUAUUUGUGUGAUUCACAGGGCACUAGGAUUCACGCUACGUUGAUGAAGAAUUGAUCGCAAAAGAUAAAUGCAUCCUUAUAGAAGGAAAAUCACUUUCUAUUAAUUGCUUCAUCAUUAAAGAAUACUAUAGUGAUUUUAGGACUACUCCAUUACCAUACAAGAUUGCUUUGUGCAGAACAACCCGUGCUAAGGAGAUCAAUGAUUUUCCAUCAGACUUGCCAGAGAAAUAUUUUUCUGAUUUCAAGUCAAUCAAGGAAGACAAACUCGACAAAAACGUCCUAAUCGGUAUGUCAUCAUCGCGAUAUUGAAAAUUAUAUUCUAAUGUACAUAUUUAUCAUUGUAUACAAAUAUUUUGUCUUCAAGAUGUCAUUGGACAAAUUGUCACCAUUGGGAGUAUGGAAGUUAUAAAAACUAAAGUAAAAAGUGGGAUCAGCGAGAAAUUGAUGAUAACACUCCGGGACACCAAGUAAGUAGUUAUGAUAUCAUACCAAAAUAAACAUAACAAUAUUUUAACAAUGGAACGCUAAUAUGUUUAUUGCUGAAGUGAUGUCCAACUGAAAUGUACACUAUGGGGACAAUAUGCAAAAGCAACUGUUGAGUACACUGACAAGCAUAUGGCUGUUAUUGUUGUGUGUGUAAUGCGAUUUUUCUGUAUAAAAGAGUACAAAGGUUAGAUCACUAUAUCCCCUAUUCAUAUAUACACAGUUUUGUAGAGAUUGGUAUUGGAUUAGAUUGUUAAUUAUUCUUAUUUUAUGUUUUUCGAGUAUAGGUGACAAUUCAAUAUCAAACGCUUUCAACUCCACCAAAAUUUUGUUUGAUCCUGACGUCAAGAUCGUGAAAGACUUCAGAGAAAAGUAUGUUAUGUGACAAUUUUAAUAUCAUUUUAACAUUGUUUUAUUUAUAUAGUUAUUGUUUACAGUUUUGUAGGUUGCUAAAAAACAAUCAAAUGAUUGUGCAUGCUGAACAGAGUUAUUCGACUUCUUGGGGUGGUGCUAUUGACUACCGUGAAUAAUUUUUAGGUGUGAAAAAUAGGAGGCGGACGAUAGCUGGAAUUCGUGAUAAAAAAGUGGCAUGAGCUAUAUUUUAUUCAUGGUACAAAUAUAUUUAUAUUUCACUAUAUACAUAUUAAUGGUUUUGUUAUAACCUGGCAAGAUUUUAACAUGCGUAAUGGUCAAAGACGUUGACACUUCAAAGCUGUGGUAUUAUUGGGCAUGCAAACCUUGCAUCAUCAAAGUUUUAGAGCAUGACAUUAUGUCUGAUGAUGAAGAUUACGAUAAGAGGAUUCCUCUUUUCAGUUGCAAAAAUUGUGGAUAUAUCUAUUCAUAUGAUACCAUCGUCGCAAGGUAAUACAAUGAUUUGUCCCAUAAAGUCAAGAAAACAUUACUUAUUUCAUUAAGACUUUCUUUGGUAUGAUAUAUAGCAGAUAUAGCAGAAUUAUUUCAUGUAGACUUUCUCUGAUUGACUGGCUAAAUGUUCGCCUUAUUUUAUUACAUUGAUUUGUCCCAUCAUACAUUUAUUCCAACAUUACAUUACAUGUUUAUUCAUGUAACGUUUAAAUAACUCACUCUUCUGUUUCCUUUCAAACUAUGUAGGUACUAUAUUGUAUUAUUUGUAACUGAUGAUUCAGACGUCGAUGUCCGCUUCCUGAUGUUUGAUGACACUGCUCAAAGAUUGUUGGGUCAUUCAGCUGAGUCUAUAAUGGAACAAAAUGAUGAGGUUAUUCGUUAAAUAAUUGUAUACAUUAUGCAUUAUUUACAUUUUCUGAAAUAAUAUUAAUCCAUUAUAUAUAAUGAUGCGCAGGAUUUACCAAGAGGGCUCCCUGAUGGCUUGACAAAGCUCCUAACCAUGAGGAUGCUUUUCAAAAUAACAGUUUCAGAAGAGCAUACAAAAGGAAGCCAGUCUCCGUAUGUAGUAGAAUGGUCUCAAGAUGUCGAAAUUAUGACUGAGUGGGAUUCUCGAUCAGUGGUAAUAUAUAGGAUAAAUUUUACAAACUUCUCAAGCUCGCUUAUCUGAUCGUUUAGUUAAAUUAAGACGUCAACAAUGUUUUAUAUUUUCAGCAACCGUUGAUGCUUACGAGUUCUGACGAACUUGAGAAUCCAUCGUCUGGAUCUUUACUCAUUCCUUCAUCUAAGAAGCUAAUUAAGAGUCCUGACUAUUUUGAUGAAGGUGAAAGAUCUGUUAACAAAAAGCGACCGAAGCAAGAGAUCCCGAUGAAGUUAUGAAGAAGCAAAAAAUCGUAAUGAACUUAUUGCAGAAAUGCAUUGCUGGUGAUUGAUUAUUGAUUUUGAUCUUUAUAACAAAUUUGUCCAAUGGAUGGAUAACGUUUGAACUCUCUUCGUUAUUUUUUGCGGUAUUUGUGGAAUUUUUUUGGCAUUUUUUAUUUAAUUGUGAAACUUGAAUGUUGCCCUAGAAUUUUUUUUCAUAAUUCAUUUUUUGAAACUUUAAUUUGUGAUUUAAAUUUUUUUGGUUCAACCAACUGUCAUAAAUUUACACGAGAGUUUCAAUUAAGACGACAUUAAAACCAUAACCGUUUUACUCCAUCACAUAGAAAACUAUUCAUUUCGUUAUUCUCUUUCAUCUUCAAUCUUAGCAAAAUAUUAAAACAAAGAAUGUCUCCUAGUGAAAGAGUUUCCGAUCUUCAGAAGAAAAACGGCGGAUAUCGUAUUUGUGUACAUAUACUAAGAGAUUAUUAUGAUUAUACUCUCUUCGAUCGACCUAAUUGGAUGUUAGUUCUUGCGGAUGAAUUUGUAAGUUUUGGAGGUUUGAAAAGAUUUACCAUAUAUAUGUUUUAGGAAUGUAUUUGUUAAUUAUUUAUCUUUGUAAACCGUGUAGGGCAAUCGCAUCCUGUCUACUAUUCAAUAUGAUAUAAUAGACAAAUUUGAGUAUGAAUUGGUUGAAGGAGAUUGGGUGGUUCUUGGUAAUUUUGAAGUUGCUGACAGAGUGAUUUGUCCAAGUAUAUCAUCAAACAACUAUCAUAUACAUUUCCUCGAGGAUACCAUUGUUGAGAAAACUGAUCUGAAGUCUUCCAGAGGAAUAUACUCUUUUUGUGCAUUCAUGAAUAUUUUAUAUAGAUUUAUUCAUAUAGAUAGAUAUCUUGCUAUCUUUCUUACAACUUUUUAUUUUAAAUCGUUUAUCUAAGGAACUUCAACAUGUAUUUAAAGGCAGUCCUUUAUUUUUGCAGUUGUUCUUCUCGGUGUUGUCACAUUUGUUCAGAAACUUCAGUUAUGAUCAGACACACCCACGCAACGUCCACUUAUUCGUUUUAAAAUUCAAGAUUUCAGGUCUGUUAUCCUCAAAACAUCUGUUAUGUGUAUAUUGUUUACAAAUUUUAAAGUAUAUUAAUAAUGUUCUAAAUUAUUUAAAUAUACAGUGGAGAAUCUUUGAAAUGUAUUGCUUGGGAUAACUUGGCAAGGAAAUUUGAAGAACUUUGGAGGAAUCGUGAAAGGUCUUCUAGGCAUAUUAUUGUAUUGUGAUUUUUCUCUUUCACUAGACGGAGAAGUAACUAACUACUUCAUUAUUUGAUAUUUUUAAUUAAUUACAAGUUUUACAUAUAUAUUUUUCCGUAUAUUGAGUAUGUCUAUGUAUUUAGAUGAAUGGAUAGUUGAAUUGGAAAGAUUCAUAUCUGAUAUUCUCGAGGAUCCUCCUAUCCCAGAAGUGGAAAGAGCAGGGUUGAGGUAUGUUUAUUCCAUCUUUGAUAUUGUAUUCUAUAUUUUAAUAUUUAUAAAUAUAUAUAUAUAUAUAUAUAUAUAUGUAUAAUGAUAAAAAAAAUCCUAAUAUUAUUUCAGGCUUGCAACUUCAAUUGAUUUUUCUCCGGUCCACGAUGAAUAUGAAGACCAGUCUAAGUAAAAGAGAUUAUUGUUUCCUAUUUCUUAUUUUUAUAGUGUUAAACUUGAAAAUCUAUAUUAUUCUGAUUGAAAAAAACUUAUCCAAUGACAAUAUAUAUAUAUUUUUUAAAAAACAAUUUAAUUGUGUUAGCAUUUUUUCGUGAAGCGUAUUCUAUUUGAUUUCAACAAAAAAAUAAUUAUGAUAUUCAAAAUUAGGAUGCUCCGUGAUAUGUGUCUGUAUUAAAAAAAUAGAGUAGGUAAAUUCUGGUAUUGUACUCUCAUUAAUUAUUUGUAAUUAAUGAAAUGAAGUAAUUAACUUAAUUAAAGAGAAGUAGUCAGUACAAUAUAUGACAUUUUUCUACCAUCUUUACAUAUUUUUCUACAUAUAAUUAAUCAAUAUAAAAGUCAAAUAUACCUAUGAAUUGAAUGUAACAAAUUUGGUUUGUUCGUAAGUCACUUAGUGCAAUAAAUGUCAAAGGUUGCAAUUUAUUCUAAUUUUACAAAACAACACAACUUUUCAGACCCUAUACUUGCUUUGCUAUACAUAUAAAGGACCAAAGUAAAAAAAUGUCUGGCCAUCUUAACUAAAAAAAACCUAAAGUCCCAGAAAACAACCACUUUCCUCAAACAUGCCUCGCUAUUGUACCCUUGAGUAUCUUUCUCCCACAAAAUCUGACUCCAGAAUUCUUAUAAAAGUUCUACGAGUUUGGGAACACUUCAACUACUGUAAUCAACGCCAGGAAUUGCAUCUUAUCCUCGGUGACGAAAAUGUAAGUUCAUCUUUUUGAAGUUUUUUUAUUCUGUUGCAUGUUAUGAACAUUUAAACACAUGAAUUUAGGGUUACAAAAUAGAGGCAUGGAUAGAUCAGGAUCUUAACUUUUCACUUGGUCCAAAGUUUAAAGAAGGAGAAUGGAAUUAUGUCAAAUUCUUCAACGUUGUCAAUGCGUUCGGAUCUUUCAGAAAUACUAUAAACUACCACAUCAUCAACAGGAACGCCGAUACUAUUGUAAACAAGACCUUUCAAGUCAAUCCUAAGCAUAUGAUGGAUUUUAUGCCAUUUGAUGCCAUUAUCUGAGGGAAUUUCUCUACUGAGUACUCUAUCGGUUAGGCUUCUCACUUUUAUUCAAUUUAAGAAUUGUUAUAAAUAUUGUGUAAUGAAAAUUUUUCUUUGUAGACUUGAUCGGCGUAAUCAUCUAUGUUGAUGAUGAACUAAGUACUGAUAUUGAUGACCCAUACGAGAUGAUUUUUGGACCUUCUCACAAAUUGGACAUUCAAAUAAGAGACAUGAAGUAAGAUGUUUUAUAUUAUCAUCUAUAUAUGUAAAUGCCAAUAAUUUGUCUUAUGUUGUACAUAUGUAUUUUUGUUAAUGUUGUUGUAAUAUAAUUUGAUAUGGACAUCAAACUCAUUGGGAAGACUGCUCUGGAUUUCUAGAAGAAGUGAGAAAACAUAUGUACUUAUGAAACAGUCUUGAUUUUGCGCAUGUUUCGUCUGACCUAUGAUUCUGAAGGUUAGUAAUUAAAUAUUAUAAUCGAGUGGAAACAUUCAUUCCCACUUUGUUAAUAUGAUAAUUUGGCUUCUAACAUGUGUGCCCUUUAUAUUUUAAAAUCAUACAGGAAAAUAUCGCAUAAAGAAUGAUGGACACCAUUCUGAAAUACUUUUCAAUCCUCACAUAAAUGAGGUUUCUGAUUUUCUUGACUGGUAAUUUUUCUAAUUGGUAUUAAUAUAUAUAAUAUGUUUUAAGGUUUAUUUUAAUCUUUUUUACAAUAGUUAACUUGAAAUUAUUUAUGGUCAGGCUUCCUUUUAUUGAUAUCCAAGGAGAUCCGAGCUGGCCAUAAGUUUAAUCCCUCUUAUGUACCUAUAUUUUCUCGUAACUGUUAAACAUUCCCAUUAUGUAAUAUUUUCCCAUAAAACUGGGAUGGAGUUGAACAUAUUUUCGUAUAUUUGUAAUGAAAUAUUUAGUAUUUAUUUAUAGUAAUGUUUAAUUGCCAAUUAAUAUCAUUUUAUUUAUUGUUUAUAUAUAUUACAUGUAUAUAUGUAUAGUUUGGAUAUAGCAUAUACAAUCUAUAUAUAGAAUCCAUUUGAUUUUAGAAAGGUUACUUCCUUUAUAGACAUUUUCUUCCAUCGAAUAUUGUACAUUUCCAUAAUAAUAAGACAUUGUCAAAUUAUACUACUACAAUAUAGUAACGACCAUUUUUCAUAUUAUGCCAAUUUUAGUACCAUAACAAUUUAUGUAAGUAGACUUCGACAUUACAUUUAUUGCGAACCUUUAUAAAUUUCUUUAUUUAUAAUUAUGCCAAACGAUGCAACUAUAACGCUUUUUAGGCAAUUUCAUCUAAUGCUCACUAUUGAUCUUUUUUUUUUUGGUCGAUGCUCACUAUUGAUCUAUUAAAAACUUUACGUGUAAGAGUAAAUUGAAAUUAAUUCUGAUUGACGUUUUCAUUUCAGUGUUGAAAACUGACGUCAAGCUUUUCUCAUAACAUUUAGAGUUGAGUGUCAAAUAUUAUAUAAAUUAUCAAUGUUUUAAUGUUUGUGGAUUAUAAUUAAUGUAGCAGAUGAGCUUAUAAUCUUACGAAUCAAUUCACACAUAUGAGAAAGUGAUUUGGGAAAAUAAUUCAUUUUUAUUUGAAUCAAGAUAAUACAACUUAUUGUAGCAAAAAAGAGAGAUAAUUAAGGUACAAAAAAACAAAAACAAAAAAACAGAGAUAAUUUUAGCUAAACUCCAAAGUUUCUCCUUCCACGUUUAUUCUUAUGUGCCUAUAAGAUUCAAAAACAUAUAAUGUUGUUAACUUCAAACAUAUUAGUUAAACAAAUCAAUGUAUUAAUGGAAUAUUAACAGCUUACCCACUCCGAUGUAUCUAGGUAGCGAAUCUCUCUCUUAACGAAGCCGCAUUCUAUACAUUUCAAACCUAUCUCCAGAUCUAGAUGGAGAUCGUGUUUUCCUUUCUUGCAACGUUCAUUUGGAUCAUCAGUCGAUAUUUCUUCAUCAAGCUGCAGAUAUUACAUAGUGAUAUAAACAUACAAUAAUACAGAAAUCAUCAAUAAAACCGAAUAAUUUAAAGUUUAAAUUAUCUCAGAAAGAACCUCGAUGGCAUUCGCAGUUGAUUUGCUCAGAAAAUCAUUCAUCUCUUCCCACUUAUUAGUUUCCUCCAUCUCUGAUUCAGAAAUUGGAGGAGGUGAUGGUGGUUCUUCCACACCAAAUCUCAUGUUCGAUGGUGGUGGAUUAAUUCUCAGUAAUCCGUUUUCAUCAUAACGUUUUUCUUGGUGAUUCUCCAUUUUUGUCUAAUCUCUUAUCAGGCGUUUAGGGUUGCAGAGAAAAUUUAAGAAGUAUGUUUAUAAUCGAAGCAACUCUUAUUUUAUAUAGGAUAAGGUAGUUAAAAAAUAUUCAAUGUCACCAAAUUUCUAUGUUUUCUUAGGAAUACUGUUUCAACCAACCAGUUUAGCUUUUUAACUUUCGUUUUUGAUAUAUAGACAUAAUAUUUACACAAGUCUUCUGCGUCCAACUCACACAACUUAGCUGAAACAAAAAUAUUGAAAAGUUUGGAUUUUCCUCUUUACAGUUUGAUUUAAACCGCAAUAUAUGGUAACAUAAUAUUGUCUCUGAUAAUUUCGAACUAAUAUUCUUAUGAAGCAAUUAUGUAUAAAUUGAAUUAUCUAACCAUAUAUUCGAGAUUUUUAUAAAUAUUGUAUGAAGGAUAUUUAUAUAUUGUUGUUACUUUAUAAAACCAGAUGCAUAUUUCAAUCUUUAAUGUAUUUGUAUAUUCGUGUAUAUCCUAUUUAAUCCAUCUAUAUAUUCACAUCAUACUUUUGUGAACUGCAACUUCAUUUGUUACACUGAAUAAAAAAUCUCAAUAUUCUCCAUUUCUACUGCUAUGAACAGGAUAGGUAAACCUUAUGCGUCCAACUUUAAUCUAUUAAGAAUCCUUUUGAAUAACUAUAGACAUUUACCCUUUAUAUUUUAUUAUCAGACAUUAUUUGUUUCCUUUUAACUGUUUUAACAAAUUCUUUAUGAUUGUUUUCAGAAAUUAUUUAAUUUCAUCUACCAAGAACAAAUUCUUCCAAGCGAAACAAGGUCGACAAAGUAAUGAAAAAUACAAAAUUUAUUGCUUGGAUGGAGUGUAACAAGAUAUACGCAACUGCCAGAUUCCUACUCUACACUGAAUUAUCUCAUCAAUUUGUAUGGAAUGUCACAUUGCAUGAGUGGAGGUCACGGGUGAAGGGUUCAGGAAAUCCAACUAUUCUUCAACAGUAUUCAAUUUAUGAUGAGUAGAAUUUUUAUUUGGGUGUCUGUUGAAUAUCAUUAGAGGUCCUCGCAGUUAUGAAGAUAUCCGAACAUUUAAUGGUGUUGUAUACGACACCUUCAGAAAAGUUUGCUAUGCAAGGGGCUUAUUCCCGAUCAAUUAGAUUUAUAUAUCUUUCUUAAUUUUAGUUUUAAAACUGCAUGUUGAAUCUUUAUUUCAAUAAGUUACUUUCAUUUUGUUGUUUUUAAUCAUCUUCAUUUUUUACAGUACUUUUUAUGUUGAAUAUAUGAUAUACUAAGGUAAAUCAUCUACUAAAUACUACAUUUGCAACCGUGACAUAUUACAUGAUUAAUACAAGAGUCAACCAAUUAACAUUUUAUAAAAUAUAGCAUAACUUAUAAUUUAUAAUUUAUUGAAUAAACUAUUAUCAUUGUAAGUUUAAAGUAUUGUUGAUGCGGAUUAAUCGUAACUUAAUUGUUAAUAUGAUAAAUUAUACCUCAAAUUUUGGAAAUCUCUGAUAAAAUUAAACAACUUUUUAAAUUUCAAUUUAAACUGAACUACAUAAUAUAGACAAAUGCGAUUUUUUGUUAUUUUAGAUAAUUGCAAAAGAGAAAUAAUAAAUCUAACAAUCCUAGAAAUUAGGAAAAUCGUUGUAGUUCAAAUUAAAAAUUCCCAAUUAAAAGUUUUAUAUUUUUUACACAAUAUUGGAUCUCAUUCGAGGUAAAUAACAAUUUUUUACAUAAUUAGAGUUUUUUUCUUAAAAUUCCAUUCAAUAAUAAAAAAUCUACUAUAGCAAAAACUUAUUGAAAACGGUAUACAUUUCUGUUUACCUACUGAACAAAAUUACUUAUAUCUCACUCUACAAAAAGUACAUUGUCAAUACUCUAUCCACAAUUUGAUAUAAAGUAUUAACAGUAUACUUCAUGUUGAAAGUGAGCAUUCACAAGUAAUAUAAUUACAAUAACUCUGUGGCGACACAAUGAAUAAAAUUACUUCUUCUGAUGUGAUUCAUCACAGAUACACAAGAAAUAUUAUGUAGGAAAACAUGUAUUUUUAUUUCAUGUAAACAUAAUUUUUGUACGUCUGUGAGUGGAUCACAUCAGAAGAAUAAUUAUAGUAUGGGUUGUGUUUGAGUGAGUUAUUGUUUGCUUGGUUAAUUGAUCAAAAUUCUAUUCUGAUGUGUAUUUAUAGAAUUCUUAGAGCACGUCCAGUGGGGGUUCGUCCAUGGGUUCAUAACUCAUUUUAGAAUUAAAAAAAAUGUUUAAUGAGCUAUUUAUGAAGACUCGGUUCAUCCCAAAGAGUCUAAUGAACCUCAUUUGCUGACGUGGCAAUUUUUUAGUGGUUGAACCUUCAUUUUUCUUUUUCCACCUCUUCUCUUUCUUAAAAAAAAUCAUUUUUUCUUUUAUUUUGCAACUUCUCUCCUCUCUCUUGUUCAGAAUUUUAUUAAUUUAAUAUUUAGGAUGAACUUUAUGAAAAGUUCACCAAUGGACAUGGUCUUAAAGAGUGACUCCUCAUUUUUCUUCCCUGUGUUUCAUAUUCCCCAAAAGUCAUUGAUAAUUAAAACAUAUUAAACAACAUUUGACUGAUAUAUCACAAAUUCCGAAAGAAGAUAAAUUUCGAAAUAAAUGAAUACAUCUUCGCAUAUAAUCUAUAAAAUAUGUUCAUAAAUGUCACAUUUCGAUGCCUAACUUAAAAACAUAAAAUUAAUGUAUAUAUUCAUAAUUACAAGUAUUUUUUUAUCUACACUUUCUUCAUUAUACAUAACUAAUUAUAAUUACGUAGAAUUUAUAACUGCAAAUAUGAGCCAAUUUUAAGACACAAUCCAAUUCUUAUACUAAUAACAUACCAUUCGACCCAAAAUUAGUAACAUUGUAUCCACACACACUGUAAAUUAUCAAUAUUAUAAAAUUCGACCCAAUAAAUUUAACAAUAUACCUAAUAAAAUUAAAAUUUCAAAAAACGUUCAAGCCCGCACAUGUGUGCGGGCCAGUAUCCUAGUGCCUAGAAAAUACAAACAAGUGUGGGUAUAGAAACGUGAUACAUAGUGAUUAUGUUCCUUUCAUAUGGUGAUGUACUUAUAUUUCCUUUUAGUAUGCUCUAUAUUGCUAAGUGAAAACAGGGAGAUUGUGGAAUUUAGUUGCAUAUUUAUUUCCUUUUUAAGUGUCCAAUUGCCUUUUGAUUUCGUUUAUUUAUUGCGGGUAAAAACAACCAAAACCAUUCAGUUUUAGCUAGAUCUACUCUCGGAAAUAUUACAUGUAACAUUUGGUCCUUGUUGUUCGACCUAUCGUUCUACUACCAUGACAAAAUAAUUGUACACUUGCGGUUUAGUAAAUUGGUAUUUAAAAUUGACCGCACUUUUUCCAGGGACUAGCUGUUUCACCAUUGGGUUAAAGACUACAGUUGAACAUAUGACAAGUUUUUCUUGUUUCCCCUUUGACACAAAAUAUAUAUAUAUAUAUAUAUAUAUUUUGUUAUAUUUUUGUUACUUUGCUUAAUCGCUCCAAGUUUUCCCUAAUUGGCCUUUCAGCUGCAUGACUAUAAAUCCUUAUACCAUGAGGGUCUGACCUUUCACCGUUUGAAAGAUAAUAGAAAGGAGAGCGAUUAGCACGUUUGGAGAGAGAGACAAUAGAUAAUCAGAAACCAAAAUUGGAGAGUUCAAGUUUGAACAGUUUCUAAGUAACUUGGGUGCCAGUGUGAGUUUGAUGUCCCUGGAUGUGUCAAAAGGUCUUGGGAUAAUAGAUUUCAAGUCAUCAAAGAUCACUCUGGUUUUUGUUAAUCGCUCGGUUGGUUACCCAAUGGGUCUACUUGGGGAUCUACUAGUCAGGGUUGGAAACCGCUAUACUCCUAGAGCAUUCAUUUUGUCAUAGUUACAUAAAGAGCUACAUGAACAGAUGAAGGUGUAGCUGUAGUUGAAGCAGUUGCUGUACCAGAUGAAGUGAAGGAUGGAAUUCCACAAACAUGAAGUACGUGACAAGCGAAGCAUUUGGAAUGAGGAGCUGGACGAGUAGCUGAGCUGGACCAGUAGGAAUGGGAGUCUUGGAAAGAAAGCAAAGCUGGAUGGGAAUAAAGGAGCAGAUCAGGAAGAAUGGAAGAUUUUACUUAAACAUGUAAAAGUUUAAGGAAAUAGGAAAUAUGCACCAAGCGACAAAAAUGGAAGCUGUGGUGUAGGGUUUUCGGCGUGUAUAGCCGCUUAGUCUACUAGGUAUAAGUAGACGUGUUGAACCAUUGUAAAAGCUUAACACAACUACUAGAGAGCACUUAGCAUAAGGGUGAGAGAUUCGAGUAUUAGGGUCUGCAUCAAGGGUUAAGGGUUUUUCUAGGGGAGUUCUGAGAUCAAGUACAGCUCGAAGAACAGAGAGAGCUAGAGCGACAGAUCAAGGUGUGUCUUGAGUCUGUUCUAAAUCGUUUUACAAACUUGUAAGGUGUGUUAACAGAUUUACUAGUAAUAAAGUUCAGUUAAAGGAAAAACUUUGUGUUAAGUUGUGUUGUUGUUCUUGAACUAAGACUCUUGCAUUUACAAUUGGUAUCAGAGCGGUCAUCUGUAACUUGCAAACAGGUGAGGUCAUGCGGAGAUGGAGAAUUAUCAAGAACUUGUGAGCAGUUCAAACGUAAUUUUGAAUGCUGGAAACUACGGCUUCUGGAAAGCGAGGAUGCGUUCACUCAUAAUAGGAAUUGAUCCUUUGGUAUGGAAGUCGGUCCUGGUUAAGUGGGAAGAACCAAAGAAGAAGAACGAUGCUGGAUCUGAUGAGCCUAAAUCUGAAGAAGAAUGGACCGAGGAAGAAAGAAAAAGGUUCAAAUACAAUUCAAAGGCGUUGACGGCUAUUCACUGUAGCAUAUCAGCUGAGACCUUUAAACUAAUUCAGGGAUGUGAGACAGCCAAAGAAGCUUGGGACAUACUGCAGAUACAGUUUGAAGGAACGACAAAAGUGCAAAACUCGAAGAAGGACAUGUUGGCUUCACGAUUUGAGAACCUGUAGAUGGAAGAACAUGAAACCAUUGCCGACUUCAGCUCCGAGUUGAGUUCUCUGGCUCAAGAGGCUACAACUCUUGGGAAGCACUACAAAGACAAAAAACUGGUGAAGAAGUUCGUAAGGUGUCUUCCUUCAAGGUUCAUGGGGUACAAGUCAGCUCUGAGUGUGAACCAGGAUACUGAAUAUCUAAGCUUUGUAGAGAUUGUUGGGAUGCUACAGGCUCAUGAGAUGAAACUUGAUGGUGUGAAGAACCAGAAAGGAUUGGCGCUGUCAUCUGUUCUCGAGACCAAGUCAUCAGAGGAAGAAAAGUGUGAGGAUGCAUUAGGGCUACUGGUGAGGAGGUUUGACAAGGCUCUAAGACGAGCUGAGAAGUCAUAUGGUCAGAAAAAAGGUUGUACCUGCCAAACGAACAAAGGAAACCAGUGAAAGAAGGGGUGAUGUUCAAUGCUACGAGUGCAAAGGGGUCGGACACUUCAAGACUGAAUGUCCUACUAUUAAGAGAAGGUAGAUUCAGUGCUUCGGAUGCAAGUGUUUUGGUUAUACACAAUUGGAAUGUGUGAAUGAUCAAAACCGCAGGAAGGAAAGAUCCAUGCUGGCAGAAGAAGAUACUGAAAAUGACAGUGAUGAAGACACUGUGGAGGAAGUAAACAACUUUGUCUCAUUCAUUGGCAUUGCAGAAUUCGAUGAGAGUAUGGUUGCUUCAGAUGCUGAGUCAGAAGUUGGGGCUGAUGAUGAGCUGAGUGAAAGCUACAAAGAGGUUCGUGAGACUCUGAUCAAGAUUGGCAAGGAAAACACUGACUUAAAGAAAGAGAAUCUUUGAGUUGAAGCAAGAGUGGAGGAGCUGCAGAGAGAACUGAAAGCUGCUCAGAAACUGAGUCAAGAAAGUGUUGCGCUGAUAAAAGAGAAGCUGAACUUGGCAAAGAAGGCAGAGCAACUGGAGCAUGAUCUAAGUCAGGAGAAAGGGAUUUCCAACAACCUGAUGGGUGAGCUCAUUGAGCAACGUAAGAAGAUUCAUAUGUUUGCUGGAACUAAACAGCUUGAUCAGAUCUUGAGCCAUGAAAGGAGGUAUGAUGUGCGUAGAGGAUUGGGAUACGAUGCUUGAACCAUGGUAGAAACAGGUACUACAAAGUUUGUCUCAGGAGGUACAACUAAGCCACAAGAUCUGAUCAAGCUGAAAAGCUGUGGAUGAAGUCGGAAAGGUCAUCCUGCGAGGAAUCAGAUCUAGGAACAACUGUUAUAUAUGGGAUUCCUCUUGCAAAGAAGAAAAGUGCUUCACAGCACGUGAUGAUCUACAUCCGUGGCAUCAACGAUUGGGACACAUGAACAUCACGAAUCUUGCCAAUCUUGUCGACAAAGAAAUUGUCAGAGGAGUGCCUAAAGUCAAGGGAGUUGAUAACUCGGUGUGUGGACCUUGCACUCAAGGCAAGCAAGUUAAAGUGCAACACAAGAGAGUACCUGAUGUACAGUCAAAAGCAGUUCUUGAUCUAGUCCAUAUGGAUCUAAUGAGACCAGUACAAACCGAGAGUUUGGGUGGCAAGCGCUAUGUGUUCGUCCUUGUGGAUGACUUCUCUAGGUACACCUGGGUUAGGUUCCUUUGAGAAAAAUCUGAGACAGCUGAGAGCUUCAGAAUAUGGGCGCUGCAACUCUUGAAUCAGCGCGGUAGAAUAAAGAAUAUCCGGAGUAAUCGUGGCGGCGAGUUUCAGAAUGAAUUCAUGAAACUUUUCUGUGAAAGUCAUAGCAUUGCUCAUCAGUUCUCAGCACCUAGGACACCACAGCAGAACGGGGUUGUAGAAUGGAAUAACAGAACACUACAGGAGAUGGCACGAGCAAUGAUGCAUGGGAACCAAGUGUCAAAGAAGUUCUGGGCUGAAGCAGUCAAUACGGCUUGCUACAUCAUAAACCGAGUCUACGUCAGAAAGGGAACCAGUAAGACACCUUAUGACUAUGGAAAGGGAAAACCCCUAACUUGAGUUACUUUCAUGUCUUUGGUUGCAGGUGCUACAUCCUUAAUGACAAAUACUAUCUUGGGAAGUUUGACUCAAGAAGCGAUGAAGGGAUGUUUUUGGGAUACUCGGGAAAUAGCACUGCAUUCAGGGUCUUCAACAUCAGGUCAAAAGUACUGAUCGAGUCAGUGAACAUGGUGUUUGAUGACUAUGCUCGUACCAAGUGGGAAGGAACUGCUACUGGCAGUGACUCGGACGAAGAAGAAGAAAAUCAACCAGCAGCUCCCACUGGAGAAGGUGAUCAAGCAGUUGUGGUUCCAACAUCUGAUGUUCAGCAAGUUCACAGGAAUCACUCACCUUCGAAUCUCAUUGGUGAUGUGAAUGAAGGAAGAAGGACUUGUGGAGUUCAGUUGGACUUCAAAAAGAUGGUUGGGAAAUUCUCGGAGAUGGUUCUAUUUGCAUGCUUUGUCUCUGUCAUUGAACCCCGAGACGUGAGACAGGCACUUGGUGAUGAAUUCUGGAUCAUUGCCAUGGAACAAGAACUAGAGCAGUUCGUGCGUAAUUAUGUGUGGAAACUUGUCCCAAGACCCCUUGAAGGCAAUGUGGUGGGAACAAAGUGGAUCUUCAAGAACAAAAUCGAUGAGAAUGGGGUUGUGGUUCGCAACAAAGCAAGGCUAGUUGCACAAGGGUUUUCACAAGUCGAGGGAGUCAACUUCGAAGAGACGUUUACCCCUGUAGCAAGACUUGAAUCAAUCAGACUGUUCUUGGGGAUGGCCUGUAUCCUAAACUUUAGGGUAUAUCAGAUAGAUGUCAAAAGUGCAUUUCUUAAUGGAGUGCUCCAAGAAGAAGUGUAUGUGGAACAGCCAAAAGGGCUCAAAGAUGCUCAGUAUCCACAACAUGUGUACAAGUUGAAGAAGGCGCUUUAUGGCUUGAAGCAGGCUCCACGAGCGUGGUAUGAGAGACUCACUGGAUUUCUGGUUGAACAAGGAUAUGUUAGAGGAAGUGUUGACACGAUCUUGUUCAUCUAUGAGCAGAAUGGGCAGAUCAUAAUUGUGCAAAUCUACGUGGAUGACAUUAUCUUUGGAGGAACUGCUCAGUCACUUGUGGAUCGAUUUGUCACAAGCAUGACUCAAGAGUUUGAAAUGAGCAUGGUUGGUGAACUGCGGUACUUCCUGGGUUUGCAAAUAACUCAGUCUGAAGAUGGGGUCUUUAUCUCACAAAGCACCUAUGCGAAGAACUUACUUACAUGAUUCAAGCUUGAUCAGUGUAAGGAAGCUAAUACUCCAAUGAGUACUACAGCCAAGCUCACUUGGGAUUAAGAUGGAACAGAUGUUGACCCCACAGUUAUCUAGGGAUGAUUGGAAGCUUGUUGUAUCUCACAGCAAGUAGACCAGACUUUUCCCUAAGUGUGGGCAUCUGUGCUCGAUAUCAGGCGAAACCCAAGCAAUCACAUCUUGAAGCAGUGAAGAGAAUCAUCAAGUAUGUCAAAGGGACAGUCAAGUUGGGAAUCUGGUACUCCAAAAGAUCGAACAAGCACUUGGUGGGAUACUGUGACGCAGGAAGUGCAGAUGAUCGGAAAAGCACAAGUGGAGGUUGUUUCUUUCUUGGGAACUAUCUAAUCUCGUUGUAGAGUAAGAAAUAGAACUCUGUCUCACUGUCUACUGCAAAGGCCGAAUACAUUGCUAUGGGGAGCUGCUGCAGUCAACUGUUGUGGAUGAAGCAGAUGUCCGCAGACUAUGAGAUGGAUUCUGGGCCACUACUGGUUCACUGUGACAACAAAAAUGCUAUCAGUAUUUCAAGGAAUCUGGUGCAGCAUUCUAGGACCAAACACAUCAAUAUAAAGCACCACUUCAUUCGUGAGCUAGUGGAGGAGAUACAGGUAGUGAUAGAACACAUUGUCACUGAUUUGCAACUGGCUGAUUUAUUCACAAAACCCCUGGAUUUUAAUCGUUUUGUCACCUUAAGAAACUCGAUUGGGGUUUGUAGUAUGUGAUUUUUUGUGAAGUGUGCAGGACUGAUGCAAAAACUGACUCGAGGGGACACUCAAGGUUUAGAUUCAGUCUGGAGUCAUGGAUCUAGUGGAAAAGAGCUAUCUCAACAACCGUCGUACCUUAACGACAGUACAGGUUUCAUGGAGUAGAAGGGAAGCUGAGCUAGUUUCGGAGAAGUCAAGUGAUGAAACUAGCUCAUUGCACUCAAACCAGAAAGGGAGGAAUGAAUAAAUAAAAAAAAUUUAAAAAAAGGAGGGGCUGCUUGCAAUUAAAAUUAGUUGAUCCCCUCAAAAGGUAGAUCCUCCCCUGGUACUGAAAGCUUCCUUCACCCGUGAAUAAAGGUUGAAAACUAGAAAAUGGGUCGAUAAAGGUAGUUGGGUGUGAAAGCUAGCCCGUGAAUCAGGAUGGCCAGACUCUUAUGAAUCAUAACAAGCUGAAGGUGUCUCGUGAGUCAGAGGCUGUGUCUAGUUCCGGUGCACUUCAAAGAAAAUGGUAAAAAUAUGUACAAAGCAUUGUUUUCAAAGCCAGCGCAUAGGUGAUAGUUCAAUUGUCACUAUUUGUUCUCUAUCAUCGGCUUAUGUGUGAAAGUGUCCGUGAAUAUUGAUGGUCUAAUGCGUGCGUGUUUGAUUCAGUAUGUGUUCGAGUGCUUUUGUCACGUGUGAAACAGGAAAGUGGGCAGGGAAUUUCGAGGCCUUGAUGAGUUUGUGAAAACAUCUGUGAGAUGGGCUUGUUGCGAGAGAACAGCCCACAAAAGACAAUGGAAAUUGAAAAGACGUGGGAAAAUAGAAAGUGGGGGAGUUAUUUACGGGGAGUGGGGAUCCGAAAAAUCAGCACCACUUCCUGUUUUAAACCCUAAUUAUCUUCCUACAAAAGGCGAAUCACAAAGAGAGACAUCAAUGGUGAGAGGAACUCGAAGGGGGCUAAUUGGUGUCCGAUCUAAAGCACAGAUGACGCAUGCAGAUGGCGAUGCUCAGAGGCCUCAUCUAAUCGAUGAGCACAGUGGCGAGAGUAUGAAUCCAACUGAGGCGGUUCCUGAUCAAAAUCCCGCGGCAUCCAUUGGUCCAGCAGAUAGUGCAGGCUCUUUUGCCACCGCAAAUGAUGGAGAUGCGCAGAGUGGAUCGUCGGCGAACCCUAAAGAGAAGGCGGAUGGCGGAGAAACCAAGGCCAACUCGGAGGUUACCCAGAAAAUCAAGAAUGACGAGGAAGAGGCUGACGGUGGCGAGAGCAAAAAAGCUGUUGAGGUGAAUCUCUCUGUGCCACAAGAAUCGGCGAAUCCGACCGCCGAUCCGGUUCUGAUCACAAUGACUCAAGAGGAGGCGACAGCAUCUCCCGCUGAAGCAUCACCUACCUCGAUCUCCGUGAAAGAGCAAGCUGCAAAAGUCGAACGCAAAAGAAAUACAAUGAAGGCUUUGGGACUUCCAGCUCCGUCAAAGAAACCCAAAAGUGAGCCGUCUCCAGUUCCAAAAGCAGAACCGGAGCCAGUCCCUGACUCGGUGCCAUGAAAGCGGACCAAAAAGGCUCGAUCUCGCAAAGAACAGCCGUCUCCUGAUCAAGCAAGGUAUGAUCACUUUGCUACACGACAACUUUGGUGUGAGAGAACUGUCGAUGUAGGUGAAACAGAUGAAUGGGGAUACAUCAAAGUGAAUAGAGACAGCGGUUUAGAAUCAGCGGUUGUAGGGAUCACUUUGUAUGUACCGCAAGUGAUUCAGGAGUUCUAUGCUGGGCUUCCGGGUGAGCUACCCUCUGAUCCAGAUCAAGAGAUUCGUGUCAAGCUGAGGGGUUUUGAGUAUUGCUUCUCUCCUGCGUGGAUCAAUCGGGUCCUCAAUCUGACUCCACUUAGCGAGGCUGAAGUUCACGAUGAGUCAGUUGCUGAAGCAGUCUCUCUGUCUGAUAUUGCCAAACACUUGUCGAAAGGAGGAAGUGGUUGGAGUGGGCUGAGCACGAGGAAUCUCCCACCGGUUUUUGCUUCAUUGAUUGUUAUUGCGGCGUACAACUGGAUUCACUCAACCAACAAGAAUCACAUUUCUGAGGAGCGUGCUCGCCUGCUGUACAAGCUGAGUCAUGGUGUGAGGGUGGACUUCGGAAGGCUGGCUUUCAAACAUAUUAUUCUAAUGAGCAAGAUCAUCAAAAAAGACACUCACUGGCUGGUAUUCCCGUGUUUGAUACAGAAGAUUAUGAACCUUCAACACGAGCCUUAGCUGGGUCAAGGAGAGACUCACAUUGUCCCAUUUUGAUACAAAAAAGACUCACGCAGUGGUGAGGAGUUCAUCAAGAAAGAGGCCGCAGCUGCAAAGAAGGAUAAGAAGAAAGGGAAGCAAAGGGCUGAUGCACCGAGAUCUCCAACUCCUCCACCUCAGUCGUCUCAACAGCAACCUGAGCCAUCACCGAGUGUGCCACUUCGGUCCUUCCGCUCACCACCUCCUGAUGCAUCCUUCAGGUCAUCCGACUCUGCUCCUGGUCGGACUCAAAGUGCUCCUCUCGGAGUGAUUUGUGUUCCUUUGGCACCAGAAAGUGCUAAUGAAGUCACAUUGGCCUUAUGGGAUGUGAGUCGUGUGCUUAACCAUCUCCACGGAAUAGUCAACAUGGUGAUUGACUCAUUUGCAAGUAAGUUUUCUGACUCUGACUUGUUUCUUAUUUUAGGUAUUGAUCCCUGUUUUUACUUUCGGUGAUCACAAGCAGGAGGAGAAAACAUGUGGGAAGAAAUUCUACGAGAUGAUGCAGGAGAUGAUGCGGGUGCUUAAAUUGUGGGGGAGUUUGUGUAAUAAUCUAGUUUCUUGUUUCUGAAUUAGGCUAAGUUUGUGGGGGAACGUGUAUUUUGCUCUGAAAACUCUUGUUCGCAGCAUUUGAUUCAAGACUCUGUGUUUGACGUUUUCUUUUCAUAUGAAAUGCGUUCUGUUUGUCUUGGUACUUGGUUGGUCUGUGGUUGUUUGUGUGCUAUGUCUGAAAACAGGUGCUUCUGAGUCACACGAAGCUAAAAUGGGGGAGAUUGAAGGUGUAGCUGUACUUGAAGCAGUUGCUGUACCAGAUGAAGUGAAGGAUGGAAUGCCACAAGCAUGAAGUACGUGACAAGCGAAGCAUUUGGAAUGAUGAGCUGGACGAGUAGCUGAGCUGGACCAGUAGGAAUGGGAGUAUUGGAAAGAAAGCAAAGCUGGAUGAGAAUAAAGGAGCAGAUCAGGAAGAAUGGAAGAUUUUCUUAAACAUGCAAAAGUUUAAAGAAAUAGGAAAUAUGCACCAAGCGACAAAAAUGGAAGCUGUGGUGUAGGGUUUUCGGCGUGUAUAGCAGCUUAGUCUACUAGGUAUAAGUAGACUUGAAGCAUUGUAUAAGCUUAACACAACUACUAGAGAGCACUUAGCAUAAGGGUGAGAGAUUCGAGUAUUAGGGUAUGCAUCAAGGGUUAAAGGUUUUUCUAGGGGAGUUCUGAGAUCAAGUACAGAUCGAAGAACAGAGAGAGCUAGAGCGACAGAUCAAGGUGUGUCUUGAGUCUGUUCUAAAUCGUGUUACAAAUUUGUAAGGUGUGUUAACAGAUUUACUAGCAAUAAAGUUCAGUUAAAGGAAAAACUUUAUGUUAAGUUGUGAUGUUGUUUUUGAACUAAAACUCUUGCGUUUACAACAAGUUCCUCUAGGCUCAGCUAAACCAAUUCUCUUUACUUAGUUGUUUUUAGUAGUUGAUCUCGACUGGGUGAAAACCGACCCUAACACUUUCCUUGAGUUUGUCUUGAGGAGAACCAUGUUCUCAGUCCAUCCUCAUAUCUCCUAUCUCCAUUACUUUGAAUCAAACAUAUAGUUGAUUUCUGAUAUUGUUGUCGAUUAGCUUGAUGAGUUGGUACUUUUUCGAAGGUUUCUCCCAAGUCAACAACGUUUCCCCACUCGCAUAAAAACUAAUCUUUCAAUAGUCUCGUUACCAAACCAUCCCAACCUAAUUCAGGUUUGGCUUAUCAUAUAAAUUACAUCCAUUUUUGAACUGUCAAAACCUAAUUUAGGGAAUUUCAGUAAUAAUAUAUAGUUUUUUGGUGUGUCAAAUCAUAUGAGAGAACCUUUACGAUAUAUAUGUUUUAACCAAGAGUGAUCCCGAUAUUUACCACUCAACUAAUCCAACAAUUCCCAAGGGACGAGUGUAGCCGUGAAGUAAUUCAUUCACAAUUUUUUUUUUUUUACAUCUAAUUCACCUUUAUUAGUUAUCAAAAUUACAAUCGUUAAUUACAGUACACUACAAGAAAACAGCAGGUAUUCCUACGAAAGAUAUCAUCAGAAAAUGGUAGGAAACAGGCAUUUUCUACCAAUUUCCGACGAAAAUGUUUUGGUAAGUUCUAUGCCGUCGGAAAUUAUAAAUGGUCAGAAAAUGAUAGGAAAUUUCCUACGAAAUUUUUGGUCGGAAAAUUUCAUCGGAAAAUUUGGUCAGAAUAUCGUAGGGCAUUUGCUACUAUUUUCCUUCCAUUUUCUUUUGAAAAAAUCCAACCCUUUUCCUACGAACAGUUUUCUAUCAUAUUCCUACCAUUUUCUUACUAGCUAUAUAAAAAAAUUUUAAUUCAAUUAAUUACAAAAUUAAAUAAUUUCAAUUAUUAAACAAAUUAUAAAAAUUAAAUCCAAAAUUAAUCAACCUAAUUAAAAACUAAUUAGAAAUUAAUUAUAACUAAAUAUGGAACUUCUAAAGCCCAAAUUAUUUUUAUUGACUCAGUAUUUUUUAUACUUAAAGCAUGUGUCUAUUUAUAGAGUCUUUUCAGCAUCACCUGCUUGGUCGAUGUGGGAUUUUUCCCAUUUUCCUUUUUGACUGAUUUUGGUAGGAAAUUGAUAGGAUAUUUAAAUAAUAAAAUAUUUAUUUUUCGUAGGAAAUUGAUAGGUAAUUUCUUACAUAUUAUAUUCGUAGAUAAGUGGUCAAAAAUUUCUGACAAAUUUCCUACCAUUAUUACAGUAAAUUUUUUCCACCGAUUUCCUUCCAUUUUCUGAUCAGAUUUCCUACGGAUAUUUUUUUGGUUGAAUAUUGGUAGGAAAAUUUUGACCAUUUUCUGACGAUUUUUAUCGUAGAAACUUUUCUUCCAAUUUCCUACCACUUUUAUUUUUUGUCAUAAAUUCGUAGGAAAAUGAUAAAAAAAAAUUUCUACCAAAAUUUACGUAGAAAAAUUUAUAGGAAUUCAACAUGUUUUCUUGUAGUGGUAUGUUGGAGGAAUCGAGGACAAGUGUGGUACAAUGACCAUUGAGUAUUACAUAAUAAUGCUUGUUUAGCCAACAUAUCUGCCCAUUGAUUUGCUUCUCGGUGUCGAAAGGUGAAGCUCACUUCAGCGAACAUUUUUUCCAGCUUUUGAUAGCCUCUAUGUAAUGGUGGAGACGCAAAUUAUUUCCUUGCCCAUUGAUGAGUCGGAUAAUGGUUAGAUUAUCUCCUUCAAAUUCCACUUUUUGAAGGAAUAUUUUCAUAUUUUCAUUCACAAUAUUUUCUAAUGGGUCUAAAAAAUGGCACCAUUUCAAUUCGUCAAAUGAAAAUGGUUAGAUAAUUAUAAGUUUGUUGAGAAUUCUUUCUUUAUGGUACUUUGAUAUAUUUAGUGAACUUUGCAAGUAUUGUGUAUGAAUAACCUCAGUAGAGUUUCUUUAGGUUCUCGUUGUACUAUUAAGAAAACAAAAUUUCUCAUCGUGAACUUUGCAAUUUGUGAAUAUUUAGUUUAAAUAUUUUUUCUUUUUUGUAAGACCCUAGAGUACGAAUAAUUAAAUUGCAGUAAUAUAAAAAAACCAAAGACAAUAACAUAAAGUACAGACGAUUUUAUUAUGCAAAGAGUGAAGAUUACAACUCGAACACAGAGACAUACAUUAUUAAGUUUAUUCUCAUAGUUUCUUUUCUUAAACUUGAGUCACUUCAUUACAAAUGCACCAAUGUUUACUUAGAGUCAUACACACGUAUGUGCAUAUAUGAGACUUAAAAGUAUAUUUCAUAGAUUUUAAUGACCGGGCUGAGUCUGAACAGCUUCUGCUCCGUGUCCCCCGCGUCCACCAUGGCCUCCUCCUCCAUAGUGUCCUCCUCCUCCGUAGUGUCCUCCUCCUCCUCCGUAGUGUCCUCCUCCUCCUCCUCCGUAGUGUCCUCCUCCUCCUCCUCCGUAGUGUCCUCCACCGUGUCCUCCUCCGUGUCCUCCUCCUCCGUUGUAACCUCCAUGGCCACCACCAUAUCCAUCAGGUUUCUCAUUUUCCUCACUCUCUGACUUCACCGUGCCUGUUCCAAACACACACAAAAAAAAAACAAAAUUAUUUCAAAAAUAUUUUUAAGCACGUGCAAAUGUGCAUUCCUUUGCCUAUUUCAUAAUUGAACACUUUUAAAAAAUGUAUAGAAAUUCGGGAUAAUGAUGUAGUUGUAGUGACAGAAUUACUCUGAACAGCUUCUAGUCCAUGUCCCCCGCGGCCUCCAUGUCCCCCGUGGCCUCCUCCUCCGUAGUGUCCUCCUCCGUGGCCACCACCAUAUCCAUCAGGUUUCACAGUUUCCUCACUCUCUGAGUUCACCGUGCCUAUCCCAAAAGCGAAACCACAUUAUUUUAUAAAUAUUGUUAGUACGUACAAAUGUGCAUUCCUCUCCCCAAUUUCAUAAUUAAAUUUCUCUUAAAAACUUUCUAAAAUAUGUAUAUAAUUCCGAUCUCUAGUUAUAAAAAAAAUGAGUUCAACAUUAAAUAUACGUUUUAUAUAAAUUGGCGUCAAGCAUCUAAAUAGUUUGGGAGGGUCUAAUAGGUAUAAGAGCAUGUACAUCAGUGAACCCUUAAAAGAGGGGUUUAACAGAAUAUAAUAACAUUUUUUUUUUGUUUUAGUUUUUUUUUUUUUUAAUUCGAAAAUUAUAAUUUUCGACCAUGUUUUAUUUGGGAUGAUACCGUCUCUUCAGGUUCGUCGGGAUGAUACUGUCUCUUUAAUAUUAAGAUCUUUUGUCUCAAAAACCGUGCCAUGAACCCCUCUUGAUCCUCUGAUGUAGAUGCUCUAAGAAGGACUAAACGUCAUAAGUAAGCGUAAGUGUCUUUUCUUACUAGGACAUCAACAUGAUACUUAAGUGUGUUUAUGACUUAGUGAGUCCAAAUAAUUGACCAUCGUUCACCCCAACUUUUCGCAUUUAAAACGGACGAGAUAGUUGGACAAAAUUAUCAAAUGGUACGUUAGUCCGGUUAGAUUAGCUUCACGAUAAUUUUUUUGUUUUCUAUAAAAUAAUUUUACGUACCCGACUGCCUUGCUGAGACGACGAGAAGAAAUGCAAACACACCCAACAGAAGCAAAGUCUUGGAAGCCAUUUUCUUCAAACUGCUUAUAACACUUUUAAUUUGUAUAUAUGGAGAAAGAAGUGAUGAAUAAAAUGUUAGCCUGCAUGCUCUCUAUUUAAGGAAAACGAGGAGGGCAGAAUGAGGAAAAGUCAAAUAAAUAAUUCGUAGUGCAGUGAAAAGAAGUAUUUUUUUAAUUAAAAGCAAAAGGGAGAUUUAGUGUAUCACAAAAUUUAGAGAAAUUGCAUUGUUUGCAGAUAAAGACACACUUUUUAGUAGCAAAUAAAUAAAACUAUAUUUCUUUGCGCAAGCGAACAAAAGGGAGUUGUAUUAUUCUAGAAGAGUUUAGAUCUAAUUUAUACCCCCCAAAAAAUAUAGUUUAGAUAUCUUUAUCUGUAUCAUGCAAUCUUUCUUUGUAAACAUCUUGAAUAGAGUUAAUAUAUGUUACGUGAUUUAUAUUAGAUUGCAUGAAACAAAAAAUACGUGAAACAAAGUGUUUCGAAAAGGAUAACAAUUUUAAAAAUGAUAGGAAACGUUUGCUUUCGGAAACAUAUAUUAUAUAUAAAACAUCAAAAUCAUAUGAAAAACAAAACGAAACAUUAAAACCAAACGAACUUUAAUACUUAUAUAUCAAACAGAUAAAUAAAGAUACAAAUCCAAACGUGGUAAGAAGAUAACGAAAUUUUCAUAUUUUCGAAUUUACUUCAUCUAUCCUACAAAUAAGAUGGUAAGACGAUCGAUAAGUAUGAUCAAAGUAUAUCUGUAUCCGUUGCGUCGAUUCCCAUAUGGUGGGUUGUUGGAUUGUGAUUUGUGAAAAACUUUAACCUCAAUAGUCUUUUAGAUAUUUCUUAUCAACGUCUUUAAACAUAGGAACCAUCGGACAAGUAUUGAACUAUUGAUAUGUAAGAAUUACAUUAUUGGCCAUAACUGGUAUUAUUGUUACAUUAUUAUUACUAUAAUUUGGACACAAAAUUAGUCCACUAUUUGUACUUUAACUCUUUAAGGAUCUUCUUUGAAAAUCUCAGCCGACAGGUUUUUAAGCAGACGGAUAAAGAAUUAAUACGAAGUAAUUACUAAGAACUUACCUUUAAAGGGUGAAAUUUUGCUUGGCUAUAAUUUAUUCAGGCCUACAUCGAUAAAAAAAAAUAAAAAUCAUUCCAGUGACCUAAGUGUAAAGGAGCUUGAGAUAUACGUGUUGAGAAGAUGAGCAUUAUUAAGUGUACAGAAUGUAGCUGCCGUCCUAAUUAUAAUAAAAUAGAAGUUAAUCCGCACAUUGUAAGGGAUAAUGUUUUUUUAAUUAUUUUUAAAUUUAAUUUAAUUUUUUUUAGUUAAAUUAAAAUUGGUGGCAAAAAUAUUUUAACAAAAAAUAUAAAUAAACAAAAUUAAUAAAAAUUAAAUAAUAUAUAUAUAUAAAUAUCACACAACCGAUAUUUAUUUGUAUAUAUAUAUAUAUUAUAGAGUAUGACUUUGAGCUAAUUUUGUUAUGCAGUUUAAUUAUUCAUAAAAUAAGAAUUUAAUUUUGAAUAUUUUAUUAGAGAUUAAACUAUUAUUUUUAGUUAAUAAAUUAUAAUAUAUGUUAAUAAUAAUUAUAUAUAGGAUUAGACAAAUUCGUCUAUUUAAUUUAUUUUAUAAUUUUUAAAAUAUUAUUUCGACCAAUCCGCAAAAAAUAGAUUUUAAACUUUAAAUUAUAUUUUAUUUUUUAUAAUAAUAAUUGAAUUGAUUUUCAAAAAUGAUGCUAAUUAAUUAUGAAAAUACAAAUGAAAAAUAUUGCAAAAUUUAAAUAGUUUUUCAUAUAUAUGGAUUGAUUAUUAUUUAAAAUAAUAGAAUAUAUUUUAACAUUUUAAUAAGUAAAAAGCAAAAUACAUUUUUUAUUUAUAUCCAUAUAUAUUCAAAACAAAUAUGUGAGCUAUAUAUUUAACUAUCUCUUGUGAAGAAAUAUUUAAUUAAAAAUUUUAUAUUUGUAAAAUUUAUUUAUUUAAUAUCUUUUAAGUAAAGGUUUAUUUAUGUAAUAUUUUAUAAAUAAAUAUUUAUUUAUGUAAAAUAUUCUGUAAUAUCUUACAAAUAAAAGUUUCUUUAUAAAAUGUCUAUUCAAAUAAUAAUGUAGAGAUGUAAUUUAAUUAAAGUCUAAUUGAUAUGAACUUCAUAAUUAUUAUAAAAAUAUGAUCAAUUCCAUGCGAGUGAAAAAGAUUUACAUAGUUAUCGUUUAUUUCUCAUACAAAACUAUUUUAAUUUUAAAGAGUAAAACGUAGCAGAAAAUGAAAACUGGAACUUUUUUAGAAUAUGACAGCUAGUUUUAAAAAUGGGAGAUGGCUACAAUACCGUUUCAAAAUAAUAGAUUAAAACUUAAUCCCAGAUAUCCGACUUGUUGAUGGUUUCUAUUUGCUUACGCACACUAAAUAUAUUAACACUCAAGAGAGGGAAAGUGUAAAUUGUAUUAAUGAAAGUGUUAGUGAACCGUAUUACAUUAAUUCCCUUUUAUAUACCAACUAGGUUAAGAAUAAAUACAUAUAUGUUAAUACAUCCCUCUCAAACCGAAUCAACCUUAGGUAGAAAGAGGUUUGAUAAUAAUACACGACUAAGCAAAAAAUGAAAUGGACCUAGAUGCAAAGGCUUCGUCAACAUAUCAGCAAGCUGAUUCGAAGUAGAGACAUGAAGAACAUUUAGGAAGCCAUUCUUCACCUGAUCUCGGGUUAUGUGGGAAUCAAUUUCCACAUGCUUAGUUCUCUCGUGAAAUACAGGGUUAUUGGCAAGAUUCAUAGCUGAUUUUUUUUAUCACAAAACAGGUUGGCUUCAGAAGUUACCGGGAUAUGAAGAUCAGUCAGUAAUUGGUGCAGCCAAAGUAACUCUCCCGUAGUAACAGCCAUGCUCCGAUAUUUGGCCUCCGUGCUGCUUCUAUUAACCAUUUCCUGUUUCUUGGACUUCUAGGUGAUAAGAGAUGUUCCAAGAAAUACACACAGACUCGUUACAGAACGACUGCAUCUGAAAAUCCAUUCAAGCAUAACUCUGUAGUAGCAUAAUAGAAAAAACCUUAGCCCAGAUUUUCUUCAAAUAUUUAAGGAUCUGGAAAGCAGCUUGAAAAUGAACAUUAGUGGGGAAAGACAGAUACUGACUCCACUGAUGCAGCGCAAAAGUGAUAUCAGGACGAGUAAUGCAGAGAUAUUGCAAUCGACCAAUCAAUUCGCGAUAUGAAGUUGUAUCAGAAAGAGACGUACCCGCGGACUGGAUCCAUCAAAACUGAUUUUGGUUUAUAACCAAGGAGACCAUAAUCUUCAAUAAGAUCCAAGCAGUAUUUCCUCUGUGAAACAGAUAACCCCGAAGCAUUCCUUGCAAUCUCAAGACUCAAGAAGAAAUGAGCUUGGCCAAGAUCUUUGGUCUUGAAUGGGAUUGUGAUAUAUUCAUAUCAUUUCGUGUUUAGGAUGCAUUUUUGGUCCAAGAAUAGAGCCUCAUGCAUACAUUUUAGAUAGAUUCUUCAUGUUUUCUUUGUUUUAGAGGUUUAGGACUUUGCAUUAGGUCCAAGUGAGUCUUGCAUGUUUGGAGUGUCAAUCAGGUGCUUUGGAGGUCAUCUGGAGAUGAAAAUAUGGAACCAGGUGAAGAAAUGGUGAAAGAAGGGCAAGAUAUGGUAAAAAUGAGGUUUUGGAGGUUAUCGGCAAAAUUGCUUACUGCGGGAAGAUUUUUAUCGGCCAAAAAUCAUUCCCGGGAAGCAGUUAUCGGCCAAAACAUGUACCAGACCAAGUCUGUAUCGGCAAAAAUCCUUUGUCGUGGGAAAAAAUGUUUAUCGGCUAAAAUACGUACCGCAGUACGUAACUUAUCGGCCAAAACGUGAAUUAUCGGCCAAAAGUUUCCCGACCCGAUAUGCUUCAAAGAUGCCUUUACCAGAAAGCUUUCUCGUCCGAUUCAGUUUCUAGUGUUUUCACAAACGUUCAAGAGAAUUGAGUCACAAUUCCAGAACAGUUGGAAUCAAUGGAUUUGGAGCAGUGAGCUGAAAGAUACGGCCAACAGAAGAUGAAUCUGCCUCGCAUCCAUUCUGGUCAUAUCCGAUGCGACUCAAAGAUCACUCAGGAUGAAACUCUUCCCUUCCAAUCUAGUUUCCGGGGCUCUAUCAAGAUUUGAGAGAUUCGAGUCAUAUUUCCAUAACGCUUAGAAUCAUUCCAUUUGGAGUGUUGAGUUGGGAGAUAUCGCAUUCGGGAGACAGACAUGCCCUGCAGUAAGAAACUAGAACCUCCCGAGCCAAUGCAAUGAUCCGUUUACCGGAAGGCCUCUCUCACCCGGGAUGCACUUAAGUUCUUCAUCAAAGUUGUAUGGAAUUGAGCUGCCUUUCCUCUGGAGUUUCUCUCGAGUCAUUUAGACUCAUAUCCCACAAGUUAUGCUAGCUCAAGUAAACAUAGAUCCGAGGAAAUGAGAAAUGCUGCGACAUGGCUUUGCGACUCGGUCAACUUGCAGCGAUGAAUGUUUAAAUUCUGGGAGCAAGCUGAGACUUGAAAUGAUGCGGGUGAGGUGACUCGGAGCAGGGUAAGGAUUUCCAAAGCUCAAAUAUUUCUAAGUCCAGAACAGCCUAUGACAUGGCAGUGCGAGAUUGAUGAUGAGAUGAACCAUGUCGCACACACACUCGCUUGGGGCCGCGACAUGACAGUGCGAGAUGGAUGAAGAGAAGUAACAUGUCGCACUCCUACUCUCUUGGGGCUGCGAACGUGAAGCUGUGAGUGGGAAAAGAAGGAUUUAAGCUGCAAGUACAAUUGCUUGAAUGAUACGACAUGAAAGUGCGGCUGAAGAAGCAAGGGAGCUGAGACGUAACAACAUUCACUUGGGGCUGCGAGAUGGCAGUGUAGGUGAACUGAAGCCAGGACCAUCUCGCACCAUGGCCACAUGACCCAACUGAACCAGGUCAGUACACAGUUUGUCUUGAGCUGACCCGCUCCAAAACACUUAGUAUAAAUAGCUUUUAGGGUUUUUUUCCAAAGAACAUCUCAUUUUCCUUUAGGUUUUUAGCCACUUUUGUGUAAGAGACAACUAAAGAGAGAUAUCUCCUUUCUUUUCUUUGAAUCAAAAAUGUUUGAGAGCUUAAUCUAUCUAUCUUAUCAUCAUUACUAUUCAUCAUCUUGUUUUCUCUAUCAACUAAUCAUGUUUAAUUACUUUUCUUGCAAAGGAAUCAGAGAGUUAAUCAUGAUUAGUGAGUAGUCGCGUCAUUAGGGUUCUAGAUAUGUAAGUUAGGGUGUUUAGAGGUUUGAUUAAGGCUGCUUAGGAUUAAAUUUAUACAUCUCUGUCUUGUUUAGCUGAUUUUAAUGCUUGGUUAUAGAUGAUCUCUCUAACCCAGAUUUUGGGCAUUUCAUCUACCCAAAACGUGUUUGAUGAAAUGCCUGAACCAGCUAAGUCAAGAGUCUAUUGUUUGAUUCACAUGAAAAUGUUGUUUUGAGCAUAGAUGGUAUAUUAGGAUUCGUGUUUAAUGCAUUCCUUUCAUUGUGACUCUAAUGAUGAUUAGGUAUGAGCAAUGUUUGGUAUUGUGUUUUGAUGCUUGAGAAAUAUUGAAACUUGAUUUGAAUCCUAAGCUGCUUAGAUCAUUCAUCAUCAUUGUCAUUAGCUCCUUGAUUAAACUAUGAUGCACCCUAGAAACUAUCAUGUCUAGAGCUCUAAGUUUCAUCAUAUUCAUAUCAUCUUAAUCAUUUUCUGUCUUUAUUUAUUGCUUGUUUAAUUCUUUAAUCUUGUUUAAUUGCAAUUCUGUCACUUGUUUGAAACUAAAACAUUUUGUUUGUUUGAAUUAAGAAUAGUUCAUAUAGAUUAGUGAACUAAACACCACACCUUGGAUUGAUAACCUUUGUACUACAACAGACAAAGGGAUUGAUACCCUAAGAGCCUUGAAAAAUCUUGUCUACCAUAUUGAGAGAAUCUUCUAAAUAGACUUGACAGCUUCAUCAUCAUUGCUCGCUAUAAGGAUGUCAUCGACAUAGAUCAGGAGAUAAAUAAAUAAUGUACCUGUUAGCUUCACAAAGAGGGUGUUAUAUGCAUAAGACUGUACAAAUCCGGCAUCAAGUAAGACCUUCGACAAACACUUGUACCAUUAACGAGAUGUCUGCUUCAAGUCAUAGAUGGAUUUAUCAAGUUUGCAAACCUGAUUAGCAGGCAGAUGAACAUCAGCUGGAGUGUAACAUCGUGGCAAGCUCAUGUAUAUCUCCUCAUCGAGCUUACUGUGCAAGAAAGCAUUGGUUACAUCCAUUUGGGUUAAGCUCCAACCCAUUCAUGCGGCUAAACCAAGGAUAAGCUUCACACUGGCAAGCUUGGAAACUGGGAAAAGGUGUCAAAGUAAUCAACACCUUUUUGUUUUGUGUAUCCCUUUGCUACCAGGCAAGCUUUAUAACGCUCCACAUUUCCAUCUGCAUUAUACUUAAUGGUAAACACCCAUUUACAACCAACAACAUUUUCCCUCGGAGGCAAUGACACAACACUCCACGUAUUGGUUGACUCCAUUGCUCCGAAUUCCAAAUUGAAAGCAUCAGUCCAUUCUUUGGAUGAAAUCACCUGCUUAAAGGUGUUAGGCUCAGUCUCCAUUGAAAAAGAGAGAACAAUAGACUGAUAUGGGGUGUUAAGAGUAGAGUAAGAGAGAACAGAAGAAAGAGGAUAUGGAGUAGUAUAAACCUUUAUAGAAAUGGGAGGAGUAGAAAUUUUUGUUAAAGAACAAUGAUAAUUGGACAAAUAACGUGGUACUUUUGUCGAGUGUUUUAGCCUGGCAUUGGGAAGUGAAACCAGAGCAUUCUCUGUGACAACAGGGUGAUGGAUUUUCCUUGGAGCACUAGAGUGAGAUGAUGAUGCAUGUGAUGUAUAAAGCGGAGGAGAAUGGAUGGUCACAGUAGAUGAAGGAUGCAAAUUAUUAGGCAGUGAAAUCACCUAAUCUAAUGCAACAAGAAUUGGCAAUGGUAAUAUAAACUCUAAAAAAAUAUCAGAAGAUGAACUAGAAAGAAGAUGCUCAGUAAAAGGAAAUAUUGUCUCAUGAAAAACAACAUUUCGAGAAACAGAGAUAAUUUUUGAAUCAAGGUUCAAGACAUUAGAAUACCCUAAGAGUACACAUCGAUCCACACGAGGACUAAAAUUAUGUUUAUCCUUCUGUAACGUAGAAACAUAACAUAAGCAGCCAAAAGAUCUUAAGAAUAAGUAAUCGGGCUUCUUAAGCAUAACCAACUCAUAUGGAGAUUUGUGUUUAAGAAUAACAGAAGGUAAUCUGUUUAUCAAAAGACAACUCCAAAUGAAGAUCCGCUUGCGGCUAUAGCUAGAUCUGAGAGUUGCGAAUAUGCUUACAAAUUUUCAGGCUGAUCCAAUCCGAUUUGCCUGUCUGUUUCUCUCUUACACCAUAACAGGUCGGAUCUGCCACCUAGAUGGUUACAAUGGCUUCGCCUUUAAGGUUCUUGGCCACAAGAUAGCUCUCUGAUCUCUUCUAAGACAUGGCUGCUCUAUUUAUAGAGUGGAGAAGAGAUACUUCUAAAUUUAGAGUUUUAGAGAGGAAAAUAAUGAAAAUGGGUUUGAGAGUUUUUCUGAUGGGUUUUGAGUAAUCAGGCUGAAAAAAAAAAAAAAAAUUAGACCAAACCCUAUUCUUGGGAUGUCACAGAUUUAUUAGAGAAUAUAUUUACAUGAGUUUAUAAUUAUUUGUAUGAUAUUUACAUGAGUUUAUAAUUAAAUCGUACAUUAACAUAGCAUCGUUAUUGGAUAGUUAGUCGGAUCGGUUCAACCGGUCAUACGAAAAGUUUGUUUAAUAUAUAUAUAUAUAUAAGAAAAUAAGAAUAGUUAUUUUAAGAAAAAUAAAGAAAAUAAAAUUAAUUUCUUUUAAUUAUUUACAACUGCCAGCCAGCGAUUACAUCCGUCGCUUGAAGAAACUUAUUAUCUAAAUGAAUAAAUAAACUUUUAAUUUAUAGCGGUUCUAAGCGUCACAAAGAGAUAAGAAACAAGUUCAACGGUUUUAGUGAUUGUUAUUAAACGUCACGAAAAUAUAACCGUAUGCAAACAUAGCGUAUGUGGCUGGCAGCGAGAAAACUAUCCAACACUAAAUAUUACAUAUUUACUUUAAAAUUCAUGCCUGCUUAUUACCAAACCAUAUUUUUACCAAUUUUAAUUGUGACAUUUAAUGUCCGCACAUGCGUACAGGCCAGUCAUAAAUCUGAUAUAUUGCAUUCACAUCAAUUUGUGUGUAUUUUUGUUUUGAUAUGUCUUCUGAUUUUUUUCUGUCCUAUGUAACCAUUUUUUGAUAAUUUUAAUUGGUUGAUCAUUAAUCUUUACGUGUCUUUUAAAAGUGAUGUGGUAUAAUCGUUUUAAUUAGAUUAUUAAAGCUCGUUUAAGAUUGUCUUUUUAAAAACGACAAAAAAAAUCGGACAAAGUAAGUAAUAAAAAUAAAUGUAUGACCCAUAUAUUUGAAAGUGUCACUGGCCCAAUGGCAGAAGUCUCCCUUAUGCAUUUGAAGGACAUGUGUUUGAACCAAGGUGGUAACAAUUUUUUAAAAAAUCGUAGAAUUUUAAAACGACAUCGUUUUGAGUUAACCUAACAGUAACAGCAGAGUUAACAGCGUUUAACUUUUCUGUUAACUUUAUAAACGGAGUGCUGAUUUGGCAAGUCAACGAAAAGUUUGUUAUUAUUUAUGGAAGUCAACAAAAAUUAAAUGUUUAUUUGGCUAGCCUGACAGUUCAUGCUUUUUUUUGGCAAAAUGUGGAAAGUUUAAGGUUUUUUUGGCCGAAUUCUCAAAAUAAACUCAUUAAAGUUCGUUUAAAUUGUUUUUUUAACCAAUAAACAUUAAAACCUGUUUAAGAUUGUCUUUCUAAAAACCAAUUAAAGUCUGUUUAUAGUUGUUUUUAUUAAAACCAAUGAACUCAAAAAACCUAAUAUACUUCUUCGAUACACUAAAUAUAUAUAUAUAUAUCCUCUCUAACAUAGUUUGUCUUUUAAUGUUCUCUUUUUCGGUAAACAUUACAUUUGCUUUUUUCUAUUAAUUUUAUUAACGUACGCUUGAGUUUGAGUUUGUUGCUUGUGCUUAUAAAUUUUUUUGUAACAAUUCCUAAUCUUUUUAAGAUUAUGAUUGAAAAUGUUAGUAUAAACAACCAUAGUUUAAAAAAUAGCAUCAAUGUUCACAUACUCGUGAAACAAUGUAUAGCAUCAAGUCUAUCAAUUUUUUUGGUCUCUUAUUUUAGAUUUGAUGCGGCAAAAAGAUUGCUUUGGGAACCAAGUCUUUUUUUUUGUUGGAAUUAUCUUCUAUUCUUGUCAGUUUUUAUUUUUCAUGCAAACGUUGACAUUAAAAUCUCUUUGUUAGAUUUGAUACCAUAUUAAAUUUCAAAUCUGAAUUAAUCAUUAUAUUUAUACAUUAUUAUUAUGGAUGAGUUUAUUUUCGUUAUCUGUAGCCCAAACUCUCUUCCCACGAAAAAAACGAUUAAACCAAUAAUAUUUAUUAUAAACAGGCCGAUAGACUUUAGUAUAAACAAGUUUCAAUAGCCUAAUUAUAACAAAAUUUGUCACAUCGCUUUAAAGCACGUAUAGAAUUAAUGAACGAACAAAAAAUAAAUACAUGACAUGUCAGGACAAAACGACACAUAAGAUUUUGGACUUCACAAAUAAUAGUAACUAGGAAUUAACAUGCACAUUGUGCGGGGUAAUGUUUUUAAGAAUUUUAAAUAUUUUUUAAAAAAAUUUUGGUUAAGUUAAAAAUUGGUAGCAAAAACCUUUUAACAAAAAAUAUAAAUAAAUAAAAUUGGUAGCAAUUAGAUAACUAUAUAUAUAUAUAUAUAUAUAAAUAUCAUACAACCGAUAUUUACGUGUAUAUGUAUCUAUUGAAAGAACUUUGAGCUAGUUUUGUUAUGCGGUGUAAUUAUUAGUAGUUUUUAAAUGUGAAGGUGAUGUGAUGUUAAUAUAUUCAUACUUAUAUACUGCUGGGAUAAAUUCGAUCCUUCCUACAUGGACGAACUGCAUGCUUGCACGUGGCGUCCAUGUUUUUUUUUUCAGGUACGGCCCCCCUGGGCCAAAUUAGGAUCCGUAGUGGGUCGUAAGCAUAUAGCACUGGGCCUCGAAUCCAUAAGGAUUCGGGAGAUCCGGUACGAUAGAUCACUUGUUCCCGGGUUCCUCGUAUCUAAUAGUGCAGGCCACGCUGUCAGAAGUAAGGAGGUCGAAACUGAGUGGUCAAGAGGAGGAGAAGUCCCAUUUUCUAUGUCCUAGGCCUAAACAUGGUAAUCCGGAAAGGUCGAGAUAUAAGGUAGUGUGGCCUACACAGGAUCUGGAGAGCGGAGUCAUCCAUCGAGACAACCCCGACAGCCCGGUCCCAGUAUCGAGGGAUCCAUGUCAGGUAUGAAAUAAUUUUAUGAGCGGAAAACACUAUUCAAAUUUUCCUCCAUUCGAUAAUAGGAAUAUGCCUUAGUAUGAUUUGAUUGCCCAUACUCUUACAAAACCAUGAAAUUGGCAUUUAAUGCACCCUUCUUACAUGUGUCAGGCGACAGCGACCUUUCACAGAAACUAGAGGAAAAGAAGAGGUUCAUCAAGAGUUAUACCGCGUAUGAACCGCCAACCCAAUCCGUACACUGGAGACGAAAGGAACAUGCUAAGGAGCGGUCUCGCAGCAGGCAGAACACGUCAAGGAAAGUUGGUGAGACCGUCAGAGGUAUGACGUGGGAAAAAGAUUUGAACCCAAUAAAAUCGGAUCGAGAACCGACCAACCCACCCGACUCGCUAUGCAAGGACAGACCCGGUAUACUAACCCGGGUCAGGUAAAAUCCUAUAAAUACAUUAUCCUUUCCAACAAGGAAGGAGAUCACUUUUAUUUGCUAUCUUAAGGCUCAUAUUAUCUCUCUAGAUACUUGUGAUCUUUGAGCCCUAACAUAUUAUACUUUCCGGUCAUUACUCAGAACAAUGUUUUAGUUCUUCUCCACGGCGGUUCCUAAAUCGUGGAGUAUUUCCACCCACAAACUCUUUCAUUUCUUCUCUUUUAACUAAUUCUUUAUAAGGAACGCUGGGCCCAUCUUUCUUCUCUCGUUUUCCGAACUCUUUCCUCUCUCCAAUUAGUCACUCUGUGAUCUUUCUUCACUGUUUUCUGACUUGAACGUCGGAGAACCUUCCGAAAACACACCAUCAUCGUGUUUUUUGGGCCUUCACGUGCUUUCUGUUUUUGCAAGAGACUUACCCCCACAAAGGAUCAAAAAUCUCUAAAUAGUUUAGCGCUAGAAAGAGGAGGGCAACACUCUUCUAUAGGAAGAACUGAAACCAUACACGACCUUGAAGGUAUGUCAUGACAAGAGAAGACGGAGGUAGCUCACCAGAGAACGACACCUUGGAGGGGAUGGAAGGAGAGAACAUCUGCUGGGUCGACAGACCGACCAAGCUAUUCUCGGGAUGCCCGAUGAUAAGGGGAACAUCUUUGGUUCCCCACGCCGCCGCCAAACGCACACUCAGAACUCGUCCAGAGUGUAGAAGAAAAUGCCCUGUAAAAUUCCUUACAUCCAAAAACCUUAGUGAAAGUGUUGGCAAACUGGUCAUUAUAUAUAACAAAUGAGUUAAAGACUCGUGGGCAAUGCCCAAUAAAGUCUGCCAUGGAUUGGUCCUGUACAACAGUUUUUAUAUCAAUUAAAAAGUGCAGGCCUCGUAGGUUGAUCGAUUGCAGUUUGCGGAUUAAACAAUUGGGAUCUAUACUAGUUUCGGCAAAGAUAAUUGACAAGAACGUCCAAAACCGGCUAAGUGAAAGACAACGUCUUGGAGACCAAAAGUAUGAAAGAAGCCUCAUGUAUUGGUUUGCCACACACAAAAAAAAAACUAUUUGUUUUUAGUUUCCAUUUUAUAAAAAAAAACUAGGUAUUUAGCCCUUUUUUGCAUGGGCAGAGAAGUUUAUUAAAUAAUACUAGGAGAGAAUCCGCGCGUAUGCGCAGAUCUUGUUUUAAUUUAUAUUUUGAAUAAUUUGUAUUGAAUUUUAUGUUUACUAUUAUUGUAUUUUUGUUUAGAAUAUUUAUAAUAAAUUAUUUGUAAUCUCUUCUACACCAGUUGUGUCAAAUAGUCUAAUUUUUUCUUCGAUCUUCAUAUUCUUUUUAUUCUUGUAAAUCUUACUAAUAUAAUAUUUGUUAAUUUUCUUAAUUUUCUAUUUGAAUUUUUUUGGUUAUAUAUAUUUUAUUGAUACCAUCUUUUUAUUAUUAAAAAAAUUAUAUAUGACAUUUUUAUGUGGAUACUUUUUUUUACUAUUAUUUUUUUAAUAACUUUUAUCUUUUUAAUAGUUUAUUAAAUAUGCUUUGUGUUUUAUACUUUUAUUAGUUGAAUUUUUAUAUAAGAUUAUUUGAAACUUUUUAAUUUAGUCAGUCUCAUAAUUUUUUUCACUUGCAUUAAAAUUUAAUUAUAUUUUUAGUUUGUAAAUGAAUUUUAAAACAUUUGAAAAAAGAAAAUAGAACUAUGCAAUUAAAAAGUCUUAUAUUAUAUAAUAGUUAUAAGUUUUUAUAUAUUAAAAUUAAAUUUUAAUUUUAUUCUAAUAUAAAUAUAUGUUAAUAUUUAUUUAUGUUUUUAAUGUGUUUGCUUUAAAUAUGAUUAAUUAAUUAUUUUGUUAAUAUUUGAAGAGGAUAGGUGGUGCUCUCUCCAGUGCUGACGUGUCGCUCAACUGGAGAGAGUUGGCCAAAUUUUAUAUAUAUGACUAGGAGAAUACAUGCACGUAAUAUGCGGGUUUUUUCUUUAAUUAUUUCAAAUUGAUAUAUUUUUGUAUUUUUCUUAAAGAAAUAUAGUCAUCAUUUCUUCUAUGUUACUAUAUAAUUAUAAAUCAAUCAAUUUAAAAUUUAAUAUUAUUAAAAAAUCAAGAGUUUAUACAAAAAAGCUAUCAAUGUUUUAGCAUAAAUUCUUGUUUAAUAUUUAUAUAACUGUUAUUUAAGAAUCAGUUAAUAAAAAAAAACUAUUUUCUUUGAAUGGUUGAGAAUUUAAUACUAAAAUUUAUUAAUCAAUUUUUUUUUGAUAAUUGUAACUUUAAAUUAAAAAUUGACAAAUGUCAUCUCUAUAUUAACUCUAAAAUGCUGAUGUGUCACUCAUAUAUAGAGAGUUAGCCAUCUUUUAUAUAUAAGAUUAUAAGUAAACAAUAUAUUUGGUAGUUUAAUCUUCAUCUCUAAAGUAAUCAUUAUUUGCAUAGAUUAGUUUUAUGCAUUAUUUUAUUCAUUCAACUUUUAGCCUCAAAUUUCUCCUUUUUUGGCUAAAUUGACUAUCCUUACUGAUUUUUAUCUUCUCGUAAGCGUAGACGUGAAACCAUUUUAUCCAGUUGUAUGUAACAAAUCAAUCUUUUUUGCUAGCUUUGAUACCAUAUUUAGUUUCAUCUCUGAAAAUUUCAUUAUAUAUACAUUAAGUUUAAAGAUGAUUUUAGUUCUUCAUUCUCUUGAAAUUUCUCCCUGUUUAACGAAAAUUGUCUCUCUUUGGUUGAUACUUAUCUUUUAUGCAAGCGUGGAUACAAAACUUUAAUAUCAUGUUGAUACCAUGUUAAACUUUUUUAAAAUUAUAGUCAUUAUUUAUAGACAUUAAAUAUAUAGAUUAUUGUAACUAGGUGAAUCUCCGCACGUUACGUGCAAGUUUUUUUUUCUUCAACUAUUUCAAAUUUCAAAUUCCUAAGAAAAAUGCAAUCCUACUUUAUUAUGUGUUAGAAUAUUAUUAUAAAUCGAUCAUUUAAAAUAUAAUAUUAUUAAAAAAUUAAGAUUAUACAAAAAAAAAUCCAUCAAUAUUUUUAAUUAAUUAUAACAUAAAUUCUUGUUUAAUAUUUACAGAAAUAUUAUUUAAGAAUCAAUUAAUAAAAAACUUUUCAUUUUCUUUUAGUGUUUUAAAACUUCAUAUAAAAUUUAUUAAUUAAUUUUCCUUAAAAACUUUUGUAACUUUAAAUUAAGAAAUAUGACACAUAUCAUCCCUAUAUUAACUCUCAAAUGCUGAUGUGGCAUUCGUAUGAAGAGAGUUGGCCUUCUUUUAUAUAUAAAAUUUUUCAUUCUCUCUAGUCGGAAAUUUCUUCCUCUUUUGUCGGAAUUGUCUUUUGUUCUUCUAUGUUUUUAUAUUUCAUGCAAGCGUGUACAUAAAAUUAUUAUAUCAGAGCGUAGGUAAACAAUUCUUUUGUUAGCUUUGAUACCGUGUUAAGUUUCAAAUCUGAAUUAGUCAUUCUUUUAUACAUUAUUUUUUAUGGACGAAUUUAUUUUCAUUCUCCGUAGUUCGAUCUCUCUUCCCACGGAAAGACGAUUAAACUAAUAAUAAGAAAACCGCAGACUUUACAUUGAAACGAGCUGCAGAUAAAAUUUAGAAUAAAAUGGACUUUAAUGAUCCAGUUAGUAUGAACUAUGACACAUCACUUUCAAAACACACAUAGUAUAAAUGAACAAUUUAUUAAAAAGCUAGCUUUAAUACCAUGUUAGAAAAUAAACUAAUCCUUUUUGCUAGCUUUGAUACCAUGUUUAGUUUCAUCUCUGAAUUUUUCAUUAUAAAUAUACAUUAAGUUUAAAGAUAAUUUUGGUUCUUCAUUCUCUAGAACUUUUUCUCUGUUUAACGGAAAUUAUCUCUAUUUGUCAGUACUUAUCUUUUAUGCAAGUACAGCCACAAAAUUUUGAUAUCAAAGCGUAGGUAAUUAAACAAUUUUUUUGGUAAUUUUGAUAUCAUGUUAAUCUUUAUCUUCAAAAUAGUCAUUGUUCAUAUACAUUAAUUUUAUAGAUUAUUUUAAUUCUUCAUUCUCUCUAGCUGGAAAUUUCUUUCUAUUUUGUCAAAAUUGUCCUUUAUUUUUUUGGUUUUCAUCUUUCAUGCAAACAUGGACAGAAAACUAUUAUAUCAGAGCGUAGUUAAACAAUUCCUUUGUUAGUUUUGAUACUGUGUUAAGUUUUGAAUCUGAAUUAAUCAUUAUUUUAUACAUUAUUUUUAUGGAUGAAUUUAUUUUUGUUCUCCGUAGUCUAAUCUCUCUUCCCACAGAAGGACGAUUAAACCAAUAAUAAGAAAACCAUAGAUUUUUUAAUUAAAUAAGACCGCAGAUAAAAAUUAGAAUAAAAUUGACUUUAAUGAUCCAGUUAAAAUGAAGUAUGAUACAUCACUUUUAAAAUACAUGUAGGAUAAAUGAAUGACCUAUUAAAAACAUUAAAAAAGUCAAUAAGUUAGAAAAUAAACUAACCACACAUCAGAUUUUUUGCUUCAGAAAUAUAUCGAUUGAAAAACAAUGUUGCACUUGAUGUACAAAUGGCUUUUGAUUGAAUAACUAUUACAUUCAAUUAAAAAAACAAUAACGCCUAGAGAGACUAGAAGUGCCUUUAACCAAAGUAAUUAACUAACCGUCAACACCAUAGAUGGCGCGAUGCUCUUCGACAGAGGAUCAAGACACAAGCUGCUGUUUUUGAGACUUCAAAGAUAUAGAACAACCACCAAACUGAAUAAUAGAAUCUGUAUAAUAACGUCUUGUUGUUGGGCAUCAUGCCCGGCCGGAACUGCCCCAUGCAAUAAGAGACAGAUGAGUCUUAGCUUUUAAAAGAAAACCAUGUCACAGAUUGCCUUUGACCUUGAGUAAACAUAUAAACCUUGUUGUUGCAUCCCAAUGAGUCUGUUUUGGUUCUUGCAUGAACUAAGCAACAAUGUGGACCAGUGUUAAUCUGCAGGUUCAGGAAUUGUACCUCUUUUAACUAAAGCAAGACGUACGAUGGUUCUUCUCCAGAGGCACAGGUCUCCGAAAUGAUAUUAUGAUGGUCACAAAAUGUGAAAGCAGUUUUAAAAAUGUUUCCUACCUAAAAUCCCAAGCGCAAGGCUGAAAUCGAAGUAGUACUAGGUACAAAUUCACAGGGAGGAAGCAGAGUCGACCCUUGGCCAAUCCAAGAAAGCCUAUACUUCCGGCUGAUUCUUUUAUAAAAAAAUAUUUGGUCCUCAAUUAUUCAAAACUUGUCUUAGUCUGGUCAGACUGAUCGUAAAGUCUUAUGUGGCGCUUUUAGUCCCCAUUCCGUGUUCGAAUCUGCAAAUUGCCUUAGUUGUUGGGUCUAUAUGAAAAACGUUGAGAGUCUUUAGAUUUCUGGUAGUCUAUACUCUUAAGGGAAAAAUAAACUUCCUUGGCAGCCUGUUAUAAUCUUAUUUCUUGGACCCAACAGUACGAACAAUGAAAUCGCACUACACAAAACCAAAGAGAAUAUAAUACAGAGACAACAUAAACAACAAACGAUAUUAUUAUGCAAAGAGCAGACAUUACAACUCGAACACUGAGACAUUACAUUAUGAAACUUUAUUCCCAUAGAUUCUUUUUCUUGAGUUACUUCAUUACAAACUCACCAUGGUUCACUUAUAGUCAUACACACGUAUAACUGUAUUAUAUAGAUGUAGCCAUGCAUGGUGGUUAAUAUAAUAUGAAGUUUUUAGUUACCAGGCUGAGUCUCAACUGCUUCUACUCCGUGCCCUCCUCUUCCUCCGUGUCCACCGCGUCCUCCUCUUCCUCCUUUGUAUCCUCCCCCUCCUCCUCCGUAGUGUCCCCCUCCUCCUCCGUAGUGUCCUCCUCCUCCUCCUCCUCCGUAGUGUCCUCCUCCUCCGUAGUGUCCUCCUCUUCCUCCUCCGUAGUGUCCGCCGCGGCCACCACCAUAUCCAUCAGGUUUCACAGUUUCCUCACUCUCUGACUUCACCCCUGUCCAAAAAAAUAUAGAAAAAUCACAUUAUUUCAAAGAUAUUGUUUAGCACGUGCAAAUGUUCUUUCCUCUCCCCGAUUUCAAAAACGAAAUUUCUCUUAUAAACAUUUUAAAAUAUGUAUCGAAUCUCUUGUUUAGAAUAAAGAAUUAUGAGUUUCAAAAUUAAAUAUACGUUCUAUAUAAAAUUUUCACCAAUAUACGUAAGUGUCUUUUAUUACUAGGACAUCAACAUCGUACUUAAGUGUGUUUUUUGACUUAUAAGUCCAUAUAGUUGACCUUCGUUCAAAUCAACCUUCCGGACUUAACACGGACGAAAUAGACAAAUAGAGACAAUAUUAUCAAAUAUGGUACGUUUGUUUGGGUUCGAUUAGCUUCACGAACAUUUAUUUUGUUUCUAUAAAAUAAUUUUAUUUACCCGAUGAUUGCCUUUCUGCGGCAACUUCUGAGACGACGAGAAGUAAUGCAAAGAGACCCAAAAGAAUCAAAGCUUUGGAAGCCAUUUUCUUCUACUGCUUUUAAGUUUAUAACACUCUUUUGUUUUGUUGGAGAAAGAAGUGAUGAAUAAAAUGUUCGCCUGCAUGCUCUCUAUUUAAAGAAAGGGUAACGAAGAGGAGAAAAGUCAAAUAACUAAUCCGUGGACCGUAGUGCAUUAAAAAUAACGAGGAAUUUUAUUUAUUAAAGAGAUAAGUAAGGGUAUUUGCAUUAUUUGCAGAUAAUGACAAAAAGAGCAAUUCAGUAAAAUAGGAUUGAGACUGUGCUUCGCGCGGAUUGUAAUUUAUGUUCAUGUUUUUAUAUAUUUUAUAUAUUAUUUCUUAAGAAAUAAUUUGUUGAUAAUUUUUUCUUAGUUUAAUAGUUUUAUUUUUAAGUUUACAUUGUAUUAACAAUAUCUGUGUUCUGUUAGUUAUUCUUACUGGUAGAUUAAAAACUCUAUAAAUUAAUAAUAUUAGGACUUUGAUAUUUUAUUAAUUUUUAGAGUUAUUAAUUUAGAGGUUUCAAAUAAAAAACUAUUUCUUAUUAAUUUUAAAAUUAAAAAAAAAUCGUUGAAAUUUAUAAUAUUUUUAAAAAAUUAAAAAAAAUAAAAAUGAGUUCCAAGAAGACUUCAAUUUAAAUUAAACAAAAACAUAGUAGAUUAUCUCACUUAUAUGUUUAUAUCAAAUUUUAUUUAUGGUAAUUAUUAAUUUAUGAUAAUAAUGGGACCAUAGAUUUACAUAAGAGUUUUGUUAAGUUUAUUAUCUUAUUAUCUUAUCGAAUUGUGUCAUAAUUUGAACUGGCUCAACGUAACUCAGAACUAUGAAAAAUUAUUAAUUUAUGUAUUUAUUAAUUUAUCGAGUAUUAAUUUAUAGAGUUUUUAUUGUAUGUCUAUAUAAAAAUAGUUUUUUUAAUUAUAUUAUUAACUUCUGUAAUUUUUUAUUUUGUGUGUUUUUAUAUUUUAUCUGUACUAUUGUGUGACUCUAAUUAUAAUUAUUUAAAUUAUUUUUUUAUUUUUCUUAAUUUAUACUCUCUAAAUUAUUAUUUUUUAAUUCAUACUCCGUACAAAUUUUUAUUUUUAGUCAUCUAUUAUUUUGAAUUGUUGAAUAACUAAUUUAUCAUAUUUUUCUUUUUUUGAAAAAAAAAUUUAUACUCCUUUUCCAUCUUCAUAUUUUUAUAAUUUAUUAGUUUUAUCUUUUUUUUUUUUUUUAUCUUUAACGUUUCUGUUUUUGUAUUUUAUAAAAUUCAUCUUCAUUAGUUUCAUGUUCUUCAUUUUUUUAUUUAUUUUUUUCAUUUUCCAAUGGUUUUUGACUUCUACUUUUCUUCCUCCUGUUUUUUUUUAUUCUUUUUUCAUUGUCUUUUUUUUUAAUUAUCAUCAUUUUUCUAAUUUUUUUCAGUUUAUAUAAUAUAUUAUUUUUAAUAAUAUAUAUAUAUUUAAUCCAGUUAGUAUUACAGUUUUCUUUAAAUAUUAAUAUCUAAUUGCCACUUAUCUUUUUAUUAUACUAAUAUUUAUUUUAUUUAAUUUAAUUUGUACUAAAUAUACUAAUAACAAAUAUAAAUAUAUAUAUAUAUAUGUAUUAAAUGUUUAUUUUAAAUAUGCUUUAAUGUUAAAAUUUAUGAGUUUGUUGAUGUGGACACCCUAGAUGGAGAUAAAAUUCUCUUAUUAUAUUACAGAUUAUAAAAUAUUUGUUCUUUCUCAAGGGAACAAAAAUACUUUUUUAUUUUUUUGUUGAAUGUUUCAUUUGAUUGUUAAGGGAAAAAACAGUUUUUUUGUCCCAUAUCGUGUUACAUUUUUAUAUGGACAGGUAAUUUUUUUUUUUUAGGGCUAAACAAAUUUUAUAUAUUAAGAAUAAGGAUUACAAUCUGCAAAUACAGCAUUAGACAACCAUAAAGGUGGAUACAAUUUUGAUGAAUAAAAAACAGCAUUACACAACCAUAAAAGUGGAUACAAUUUUUAUAUGGACAGGUAAUUUAUUGAUUGGAUUUUUUUAUACAGUUUAUUAAAAUAAUUCGAAUGUUUCUCCUCCACGUAUCAUGCUACUUUCUAUUGAAUGAAACCUUUGUCUCAACUUUAAUUUUAUAUUUGAAGUAUAUAAAUAAUUUAGUGCGUUAAAUAUCGGUUUAUUUAUAUAUUUUUUUCUUGAUGGUUUAUUUGUGUUUGAGAAUUUUUUUUUUUUAACAUUUUCUUAGAUUAAUUAAAGAAAUCCAGCCGGUUAAAGCAGUACAGUGAAGCUGUAAAGAGCUCGUUCUGCUAUCUCAUCAGUUAAAAGAUUGUCUGAUUGAGGAAUGUGUUCGAAAAAGAUGCAAUUGAAACAGAGUGACAGAGAGACUAUAUCGAAAGUAAUCCCCGCGAUCUCUUUGAUUUUUGUCCCUCGAUUGAUUGCUCUGAUCAGAUCCGAAGAGUCCGAUUGGACAUGAAGCUUUGUGAUCCCGAGAUUUGUGGCGUGAGUCAUGGCAGAUCUCAGGGCUAGAGCUUCAGCGAUGAUCGGGGAGGUCACAAAUUCUUCGAUAUCCAUACCCUGGUUCCAUGGUGGCGAAUUUCCUCAACGGAAAACCCAACCCAAUCUGCCGAUCUGAUUCUCUUCCUUCCAGGCCACAUCGGUUUGCACAAUGGUAUGGUCUGUUGGGAUUUCCUUCGGAUCUCAUGUUUGAAGAGUUGAAAUCUCCCUUUCCUGUAGGUCAUGUGCCUGAAUCCAAUCUCUUGCAUUGCAGAUGGCUUUGUUCACCGUUUCUAAUGGUGUGAAUGUUCUGUUCUCGAACAGUCGGUGGUUCCUGGAUAACCAGAUGGCCCAGCAGAUCCAGGGGAAGAGUAGUCCGGCUUCUAUUCCUGUUGGAGGUAGAGUGACCCAUCCCUUCGAUGCUUUGAGCCCUGUUGCAAAAUCCGGAAUGAAAAAGGGAUCUAUGGUGUAUUUGAAGGGCGCCAGUGACCAAACCGCCUUGGCGAAGUGACAGUAGAGGAAAAGGUGGUCAGCUGUUUCUCUUUCUCUGCAUAGACUGCAGGAAGCGUUGUUGGAGAGUCCCCCGGUAAGUAGAUUUGCUCCAGUUGGUAGUGCUUUCUUGAGUAUCUUCCAUAGAAAGACCUUUAGUUUUAGGGAAGUUUUCUUAUGCCAGAUAUCUGAGUUCCAGUUAAUUGUGGUUGUCUGUGCAUGAGAGAGUGGUUACUUCAUUCGCUGAUGUGUCGCUGUGUGGUAUCCUGACUUGGUCGAAUAAUUUCCAUCUCUGUUUGGGGUCCAAAUGUAAGAGUCUUCUCCGCCUCUUUUGCUUGGUUUUAUGCUUAAGAUCACAGAUGAGAGGUGUGGGACAAUAACUUCAAUCUUUCUUGUGUCCCAGGUGGUUGAGUUCUCUUUUAUUAGGUCUGAGACCAGCAGAUCUUUAUUGGCGUUGGUGGGAAGGCCAACUACUCCUAGCAGUGAUGUCGUCGAUAGCCAGGGAUCGGACCAUAGGUUGGUUUUUCGUCCAUUUCCAAUUAUUUUGCUUAUAUUUGAUUGCAGGAUAUCUUUGCCAAUCAUGAUUCCCCUCCACCCGUGGGAAGAGGAAGAUGUUGAUUCAGCUCUGAGGAAGGUUGUGGACCGGUGGUAUCUUCUUUUGAGAACUCGGGCCAGUAGACACUAUGGGUUUAUCAAGAUUCUCCAACUCAGUUUGGCCAGUAAGGUGUCGUUGAAGCACUCAAUGUCACAGAAACCAAGACCACCCUCUUUCUUUGUUCUUGUUAGCUUUGACCAUGCUAGCCAACACAUUUUUCUUUUUUCAGGGUUGGCGUCCCACCAAAAGCGAGUAAGAGCGGAUUGGAUGCGUUUGCAGAGACUUGCAGGGAGCUUGAAGCACGACAUCGUGUACGCUGGGAUGGCUGAGAGAACUGUCUUCAGCAUCGUGAUUUUACCCGCCGAUGAUAGAAAUUUUGUUGACCAACUCGUUGACGUAUCCUGUCCACAAUCUGAGUAAAGAGGUCUUUUUUCCUUCUCCCAAAAUGUUCGGGUAAGCCAAGGUACUUCCCUUUACCUCCCUCUUGACUGAUUCCCAGAUCCUGUUUAACUCUUUCUCGUACAUCAUCAGGAGUUUUGCAUGAGAAUGUAAAGGAUGAUUUUUGUAGAUUGAUCUUCUGUCCCGAGGCUUCUUCAUAUUUCCUGAGAAUUGCCAUGAGUUCUGCGCAGGCUUGGGGGGAUGUUUUACAAAAGAACAUUGUGUCAUCCGCAAAUAGUAAAUGGUUUAUUCUUGGGCUUUCUUUUGCAACUCUAAUGCCUGACAAGCGGCCAUUCUGUUGAGCUUUUUUGCAGAGACCAGAGAGCACUUCACCACAUAUGAUAAAUAUAUAGGGUGAUAGUGGAUCACCUUGUCUGAUGCCGCGUUGAGGGAGGAUUGGAACGUACGCUGGGUCAUUCACCAGAUACGAAUAGGAGACUGAGGUGAUGCACAUCAUUAUCCAAGUAAUCCACUUCUCAUUGAACCCAAGCCUUUUCAGCACCGUUUCAAUGAAGCCCCAUUCCAGGCGAUCAUAUGCCUUACUCAUGUCAGUUUCAACUGCCAUGAAGCAGUGUUUUUUCUCUUUAGAUCGUUUGAGGAAAUGUAGAGUCUCAUGUGUUAUCAUGACAUUGUCUGAUAUGACCCUUCCAGGGACAAAAGCUGAUUGGGAUUCUGAAAUGUUUUUUUUCCAGGAUAGGUUGGAGCUGCUUGGUGAGAAUCUUCGAGAAGAUUUUGUAAAAGACACUACAGAGUGCGAUUGGCCGGUAGUCGGAGACUGUACGUGGAGCAUUGUGUUUUGGUAUCAGCCGAACCAAAGUAUGGUUGAUGGAGCUGGGGAAAGAUCCGGAACUAAAGAAACUUUUGAUCUCUGAAGUUAUUGCAGGGCCUACUGUUGUCCAGUUUGAUCUGAAGAAAGAUGCAGAAAAGCCAUCAACUCCUGGAGCUUUAUCCAGAUAGAUGGAGAAGAGAACAUCGUUUGAGAAUAUCAAAUAAAUAUAUUUUAAAAGUUUUUAAAAAAUUAACUGCUACAGUUUCUACUUAUAUUUUUAUUAAUGCAUUUUAAAAACUUAAACCAGUUCAAAAAUUGAAACCAAAUAGUAUUAAAUUUGUAUACUAUAUAAAAAAAAAAAAUACACACUACUACCGAUAAAGUAAGCUACUAGUUAAGCUCAUUGCUUAGUCUUGUUGUACUUCUAGUUUGAUUUACAAUGGAAAUAGAAAAGAUGUUUUACGCCAUAUCAUAUAGUAUUAGCAAAGACUAGUCCCAAGAGAAGAGAAGUUGUAAGAAGGAUUAAGAUCAUGAAAAAAUACACACUCUAUAUUAAUCAUAUAUUUACCAUAAUAUUUUUUCAGUUUUCAUCAAUUCUAACAGUUUAUUUACAAAAACUAUGUAUCCGUGUAAUCUCCUUGGUUUAGUGAUUGACCAUAGAUUUAAUUUGAUUCCAAAACGAUGCUAGUUAAUGGAAUGCAAUUUUAUAGAAGGUUUAGCAUGGUGCAAAUAGAGCUGUUCGUCAUAAUUCAUCAGUCAAAGUAAAACUGCCCAUCACAAACAUGGUACAUGUAGAACCAUUUAUCGUGGAUUCUUGUAAAUAGAUAAAGAAAAUCAUUGUAUAGAAGCAUUUGUAUAAUUGUUUUCAUAAUUUAUAAUCCUUUAUACAGUAUUAAUCAAUUAGGGUUGAUAAAAAACAGUAGUUUCACAUUUAAUUUACAAAUAAGUCAUCUGAUGUGUCAUCGCCAUAAAACUUCUCCAAAAAAAAGUUAACUUACUAGAAUAAUUACAUUCAUGUCAUUUAGAUUACAUUCAUGUCAUUCACAUUUAAUUUACAAAUAAGUCAUCUGAUGUGUCAUCACCAUAAAAGUUCUUCAAAAAAAAGUUAACUUAUUAGAAUAAUUACAUUCAUGUCAUUUAGAUUUAAUACAUGCAUAUAUAUAUAUAUAUAUAUAUUAUAAUGAGAUUUAUGUAGAAUAUUAAAUUAAUAUUAUUUUUAAGUUUAUUCAUUUCUAUAAAAAAAAAUUAAUUUUUAUUUUUUGUCUCCAAAUUAUAUUACUUUGAUUCAAAGGGUUAUGAUUUUAUUUUCAAAAUUUCUUUUUUAUUGUGACAAUACAAGUUCAAUAUUUAUUUGCUCAAUAUAAUUUUUUAUUACAAAAUCUCUUAUUUUUCAUAUUUAAAUUCAAAUUUAUAUAAUGGAAGAUCUAACCUUCAUAUUAUUUUUAUGAUUAUUCAAAUGUAAAGCAUGUAAUAUAAUUCGCACACGUUUACUAAUGAUUAUUGAGAUAUAAAAAUAUAAUAGUGUUUAAUGCUAAAGGUCUCAUCAAACUAUAUUCUGAUUUGAUUAUAUCGUUUGAUGCUAAUAUAGUUUUAUGCUAUUGGUCUUAUCCAGGGGUGGAUUCAGAAAAAAAUUUAGUAGAUAGCAUAAUUUUAUAAAUAGGGAAAAACAAUUUUUUAUAUGAAAACAUAGUAUUAACAUAUAAUUUUAAUGAAAUUAAGUUAACAAUUGGAUUGUUUCAGCUUUUACAACUACUUUUAUAUUCAAAUAAGCUUUAAAGAUUGAAUUUUUUUUUCUUUUACUUUUUUUAUUAACAUGAGCAACAUAAUUUUAAACUAUAGGGAUUUUUUCCUUUUUAUCACUAAAUUAAGAACAUUUAAAUUUAAUUUACCAAAACUAUUUAGGAAAAAUAAAAACGGUAAGGGAAACAUGACCCGAUAUGGUCUUUACUAUGUCCGCCUCUGAUCUUAUCAAUCACACACGUACAAAGAGAUAUUCACGUGACGAGUUGCAUAUUUUAAUUUAAAAUUGAAUAAAUUUUUUUACAGAAUACUAUUUAUUUUACAUAUUCGAAUUCAAAUCAGAAUAUUUUUUAUUCAAAUAUAAUUGUAUUAAAUUUUAUAUUUAAAUUCAAAUCAAAUCAAAUAAAGCUUUUAUUUCUAAUCAUAAGAAAGUGUAUAGUUAAAUCAAAUUUUAAUAAAUUUGCAACUAACAUAUAUCUGCAGGGAUUAUUCAAUUAGAACAAGGUUUAUAUAGAAUAAAUAGAUUUUUCAUGGUAAGAGUAAUUUUCACUAUUGGUACUCCUUAUGGAAAGAUAAAUUGUUGCUAUUAAAUAAUUAGAUAUUAAAUACAAAAUUACGUUUUCUGAUUGAAGAGACAUUUGAUUUCGAAUUCACAUUCAAAUCUUCUUAAUAUGUGGGAAACCCUUGAUUUCCAGCACUAUUUAAUCGAUAUCGAUUAGCACCCUUUCUUAUGAUUAAACAAAUACAUACUAAUAUAAUUUUUAAAUAUUUCAUUUGCAAGACCGAGAUUACUACCUACAAGAUAACUACUUAGGCUAUUAAAAAGCUGACAAAAAGGCUAUUAAUAAAAAUAAAACUAUCAUUCUUAGGGAUUUACCAUAUGCUUCAUACAGUGUUUCCUUAAGAGUUACACUUCUAUUUGUCCAUUUACCGGUGAUAUUUUCCUAUUUUUAUUAACUCUAGCAAUUGUCAAUUACUUAAAAUAGGUUAUUACCAGCGCAGAAUAAAUAUUAAUCAUAAUUUUUUAUUUAAAUAUGUAAAUAUAAUGUAUAUAAGUACAACUAUAAAAAUGUUAGCUGAUAUUUUUAAUUACAACUAUAUAUGCUGAUUAUGCAAUCAUAAAUAAUAAUUAAAAUUACAUUUAUUUUGUAAUACAAAUACAUAAAUGCUAAAUAAUUAUUAGUUUUAUAAUUAAUUUUAAUAAUAUUUUUUAUAUGACUGAACUUACACAUUAAAUAUACUAAAUUAGAUUAAUAUGUUCUAUCUAACAGGUCUAACAUCAAACUAAAAUACUUUGCUUUUGAUAUAAAAAAUUGAAUUAUAAUAUGUAUGAAAAUAUUUAGAUUAUUUUAUUAUUAAAUAGAUAAUGUAAUUAUUGUUUUUUAAAGAAAAGUAAGAUCAAAUAAAAGACAAAAUACAAAAUAUAAUGUUUAGAAACAUAAUUAAUGUUAUGUAUUAAAAUUUUAUAAAUGUGAUAAGAAAUAGAAAUAGAAAGAAUAUCUUUACAAAUUAAAUGUUUGAGUAUUAAAUAUAUAAUUGACAUAAAUUAAUUUCUAACCAAAUUAAUGUUAGUGGCAUAUGAUAUACUUAAUCUAGUAAGUUUCUUUUUUUUUGAACAUUUAUUAAUCUAGUAAGUUGACCAUACUUUUUAAAAAUCUAUAAAAAACUCUCUGAAAUUAACACCUCAAUAUGACACUUAUGUAAAUAAUACAUAAGAUAAAUGUUUUUUUUAAAGCAUUUUUAUCAAUUAAUAAUAUAUAACUUUUCAUUUCAUCCCGUGAUUUACCCAGUCCGUCCUAAAAUUAAAGUGGUAAGAUGAUGAUAAGUAUAUGUCUACGUUGCAUCGGUCCCCUUAUGGUGGGUUGUUGGAUCCAUCAGUGAAUAAUUUGAAAGUCUAUAAAUGGCGAACCCCACCAGUGUUUUAGACUGUUUCUUAUUAAUGUCUUUUUUUUUUUGGCAGUCUUAUUAAUGUCUUAAACACAGCACAAUCACACACGUAUAGAACUAUAGAUAUCUAGAAAUUCCAUUAUUGGAUUAUAAUUGAUUUUAUUAUGACGGAUUCUUUUGGACACAAAAGCUAGCCGACGUCUUCUUUGAAAAUUCUCACAACCGACAGAUUUUAAACAGCCGUAUAGAGACAAAGGCAGUGAGAGUAAAGCAUAGAGUGACAACACGUAGUAACUACAAAGAAUUGACUUUUUAAAGGGUGCAAAAUUUUGCCUGGCUAUAUUUAAUCGUUAUACUUCUUUUUAUGGAUAAUUGCUUGGCUAUAGUUAAUUUAUGCCGACUGCUACCAAAAUAUCGAUCAAAGUCACCUAAGCGUAGAGAAAGCUUGAGAUUUACGUAAUUAUAAUUCAUUUUUUUCAAAUCUAAAUAUUCAAAAAAUUGAUUAUAAUAUGUAUGAAAAUAUUUAGUUUUUUUUCAAAUCUAAAUAUUUAGUUUUUUUUCAAAUCUAAAUAUUAAAUAUACUAAAUUAGAUUAAUACGUUAUAUCUAACUAAUCUAACAUCAGAUAAUUUGUUUUUAAUAUAAAAAAUUUGAAUUAUAAUAUGUAUAAAAAUUGUAGUUUUCAAAUGAGCGUAGAUAUAUAGUUUUCAAAUUAAGCAUGUUUAUUUCAUAUAUCAGAUUGGAUAGUAUUUGAUUGAGAUACAGGUUGUCAUGUAGUUUUCAAAUUAAGUAUGUUCAUUCCAUGUAUUGGAUUGGGUAGUAUCGGAUUGGGAUACGGGUUGUCAAGCCCAGACCCGAACCUCAAAACUUUUGGGUUAAGAACGAGAAUAAAAAUUAUGGGUUAUAAAUUUGGGAUACGGAUUGUCAAGCCCAGAUCCGAACCUCAAAACUUUUGGGUUAGGAACGAAAACAAAAAUUAUGGGUUAUAAAUUAGUUAUUCUAAAAAAGAAAAAAAUGUUAAUAAAAAGGUUAGAAUGAUCGAACUUCUCACCUUGAAUAUGUUAUUUUCAAACAAUAACUAGUUCCACUACUGAAGAUUAUAGUAAAAACCGGUCAGAAAAUACAUACUUUAUAUAUGGUUGGCAACACAUGCUUCCUUACCUUCUAUCCAAAAUCCAAUUUUAUACCAGUAUUUGGGGAAGAUCCAAUUAAGCAUGUUCAUUCCAUGUAUCAGACUGGGUAGUGAGAAGAUCAAGAGAUUGUUGAACAGUUCUUAUGUUGUAUAAUUGUAAAAGAACCGAUUACAAUAUAUAUAUAGAAGCUUUAGCUUAAUCCUCAAGUUAAAGAUAAACACAAAUAAGGAAUAUUUAAGAUUUUCUAAAUAUUUUCUCAUACUCUCCCUCAAGAUGGCGAGUGGAGAUCCCGAACUUCCAUCUUGCCAAAAAUAUAAGAAAAUUGAAUUCGUCCAAGUGCUUUAGUAAACAAGCCUGCAAGCUGUUCAUGUGUGCGAAUAUAAGCCGGUGCGAACUCCUGCUUGGAAGGCAUCACAAAUAGUGUGACAGUUGUUCUCUAUGGAUUCUGCAGAAUGUCUAGUGCUGCCUUGUUAUCACAGUAAAAAGAAACUGGUUCUGGAUGCUUGAUAUCGAACACAGAAAGAAGCUGGAGAAACCAUUGUAUCUCAGAGAAUGUGUAAGACAUUGCGCGAUAUUCCGCUUCUGGAGAAGAACGAGAGACAACUCUGUUUUUUUUUUUUUUUGUCUUCCAAGAGACAAGGGAAUCACCAAAUAAGAUGGCAUAACCAGUGAGGGACUGCCAAGUUAUCAGACAAGAAGACCAGUCCAAAUCACAAUAAGCAAACAUGUGAAGAUCGGGUUUGGAGUUAAGGAAUAUACCUUGCCCAUGCGUACCCUUAAGAUAUCGUACUACUCGAGUCUCUGAAUCUCAAUGCUUCUUCCGUGGUUUAGUGAGGAACUGAGCGAGUAAAUGGACCGCAUAGCUGAGAUCAGGCCGAGUUACAGAUAAGUAUACUAAGCGUCCAACAAGCCAACGGUAUCUGGAUGGAUUGUCAAAAUAUUUUCCAUCGUCUCCAGCUAGUGUAUGGUUUAGCGUAACCCUCAAGUUAUCCAAUACAUAUUCUGAUAAGCCGCAUUCAGAAACGAUAUCCAAUGAAAUAUUUCUUUUGGAAAUAUGGAUCCCUUUCUUUUCACAAAAUAUUUCCAAACCGAGGAAGUAUUUUAACACGCCAAGAUCCUUUAUAUGAAAACUCUUACUCAUGUAAGCCUUGCAUUUGGAGAUAAGAGUUGUGUCGUUGCCCCCUCUAACCAAGUCAUAUACAUAAACAAGAACAUAGAUGCAAGAAGAGCCACGAUGAUAUGAGAAGAGAGAGUAAUCCUUCUUGUUUUGUACAAAACUAAACCGCAACAACGACGCUAAAAGCUUAGCAAACCAACAACAUGGAGCUUAUUUGAGACCGCAGAGAGACUUUUGUAGUCUACACACUUUGUUUUAAUCGGAUGAAGAGAAACCCGGCGGAAGCUGAUGUGGUGUAUGCGGGGGUAUCAAAUUUUACCCUAAAAGAAAUAAAAGAAAGCCGCAAGUGCACAGCUAAUCAGUUGUAAUACUUAGAGAUCGAAUCCAUAGAGAUUUGCCAAAUAUUUUUCUACGGUCUCGUAGCUUGUUGGCCGUCUUCAAAUGUCUUCGGGGAAAAUGGAAUAUCUUGAGAUCCAACCGUUGGAAUGUCUCCAAAGUAAGUGCAUUUGAAAGCUGGUUGAGUCUUCUAUUAAGUAUCCAAUUUUGGGGAUGAUCAGACGGUGAAAAGCUCUUCAUCUCUCCUUGAGAGUUCUGACGGUCUGAAUUUAUCCAAAAUAGUCUUUUUGUUCCAAUUUUCACCUCUUUCUUCCAAAUUACCUGAAAAGUCUUUAAAAAUCCGAAAACAUAAAAAUCAUUUGAAAACCUUUGAAAAUGGAGUAAAAACACCUGCAAAAUAUAUUACACUGAUCCAUAAAAAUGGUCAAGGUGUUAUAAACUCCCCCAGGCUUAGACUUUUAUUUGUCCUCAAACAAAACAAAGAUCAAAUCUCGGUGAGAGGUUUGAAAACGCAGGAACUAACAAAAUCUCAGAGACCAUACUUCUAGACUAAAAUCAAUCAUUAUGCAUUAACCGGGGAUAACCUAGAAAAUUCUCACUAAAAUACAUGCAUAACUAAUCCGUUGAUCUGUCAUGCGAAAGUAUAUACACUUAGAUCUAACUUCCACUCAACUAGCUCUUAACAUUUAUUAAAAAUCUAUGUGGUUCUCAUCAAAAUAAGUAUAAGCAAGGCGAUUUGGGCUAGGUGUCAAAAAGGCUCUUUUCGGGGUGAGGUUUUAAAGUGUUUUGGGUUACCUUGAUUUUUAGAGAAGUAGGGUAUUAUGCAAAACAGCAAGAGAUAAUGGAGCUGUUGAUAUCUACAGUUUCCAGUCACAUUCUUCUUGCUUUAGAAUCUUUUAUAUUUCUCAGGUUCUCCUUUUAGUUCCCCCAGACUUAGAUUCUUGUCUGGGUUGUAACCGUAACUCCAACAGAUGCAUACUAAUCGCCUUUUGCCUCAAAUAAUUUUGGCCAUCUAAGACUCUUUAGGCUUUUGUUUCUUUUCUUUUCAUUCUUUUUCUUCUCUCUUUUUUCUCUUUUUUUUAGAAGAGGGAAAACACCUUUAGAUAUAGAGUCUUAGAGGACACAAAAAUUUAGCAUUAAGAGCAACCUUUUCGAAGUGUCUUAACAUUGCCGAUGUACCUCCCUUCCAACUCCCAUUUAGUUCUUCUCUUUGGAUGACUGAAAACUGUGCCGUUCCUCCCUCUCCAGCGUUUUUGCUCAUAUCUGCUGAUAUAAGCUAAAGAGAGGAUAUGUGAGGUAUGAAAAAAAAAGGAUUGGGUAAAGGUAUGGUACCAGCUAAAGAUGAACUAGCCAUCUAAGACAACAAAGAGUGGUAAAAAUGAGGGAAAAGGUGUUCUAGAUGUAUAUCUUGAUGCUUGCCUAAAAUCAAUGAUGAGAAACUUAGAUAUCAAUAUUAAGGUGAUGUGGCCAUCAACCCAGCUCAACAUCACAAAGAGACCCCAAUGAUCUUAGACAAACCAGACGGCCCAUCCGAAGCCGAGAGAUGCCUUAUAGAAGCUGAACCGGAGAAAAUGAGCAUAAAGGCGAGCCCAACAGAAACAGAAGUGAAAACUUGGAGUUUCACCAACCAAAUGUCAUCAAUGGAGUCUGUGAUCGAGCCAAAACACUUUUCAGUUGAUCCAGAAAUGAAGUUACCCAAGAAUCAACUCAAACUCUUGGCCAAAGCAUGUUCAAGCAACACAAGAAGACCCAUGCACCUUAUUCAGCACUGAUGAAGUCAGAGAUCAGCUGGUACAGCUCGGCCAACACUUUUAUUACAUUUCUAUCUCAUCCAGUGAACGCCUAGAAGUGGAAUCAGCCCAAUUAGAUCUCAGAGAAAUGAGUUAUUCAGCUUACAAAUCAGGUGAUGCACAACUUCUACGAUUUGAACAUACGUGCCUUAUUUGGAGGUUUCCGACCGAACCAGAAGGAUAUAAGCUGUGAACCGACUUGUUCCCAAUUCUUGAUUCAUCAUAGAAUCGGAGACAGUUGGAAUCAAACCAAUACCGGUUAUGGUUAGAAAUUUAUUCACUUUACAAGUUGGAAGAUCUGUUUCAGACCCAAUUGCGCAGUUAGGCUGAAGAUCUUACUCUACAGCCCAACUCAUCCACGUUCUCAGCCCAAAAUUACUUGGAGAAUAUUUUUUGGUCUUUCUUGGAUCCAACAAGCUCAAGAUCCGAAGAAUUUCUCAUUGGAACUUCAAGUUACACCCAAUAUCCCAAAACGGGUUGACUUGGUUCCAUUUAUGGCAGGUCUGAGCUCUGACUGGUAUAGAUCGCUAUCUACAAGAGUUUGGCGCCCAGGAGAGACUCUAAGGCAACUAAGGAAGCUUAGAAACACCUUACCAUGCACCAGCACCCACAGGAUCAGGCGGAUCGUUUUGCAAGCUUACUUUCCUUAUGUGGCCGCAUUCACACUCGGUGCUAUUAAUCACCAAUAGCUCUUUUCCUUUGAAUGCUACGACUUGGACCCUAAAAACGUCUAGAUACAAAGGCAUCAUCACAUUUUCAUAUUUGGUCGAGAUCCUCUUAUUUAGAGCCUAUCGGCUAGUUUUUGAUUAGCUUUGAUUUGUUUCUUUGUUUUUAGCAUUUUAGAACGUGUAAGAGCAUUAUAUAAGCUCAUAUUAGUCCAUUUGUAAAAACUCAUCUUUCAAUCAAAUUAAUACAGAAGUUUCUUAUUUUCUUUCAAAGUGUGUUCUUUGGAAAAUUGUCUUUUCUUUUGAAUAAAUGUGUGAGAUUCACUUCUAUUCUCUAGAAGCCACGAAUUUAGUUGUUUGUGUUACUCAAAUAACUUGUUCGUUCAUCGAUUGAGAGAGUCAAUCAAACCACCACCUUCCAUCUCAAUAUCACGUACGCCCACUUUCGCAAACAAACUUGUAAACUCUUGAUUAUCUUGUGAACAUAAGAUUUGGUGGAUUCCAAUCUUAUAUCAUUUGGUAUCAGAGCACAAGUUCCUAUCAAAGUGCUUAUGUUCUUUAUCUUUCCCUUUUGUUAUUUUAAUUCAGUCUUUUUUCAUUUUAAAUCAUAAAAAGAAAAAAAAAUUAUUGUUUUGAAAUAUUCUAUGUUUUCUUUAAUUCUAAAAAAUCAGAAAAUAGAAAUAAGAAUUUUCCCUUUUGUUAAUUGCAUUUUCGAAUUUUGUAUCCAAAAAUAUAUAAAUAUAUUUAUCGGUUUUUCUUUUAUUUUUGGUUUUGCUUUAAUUCCAUUUAAAAAUCAGAAAACCAAAUAAAAAUAUCUUCUAUUGUUUUCUUAAAUUUUAUAACUCAGAAAAACAGAAUUUUCUUUUAUUAUUUAAGAUUGUCGAAUUUGUUUAGUUUUUUAAAAAAUCCCUUAUUUUUGAAAUAUUUUGUUGUUUGCUUUAAUUUCAUUAACCAGAAAAAAAAAGAAUUUUUAUUAUUAUUAGAAUUUUGAAUUUGUUAAACAAAAAAAAAAAGAAGAAGAAGAAACCAUUGUUUUAUUUACAUUCUCUUUCUUUCCUUUCUUGCUUAAGCCAAACUUUGAUACGCUUCUUCUUUAUCUCUGCGAGGUACAACCCUAAGGAGCAGCCACCAUGACUGAAUCAGAAGAAGAUCAGUACCAAUUUGAUGGAGACCAAUGGUGUCAAGGAGAAGAGAGUUUAGCUUUUUCCGAUGAGGAGGCUGACUAUGAGUCUCCACCGUGACUAGGAGAUGGCUACACCAGCUCUGGAAUUGGAGAUGAAUCAGACUGUGAAGAGUACGAUCCAGAGCCACCAUAUUACAGCAGAGUCAACACUAAUCAAUCAGCUUAGUCUAGAGAUAAAGAGACAGGCCGAGAAAAAGGUGUAGAAGGUGACCAUGAAGGAGAUCCUUGGCAGGACGAAACUGAGUCUUAAUAUCACGAAGGAAACUACAACACUGAACCAGAAGACAGAGAUGACUCAGAGCAUUGAGAUUUUGACCAUGGAGAACAAGGCCGAUCUUUAGAACCUUACCAAAGGCCAAGGUGCGAAGUAACUGAUUCUGAAAUCAGUUCAAUAGAUGCUGACAAUACUGAUGGUGAGUCUUGGAGCCACGAGACAGAGCUAAAAAAAAGCAUGGUUGAUGGACCAGAGCUUGACGAGGAGGAACAAGAGCCAAAUGGAGACAACAUCAACUACACUGAACAAGACUAGCCAGAUGGUGCAACAACAGAUGAUGAGGUAGAUGAUGAGCCACACCACAUCUAUUUUUCAGGUCAUGAACAAGGACCAGAAGCUUACCUAUAGUGGGAGAGCGAAAUAGAGUACAUGAUGAAGUCACAAAACAUUCCUAAGGAUCAGAGACUUUCAUAUGCACUUGACUCGUUUGUUGGAGAAGCUACUACAUGGUGGGAACAAGAGGAAGUUGUGGCCAACUAUAAUAAUUCUGCCAUCACUUGGGGUAAUCUCAUGCAGCGUAUGUACAAAGAGUUUGUACAGAAGUCCCAAAACCGCAGCUACAUUCCCAAGAGGCUAAUGUUCAAAACAGCUACAAAGAGGUGGAUGUCUACGCCAAAAUCGCAGCCUGUUUCUAAGUCAAAGAAAGCUUGCUAUUCUGAGCUAAAGAAAGUGUCUCAAAGCACUUUGGAAAAGAAGAUAGAGGUUAAGAAUCCAGUGGGAGCAACAGGAGUUAAACCAGCCUCCAAACAGCCUGAUCACUACAAGAAAAACACCGUUUUACAACGGCCAAAACCUUCGUAAGUUCAUUGUAAAAGUCUUAUUACGACGAACAAGCGACGGUUUGGAAAUUUUCGUAAACUUAUCGUCGUAAAUGACAUUUCGUCGUAAAAGCGUCGUACAAUCUAGGACGGUUAUAAAUCGUCGUAACAUCGACGUAAACUAAACGUCGUAAAAGCGUCGUAAUGGUUACGAUGACUUUACAUCGAUUUGUCUCAAUUUGGUUUUCAGCGUAACCGUCGUAAAGUCGUCGUUACCGACGUAGGUUCGUCGUAUAAUAUACGAUGUAUAUAUCAUCGUAAUUCGAUCAUAUUAAUUUUUUUCUUUUCGACAUAAAACCGUCGUAAAACACUGACGUAUAUGUGUCGUACAAUACGUCGUAUAUUAUACGACGAAUAUUUGGUUGUAAUUGGAUCGUAUGGUUAUAUAUAAUCUUACGACGAUUUUACGACGAUUUAUUAAAUAAAUAAUAAAUAUAUUACGACGAUUAUACGAUAUUUUUUAUAAAUAAAAUUAAAAAAACAUUUAAUUCGAAUUAAAAUUUUAAUUAAAAAAGAAAUAAAUUUAAAUUUAAAUUUAAUUAAAAUUUAAAAUAAAAAAAUUUAUAUUAAUUAUAAAAUAACUUAUCAAAGAUCUAACUCUAAAAUAAUGUCGUCUAUCACCGCAUCGAUCCGCUCCGGAUCCCCAUCUUGCUCCACAGGUUUCUUGCCGGCUCUUCGGUUGGAGGUAUCCGGCACCUGAUCCCCGGCUCUAGGAGGAUCAACCCCGAGAGACCGGAACAUCUCCUCGUCUGUCUGCACUGGUGGUUGCCUCCUAGAGGAUGAAGACGAUGUCCCGACGACUCUAGCUGCCCGCAACCUAUCCAACUGCGUCUGGGGCAACGGGUUGUCGGCCCCCAUAAUCUCGAAGAGACCGUACAACUGGUCGAUCUUCGUCUCGUACAGCGUCCGCAUCUGAUGGAUCUCCUGGCGGAUAACGACUGGAUCCCAUGCCUGGACAUGUCCAGUCGCUGUAGCGAUUGGGGUAUCACGGAUGGAUCCCAUCCCUAAAACCUGGCCCUUCUUCCGAGGGGCAACCUUAAAAAAUGUAGAAAACUUAUGUAAAACAGUACAAUAUAUAGUUAAAUUUAAACUAAAUAGAAAAAAUAAAGUAAAUUAAACUUACCUCUUCGAAGAUCUGGUCCAUCUCCGCCACCGUCAAUAUCGGGGUGGACUGGACCGAGCUACUUCCGGGAGAUGUCGGAGGUGCCUGCUGGGUGAGCUGUGUAUGCUGCUCCUCAAUCCUCGCACAUGCGGCGUUGUAGAUCUCUUCCGCUCGAGGAUCCGUGAAUUCGCCGUUCUUCUUCUUAUGGGUCUCGGCGAAAACCUUCGUCAUCGGAGGAAGUUCUCCCCCGUUUUCUUCGACCUACAAAAUCAAUUUGAAAUUAUUAAUAAGAUAAAUAAGGUUUAUUAAAAAAAAACUUAUUAAUAAAAACUUACCAUCAUAAGUCGUCUCUCGGCGAAAGGAACCUGGCCGGAAGUGUGUGGGACGUUCUUUAGAUUUCCCACAACGUCAGCAACGUUCCUGAAAAUGAAAUAUUUAGUAAUUAGAUUUGUAAUUAAAAAUAUAAUAUUAUAAAUUAAACACAUUUUAAUUUAAUUUACAAAUAUACCUGGAUGUGGAACACUUGGCGGCAAUAGUCUGGUUGUUCGGGGUCAACCAAUGAUGCACCUCCCAGACGGUAUCGGCCAUUGGCGUGGCUUCUCCUUGUUGCCGUCGACCUCCCACUUCCGCUUCCAGUCAGAAACGGUGUUGUUGAGCCGGAACUUGACCUUUUCAUUGAAGGCCGUCUUCACACGUUCGUGUGCGGAAGUUUUCCAAGGCCAGUUUUGCUACAAAAAAAAAAGAGUUAGUAAUUAUUGUAAAAAAAAAAUAAAAAAUAAUAUAAACCAUAAUUUUAAAUAACUUACCGCGAAACACUUGAACCAAGUGUCAAUAGUUUCCUGAUCCAGCUUCUUCCAGCUGGUAUGGGGUUGUACGAAUAACCCCUUGAUGAUGUCGGAAACGUUACGACCGACUGCGUUAUCGGUCGUAAACCUAGUCAUUAAAAAAAAUUUGGUUAGAUAUUUAAAUUAAUUAUAAAUAUAAAUCUUUUAAUGAAAAAUUUGUAAAAAAAAAACCAAAAAUCGUACCAAAACAUCCCCGGAGCUCGAUCCGGAUAGAGUUUCUUCAUACUCCCACGACCCGGUUGCCGUAGAAGAUCCUCAACCGUAUAUUGGACAUACGGUUCAGGCGGUAUCGGGGCUGCGGCUGGUGCAGGUGCUGCUGGUUCGGCUUGUAGUGGUGGAGGCGGUGCAGGCUGUGGUACAACAAUUGGUUGUGAAACUGUACGUUGAGGAUGGCGGACCCCGUAGCUAAGGUGGACGGAGCGGUAGCGUCUGGAUCAACCAUCUCCCGAUAGUGGAACCUCUUGGUCCGGAGAGCUAUCUAAAUAAUCUACAAAAUUAAAUUAAAUAUAAUUACUAAUUAAUCUAUUUAUUUCUAAAUUCCAGAAAUUCCGAAUCUUACUAAUUCCCCUAAUUAUAUCUAUAUAAGGAUUAAAAUUUGAACAGGAAUAUAAAUUAUAAUGAAAAAACUAAAAAAAACUUACAAAUUAAGACUGGAGAGGAGGGAGAGCAAGAGAGAGAGAGUCUUUGUAGAGAGAGAGAGGGAAGUGAGGAAUGAGAGAUGAUGGAGGAAAACUCACGUCCCUUAUAUAGAUUUUGUGAUCGUUGUAAAAUCGUCGUAACGUUACGACGGUUUUACGACGAUUUGGUUGUAUAAUCAUCGUACCAGUGCAUGACACGACACGUGUCAUGCUCACAUCGUUUGAGUAUUACGACAAUUUUACGAUGAUUGUUCAUCAAACUAUCGUAAAACCGUUGUAAUAGGCCAACAUAUAUACCCUCGUACCUCGGAUCUGGAGCCAAUCCGGCGGCUGUCAGAUGUAUGAUCGUCAUUAAUGUUACGACGGUUUAAUGAACAUUCGUCGUAAAAACAUUGUAAUUUUACGACGUUUGUACGAUGGUUUUAUGAUGGUGUUUAAAAAAGUUAUCAAACCCUAAAUCUCUCAAAAGACUUAUUGCAUUAAGGACAACCCAAAGCUGAUUUUAAACUAACAUAUUACAAUAGGUUCAUCACUUUACAUGUAUGACUGAUUUAGUACAUGAGAUAACAAAUAUAUCAACCAUCUUAUCUAAUAUAUAACUUUUUACUUAACAUUUACAAAAACAUGCAUGAACUAGUAAAUAUGUAUGAUUUUUUUUUCAAAUUUCUGAUUUUGAUCAGAUUGAAUACUUUUCAUAUCAAAUAAGAUAACCUAUCAAAAACAUUUGUGAAACAUGUUGGAAAUUCAUCCGGAUCAUUCGGGUCCACCUAAUCAGAAAAAAUCUUGCUUUAAUUUCUUAAUUUUGCAAAUAUGCAUGCAACCAUAUAUGUUGGAUAUCAAAGUCUUUUAAUUUAUAUUUUAUACGUAAUUGCGUUUUUAACCACUAGGCAUAAUGUUUUUGAUCUUUACGAUCAUUGAUUUCAAUUUCAGAAACCCCAUAGAUGCAUUCUUUAACCUCAUCAACGAAUGUCCUGAAAAAAUAACUAAUAAUUAAUUAAGACUGACAGUAGGAUAUACGUAUGUGCACUGAGAUAAUCUUUUUCAUUGGACCCCCAAACUUCCUUCAGUUUUCCACUAAGACGUCCGAUCGGCGAGAAUAUGUCAAGUACACCCUUAACUGUAUAUGUAUGGCCUCUUCAAUCAUCAUAUCGACGAGUAGCUCUUUUUCGUGUUCGUACUUUUGGUGCAAAAUAGUACGGAUACAUUCACCUGUAUUGAACCGGUCCACCGAGCUCUGCUUCGUGAGGGAGAUGAACAGGAAGAUGUUCCAUAACAUCAAAAAAUGAUGGCGGGAAGAUCUUUUCCAAAUCGCACAAUAAUAUUGGAAUAUUCGAUGCCAGUUGUGCUAUUACAUCAGCUGAUAAUGUUCGUGUACUAAGAUCCUGGAAAAGUUCACCAAUGCCUCCAACAGCUUCAUAGACAUUUUUGGGCAAGAGUUCAGCAAAUGCAAAUGGAAAUAAUCGUUGCAUAAACACGUGGCAGUCAUGACUUUUUAUCCCUGCAAAUUUACCCUUUUAUCAACAGAUUUAAAAGAUUAGAAACAUACCCAUCAGGAAACUUAACGUAAGAUAAAACCCAUUUGAACAAUGCUGACUUUUGAUCUGCACUCAACCGAAAUACAGAAACUGGUGCUUUCCCGUUUCUCAGUAUAUGAAACUCACUUCUGUUGCAUAAAUCAGGCAAGUCCAUUCUUCACUUACCAUUGUCUUUUGUUCUUCCCGUUACGUUCAUAACUGUAUGCACGAUGUUAAAAAAUUUUCUCAAUGUGCAUGACAUCGAGAUUGUGUCUGAGCAGAUGAUCUUUCCAAUAGGGCAGUUGCCAAAAGAUACUUUUCUUGUGCCAAUUAUGAUGAAAUCCAUAACCUUCAGACAUAUUUGCACGAGUGUGCCAGUUUCCCCCACGCGUUACUGUUUCCUCUGCCCCCCAAUGCUCGAUUUGCGCAAUCAGCUCCUGUUAAAUUUACAGGUGGAGAGAUAUGUACACUUUUGUUCUUCCUAAAUAACCUCUUGUUCCUCCGAUAUGGAUGGUUAUCCGGUAAAAUCCUCCGAUGACAAUCAAACCAACAGGUUUUUCUACCAUGUUUUAGCUGUAACGCAUCAUUUCGAUGAAGACAAUAACAACAAGAUAACCUCCCAUGUGUAUUCCAUCCUGAUAGCAUACCAUAAGCAGGGAAAUCGCUUAUUGUCCAAAUAAGCAUAGCCCGCAUAGUAAAAUUUUUCCCUGUUGAACAAUCAUAUGUGUGAACGCCGGUAUACCAUAACUGAUUCAACUCAUGUAUGAGUGGCUGCAGAAAUACAUCGAGAGCUCGCUUCAGAUGAUUGGGACCUGGAACCAAAAUACUAAGGAAAAGAAAUUCCCUUUGCAUGCACAUAUCUGGAGGAAGGUUAUAAGAGGUUAGGAUUACUAGCCAUAAUCAAUAUUGUCUACCAGACAUACCAAAUGGAGUAAAACCAUCAAUGCACAGACCAAGAUAGACAUUCCGUUUGAACUUAGCAAAAUCUGGGUAUACCGUAUUGAAGUGUUUCCCUUUGCUUCUGAUGGAUGCACAACUUCUUCAUCUACUUGUGUAUGUUCUGCAUGUCAUCUCAUUGAUGCAGCUGUCCUUUCAGAUUGAUAAAGCCGCUUCAACCUAUCAGUUAUAGGGAGAUACCACAUACGUUGGUACGGUAUCCUUUUAUGCCCACCAGUUUGCGGCCUGUAUCUUGGUUUUUGGCAAAAUCGACAUUCCUCCGGCUGAUCAUCAUCUUUCCAAAAAAUCAUACAAUUGUCAACACAUACAUCUAUCAUCUCAGAAGGUAGACCAAGACUAAAAAUCAACUUAUAUAUUUCAUAGUAUGUUGCCGCUGCCAAGUUAUCCUCCGGUAGAUACUCUUUCAGAAGAUCAGCCCAAUCAUCCAUGCAAACCUCAACCAGGUUAUGAUCUGUUUUAAUUGACAUCAUCCUAGCUGCCAAAGAUAAUUUAGACAGAUCUUCUCUACAUCCUUCGUAGAUUGGCUGAUUAGCAUUGUCUAACAAAUCAUAAAAUUGUUUGGCAUCUACAUUAGGUUCCUCAACAUCAUUACCAGUAUGCGUUUCAUGAAAUGCAUCAGUCACCAUCUCAUGCAUCCUAUCAUGAUCUAGACCUUGAUCAGAUUGAUACUGAUUAGGCUGAUGACCAUAAUUUGAUUCAUCAAAAUCAACAUGACUUUGAUAAUUACUACUACUACCAGCAUUCCCAUGAGUAUUACUAUCAUAUCCUUCUCCAUGUAGAUACCAAACAAAAUAUUGCAGCAUAAACCCUCUAUUUAAUAAAUGCGUCCACACGGUUUUGGUUAGUGUAUACCUUGUAUUCUUGUAUUUCAAACAAGGACAAAACAUCUUUGUGGCCUGAUACAUGAAUAUUUCUAACCCGUUCUUGAACUCUUCUGUCAACGCCCCAUCUGAAUCUUUACGCAUAUACAUCCAGCUUCUUAGCUCGUAUAUAGACAUCUUGAAAAUAACUCAAAAAAACUAUCUCUCUCUAUUGUUUAGACAAUAUAAGAGACGGUCUCUUGUGUCACGUGUAGCCGCGUGAAUGGAGAAACCUUUCAAUAUUGUUACUUCUUUUUUCAAAGAAAUUACUACUAAUUCGGGUUUCCAGCAAUGGACAACCCAAUAUAUCAGGUUUUACAACAAUAUAAUAAGGUUUAAGAGACCAAAAAUGGGUCUCCAGGAUGCUGAUGCUCUUUUGUUUGAAUGAUGAUGUGUUGUGAAUGAAAGAAGAAAUGAAGAUGUAUUUAUAACCAAAUUUUGGACUUUACGACGCUUUUACGACAAUUUUUUACAUCCAACCUUCAUAUUACGAUGAUUUUACGUCGAUUGUGCGAUAAAAUAUUUCAUCGACAUUAGUUAGGUAAACAUGUUUUAAAUGUUCUUCACCUACCUUCUUUGCCGACGUAAAAUCGUCGUAACUGUACAUCGGAUUAGGAUCGUCGUAUAUUCAUCGUAAUGUUACAUCCAAAUUACGACGAUUUUGCAAUAAAUAUCAAAUCUCUCUUUAUCGAUGUAUAAUCGUCAUAAAGUAUCAUAAAUUGUACGUCGAAGUUACGACGAUUUUUUUUACGACGUUUUAUUUUUCCAUCGUAAAAUCAUUGUAACAUCGUUGUAUAUUUGUGACGACUUAUAAACUGUCGUAACAGACCGUUGGAAAACGAUUGUUUACUUGUAGUGGAUGCAGCUCAUACGCAGAGCACAAAACCAAAGUAUGGGCCACAUGUCAACACAGAGCAAGGUAAGCCAUCUAAACUCUCUAAAACAAUCUGUUAUAGGUGUCAUCAGAGAAGUCAUUUUGCUAAGACUUACCCAAAUACAAAAUCAGAGGAUACUUCAUCAAUUGAACCAGAAAAAUAUGAAGCUAGAGAAGUAGAAAAAGAUGAGUUAUAUUGUGAAAUUUCCAAUUCAGAUCUAAUGUGCUUGUCUUUGCCAAAGGUUAUUGAUGCAUGUUUAAAUCAUGGAGAGCAUCACUAUUAAGAGAUCAAGACGUGCCAACCUGCCACUGAAAAAUAUGAAGUUGUCACUAUCUUCACUCCAAUCCAAGAGGAGCCACCAGAUCUUACACUGAAUCCAAAUGUCGUGGCAACAAAGAAAACAGAACUAAUCAACAGUUCUGAUCAGGUAAGUAUUUCUUUAGCACCAUUGAAUUCCAACACUUCAAAUUCUGUGCUGUUACACUCAUUAAAUCCAGAAGAAGUUGAAUUAAAAGAAGUCUUGGUAGAAUGCAUAUCAUAUAUCGAACCAGACAUGAAAAAGAGAUAAGAACAAGUGUUCCAAACAAAAAUCAUGUUCCAUUGCUCGUAAAAAUAUUUUGACCGCGAUAACACACUUGUUUCUUGUCCAAAAAGAAAUGGUAAUUGCAGGAACUGACGAGGAUCCACAAGAAAUCCAACAGAAAGAAAUCAGUAUAGAUGCCAUUUGUAAAAUGGAGGAUUUUACAACGACAAAAAACUUGCUGCCCAAAGAAUUUAUCAACAGACAUGAGAGAGAGGUCACUGCUUCCUUAGUGAUAAAAGAAGAACCACCAGAUGCCCAAAAUAAACCAAACCCAAGCCACAAGCAAACCAUGACCCAAGGUAACUCUCUAAACCCUCAGGAAAAGCAUGAUCCUAACUUGCUCUAUCUUUGUGCAGGUCAAAGAGUUUCGAGGACGAAACUUUUCCAAGGAGGAGGGUAUGAUGUGGUCAUCGACCCAGCUCACCAUCACAAAGAGACCCCAAUUAUCUGUAGCCGAGAGAUGCCUUAUAGGAGCUGAAACGGAGAAAACAAUGGAACAUAAAGGCGAGCCCAACAGAAGCAGAAGUGAAAAUUUGGAGUUCACCAACCAAAUUUCAUCUGGAGGAUAUGAUCGAGCCAAAACACUUUUGGGUCGAUCCAGAAAUGAAGUUACCCAAGAAUCAACUCAAACUCUUGGCCAAAGCAUGUUCAAGCCACACAAGGAGACCCAUGCACCAUAUUCAGCACUGAUGAAGUCCGAGAUCAACUAGUACAGCUCGACCAACACUUGUAUUACAUUUCUAUCUCAUCCAGUGAACGCCUCGAAGUGGAAUCAGCCCAAUUGGAUCCCAGAGAAAGGAGUUAUUCAGCUUAUAAAUUAGGUGAUGCACAACUUCUACGAUUUGAACAUACGUUCCUUAUUUGGAGGUUUCCGACAGAACCAGAAGGAUUUAAGCUGUGAGCCAACUUGUUCCCGAUUUGUGAUUCAUCAUAGAAUCGGAGGCAAUUGGAAUCAAACCAAUACCGGUUAUGGUUAGAAAUUUAUUCACUUUUUAAGUUGGAAGAUCUGUUUCAGACCCAAUUGCACAGCGAGGUUGAAGAUCGUACUCUACAGCCCAACUCAUCCACGUUCUCAGCCCAAAAUUACUUGGAGAAUAUUUUUUGGUCUUUCCUGGAUCCAACAAGCUCAAGAUCCGAAGAAUUUCCCAUUGAAACUUCAAGUUACACCCAAAUUCUCAAAACGGAUUGACUUGGUUCUAUUUAUGGCAGGUCCGAGCUCUGACUGGUUUAGAUCGCUAUCUACAAGAGUUUGGCGCCCAGGAGAGACUCUAAGGCAACUAAAGAAGCUUAGAAACACCUUACCAUGCACUAGCAUCUACAGGAUCAGGCGGAUCGUCUUGCAAGCUUACUUUUCUUAUGUGGCCGCAUUCACACUCGGUGCCAUUAAUCACCAACGGCUCUUUUCCUUUGAAUGCUACGACUUGGACGUGUUAUAAUCGUCAUAAAGCAUCGUAAAAUACACUAUUUACAAGUUAUUUUGUGUACACAUUUAUUUCAUUCCCCCAAAAAUACAUCAUUUAUAAGUAACUUUUUUACGUAUAUCCUUUUUCUCUUUAAAAGAAAAUUUUCAUUAAAAAAACUUCAAAAUUUCAGUAGUUCCCAACUUAAAUCUCCGACUUUUUGGGUUCCAGCUUUAAAAUUUCAAGUUAAUUAUUUUUCCAAAACAAACCUUCAAGUUGCAUAAAAGUGUGCACAAUCGAGAGUUUACUAAGAGUCAAUGCUGUUGUUUAACGGUCAAUGUUAGAAAAUAAUAGUUUUAAAUAAUAAAUUUAUUUAUUUUUUAUGAAAAAAAAUCAAAAUAAAAAAAUAACAAAAGUAUUUUUUCAUUAUUUUUUUUUCAACACUUAACGGUUAAUAUAUUAUAUUGUUAAACUAAUAACUUUAAUUGUAUUAAUUUAUUUAUUAAAAAAUUAAAAAUCUUCUCAGUUGCAAAUCUUUUCAAGUGUGACCAAAUAAUCCAUUGGUCGAUCUUAUGUAUUCACCAUUAGGGUUGAGAAAGGAUCAAAGUUUUCUUAAUGAGAACGAGAAGUAAAAGGUAAACUCAUUAGAAGUUGUGUCUCUAGGUACCGGAGUUGAACCGGUUUUUUAUAGAAAGAUUUCUCAAGCGUGAAAAUCAUAACGGAGAGGUCAUAGGCGAGAGAAUUGUUUUUUUGUAUUUUUUGUUUUUAUUUUGAUUUUUUGGUUUUUGGUUUUUAUGUAAAAAAAUAAAUAAUUUAUUAUAUAAAAAUUAUUAUUUUAACGUUGAGCGUUAGACAACAAUGUAAAUUGUUAGUCAACCCUUGAUUGUGCACACUUUAAUGCAACUUGAAGGUUUAUUUUGGAAAAAUAACUAACUUGAAGGUUUAUAGUAAAAAACCCAAAAAAGUAGAGGUUUAAGUUGGGAACCGCUGAACAUUUGAGAGUUUUUCUGGUAAUUUCUGUUUUUUUUUAAAGAACAAUAGAACAAAAAUAUUCUUUACUAAAUUCAAAGAAACCCAAUAAGAAAAAAAUAUUCUUAUCAUUUAUUCCUUUAGUGGUCACACUAGUUUGAGCCUUAAGAAAAUCUGUUUCUUUAGUUUUUUGGAAAUCAUAAAAUAAUUGAACAAAAAUAGCUUUUGGGUGAGUUCUAGCUAAUGGUCUUUGUACGCUUAGUUGGCCCAGCUCCUAUCAGCUCACUAAAGCCCAUACGUAGAUUUACCUAAGAGACUUUGAGUUACUUUAGUCAGAAUGUCAGAUCUUCUAUCACCUUCCGGCCAAAUCAAUUUUGUAAAGACUAGUUUCGUACCAUUUCAUUGAAGCUAUUUCCAAUAAGUACAAAAAAAGGCGACAGAAGCUUGUAUAGAAACAACAAUACUUCUAGUAAUACAAACAAGAUACAACAAUCAAAAUACAACAAGAAACCCACAGCCAAUCGAGUCACAAAACACGUAAAAAGAAAGCAAUCCCUCUGAAAAGUUACUUACUAUAUUACCAAAUUUACUUGGAAGUAUCUAAAACUUUCAUGGAGAUGCACCACUGCUUCUGGAACGAUACAUAGUGGCAAAAUCCAAACUUAAACGCCGGUCCCUUUCGUCUCCCCAG
This 169918-nucleotide long non-coding RNA is filed under the name Eutrema salsugineum. RNAcentral's name for it is "long non-coding RNA (ESAL_LNC000709)". Lineage: Eukaryota; Viridiplantae; Streptophyta; Magnoliopsida; Brassicales; Brassicaceae. The record is from RNAcentral.